This 92991-nucleotide long non-coding RNA is filed under the name Chlamydomonas reinhardtii. Its description in RNAcentral is "long non-coding RNA (CREI_LNC000183)". Lineage: Eukaryota; Viridiplantae; Chlorophyta; Chlorophyceae; Chlamydomonadales; Chlamydomonadaceae. The record is from RNAcentral.
UAAGCAGGGGUUCUGAGGAUGCUGACAGCUGUCAGCUUAGGGGAAGGCUUCGGGCAAGCGCCGGUGCCCCCACCGCUGCUACAACGACAUGUACGGCCCCAACAGCACGCAUAUCAGCAAUGCGGAGCUACAGUGGCACCUGGCACUGCCGCCCCGUGCGCCGUGCGGCGGCCUCUGUUCCGGUUGGAAGUGGCCGCACUAGAUUGGCGGGAUCGCCCUGCUCACCUGUCAAUCGCGCCCAAACAUCAGAGCCUUGCGUAGCCGUGUACAGUCUGCGGAGGUUGGUCGUGGGUGGGUGGGUGGGUGGCUGGUUGGGUGCGGGAAGGGGUCCAGGCGUGAAGUCACGACAGAAGUGUUUUCAUGCACACCACGAGGAUGUCCACUCGAAGGGGCAGACGAAGCCGACGGGCUUAUGGUAACUAACCGGUUGUAUGUGAAGGCGUCAUCCUUCCCGCAGUCCAGCCGGUCCUUGUAGCGCAGCGUGCUGGGGUAAAUAGGUCCGGACAUGAUAGGCGACGGCAACGAGCGCCUCACGCCUCAGACGCCCCACGCUUCAGAGGCGCAGGCCUGUUUACUGUUAUCACUGAUACCUAUAAGAGGAACGUAGGCAGUGCCCGUCACGUCGUCACGACCGACACUCCGCGGUUGUGUGAUGCAAAGUCCUUUGUGGAUUAUCGUGCACAAUUGCCCGUCGUCGUAAUACUGUGGUGAUUUGUAUGUUGGGCAAUGUGUCUAGAACACAAGCUCACGAAUCCACAGGCGCUCUAAGAAACGGUGCUGCCGUCCCCGAUGCGCCGACAAGCAGCGAUGAGCAGCUGAUAGCACAGGGCGAAUAUCUUGCAGACAUACAACGAUGAAAUCACAGUCGCAAAUGGGAUCAAGGCGACGCUAGAAGCUUGCUCGCAGGUCACUUGAGGCUGUCCACCAACACCAGGGGUGGAUACACCAAAGCAAAGGCUAUGGUCGCCUAACAAAUCAGGUAACACUUAUCGUGGCGAUUGACGCUGCCAGGCAGUGCGCGGGGUGUUUGGGGCGCUCUAAUCGGGGGGAAUCCGGGGAAACCGCGGGCGCCGGGCGGGAGACCACUCGGCACGGUUUCGUACGCAAUACCCAGCAAUGUCACCGGCGUGUUUUCCUAGCCUCCAGUAUCUGCAGUGUAUACAUCGCGUAACUAGUUAAGCGUGCAUAGCUGAUAUGGCGGGCAAGUUGGCUUCAGCCCUCUGCGCGUCGCUUCUGAAUGGUGUUCGCCAAGGGAGACCUUCAAUAUGCGCACAACCUCGAUCAUUGCGAACUGUAUUAGAAUCCAACACAAGCACGUUUGGCGCACAAGGAUGCGACACCCUUGUUCGCGCAUCAGCUCUCGCUGAAUCAUGCACGCUAUCUCCAUGGAGGAGUAUCUUGACAUGCAGCAGCCCUUGCAGCACAAGCGGGCGAGAGCUGGGCUUCGGUGCGGCCGGGCUUCUGUCCGCCAGCGGCCGGACUGGGUAUCGCCCCUGCACCGCCCUGCACCCGGACCGCUUCCGGCACUCCCCGCUUUUAGCGCAGUCGGGCGCGGCGUGGAUGCGCGUCUGGAGUGAAGUGCAGGCGGCGCACAUGGCGACUGUGGGGCAGGUGCGGCGUGACCAGGUGGUUGAGGACGGGCAUGUUCGGCCAUCGUACUCGUAGUUUGCCGGCACCAGGCGGCCAGUCCGGCCAUCCUCCUGCGUUGGGCCAGUCUCAGCGGGUCCUACUUGGGCAGUACCUCUAUUGACACAACUUCUCAAGCGCCAAAUCGCUGCAAGCCUGGAACUGCCCCGUACGCGAUUUCCCAGCUCCUCCGCCUGCACACACCUGGCCCUCCGAAGCCCGGGCCCAACCGCGUACUCUUUACCUCCCUGUGCGCAGCUGCUGGGCGGCGCGCGCAAGGUGGCCAAGACGCGCAAGUGCCGCAUCCGGCAGCUGGAUGGCAGCCCGUUCAAGAAGGGCAUCUGCCUGCGCGUGUACACCACCAGCCCCAAGAAGCCCAACUCCGCCAACCGCAAGCUGGCCAAGGUGCAGCUGAGCAACGGACUCAAGGCCCUGGCCUACAUCCCAGGUGCGUGCAAACGUGUGUGUGGAUGGGUGGAUGGGUGGUUGUGGUGCGUGGGCAUGCGGUGGGUGUGUGCGUGGGCAUGUGGUGAAGGCGGGGGGGGGCGGGAAGCGAUGGAGUGGGGCUUGGGCACCGGCAGCAUGGGCCAUGCACAGGGGGCGCUCGGCAUGUCUCAGUUUGCGUCUGGGCUUGAAACUUACCUGGCCGGCCAACAUGCGGGCCGCAGUGUACGCUUGGGCGUAUAUUACGCCCGCACGUAUCUUACCUCUGACUCUGCCUCUUCCCCGUGCACGGUACACCGUGUCCCACCCACACUGCCGGCUGCUGCCCGCAGGCGAGGGCCACAACUUGCAGGAGCACAGCAUGGUGCUGGUGUCGGGCAACGGCGUGCGCGACCUGCCCGGGGUCAAGCUGCGCAUCGUGCGCGGCCGCUACGACUGCGCGGGCGUCAAGGACCGCAAGAAGAGCAGGUGCGCGGGGGCGGGAAGCGGGUGUGCAGCAGGGAGCGCUGAAGCGGGGCGGAGUGAGGACUGAGGAAUUUGGGGCACUGCGCUUACAUCCACGCUGCCUCCAAACACAGUCAAAAUUGUCCACUGCUCUGCAUUCAACGCCGCGUUUCGUGGUUCUCGCAAGUAUAUGCACAGCGGCCCGUUGGUGUGCGCCAGUUCAGCGCCUGCGCAUCCUCCUUCUCCAUUCCUUUCCUAUGUAAACGACCCUAUGCGUGCCCGUGCUCAGCCACUGCCCUACCCGUCGCUACCUCUGCCCCCAGGUCUCGCUACGGCACCAAGAAGCCCAAGGCCACAUAGACACAGAGGGGCGUUUGGAUAGGCGGCGGCGCCACGCCAAGCGGGCGCGGGCGGCGCUGCCGCAUUGCCGGGCCCCUGCCGAGGCACUUUGCAGUGGCGCCGAGCGGCUCUAGAUCCGUAUGUACGAUGGCCCCGGUCUGAUUUUGCCUGGUAGCUUGCUUCUGCCGGGCUGCCCAGCUACACUCCGAUGCUUCUUCCUCGCAUCCGAGCUUCGUCAUGUGUUUCUUCAGCAGCGCAUACUUGUGUGCGCAUCCGAGCUUCGUCAUGUGUUUCUUCAGCAGCGCACUUGUGUCACGCGUCCUCGCCUCGCGCGCUGUUGGCCUGCUGCACCGCCAGCGCGGUGAGGUCCUCGGGCAUGCCGGGCACGGUGGCCAGGAUGCGCGCGAACAGGCUGGUGAACAGCGCCUUGACGCCGCUGCCGCUGCUGGCAGACACCUGCGGAUAGGUGGGGGCGGGCGGAUGGGCCGCGGUGGCAGCGCUUUUGGUGGUGGUGGCUUUGGUUUAAGUGGUGGUAGUGGGGGUGGAUUGUUGGGAGCAUUGCACGGCGUGGGGCAGUGGGUUAGGCCGACAGACACCCGCCGUUGCGCCCGCAUUGGGUAUAACAUUAGGUCCACAAGGAGUGGAUUUGCCCCCGCACAUGUAAGUGUACAGUGGCGCGCACCUCGAAGAAGGGGAAGCCCUUGGACUGCGCCCACUCGCGGCCCUCCUUCUCAAACACCUUGCGCACCGGCUGGUCCGUCUUGGUGGCAGCCACAAAGACGACCUGCACCGCGGACCGUGGGGAGGGCACGGAGGGGGACGUCAACAGCAGAGCGCAUGUUUAGAAACAGAGCGCGGCGCGGGACCCUGGAGCCGAUCUGCGCCGUAGUGGGCGCCAUGACGGCAGCAGCCCGGACGCCAUGCCCCGUUGCCCCAGGGGCCGUGCUAGGAAGGUCCCGAUCCACCCCAGCCCCCCAGUGGCGGCCACACAUGGCAGCGUAGGUACCGGUACCGGACAAGCAGCCCCACCCAAACGGCCGGGGUGGCAGGACUCUCGCGCUGCAGCGCUCGUUGGCCCUGCGCCCCCUGUCCCGCCGGCCCGCCUUCGUGUCCCAAUCCCACUGCGCACGUGCCUUGCCUGUCGUGACGGCCAGCAACACCCAACACCACCUACCCCAUCCCCUCGGCCUCCGAUAAGAUUAGGGCACCUCUAUGCUCCGAGCUCUGUGGGCUCCGAGCUCUGUGGGCUGGUAUUUACAACCCACCCUCACACCCACCCACCCUCACACAACCUCAUCCUCCCACCCACCAACACACGCACCAUGUUCUCCGCCCCGUACUUGCGGCUCUCCUCCAGCCAGCCCUCCAGCGCCUCGAAGCUGGCGCGGUUGGUGACGUCGUACACCAGCACGCAGCCCUGGGCCUCCUUGUAGAACUCGUUGCGCACCUCCGUGUAGUCCGGCCCGCCCGCCAGGUCCCACAGGUUCACACGCAGCUGCGGUGUGUGUGUGGGAGGGUUGGUUUGAGGUGGUGGUGGUGGUGGUGGUGGUGGUGGUGGUGGUGGUGGUGGUGGUGGUGGUGGUGGUGGUGGUGGUGGUGGUGGUGGUGGUGGUGGCGGGGUGCGAGGGGGGAGGCACGGUGGAAGGUGGUUGGGUGGGGAAGGAGAGAGGGGGAGGAGGCAAGGCGCGUUGGCGGCGCUGACGGCACUGGCCGGCUAAAAGCUGAGCUGGGGCUUUGAUAAGUGCUUGAUACCAAGUCACGGACAACUGCUCCGUGUGUGCCACACUUCCUCGGCAUUCGGUGGGCUAGUUGCUGGUUAUGGGCCUCGGUGUACCCCUACCCCACCCCCACAUCCGCCCCACACACCCCUACUACUCCCCACCAACCGCACCUCGUAGUCAUUGUACUUGUUGGGCUUUACGCCAUAGUCCACACCGAUGGUGGGGAUGUACUUGGAGACGAAUUUCUCCUCGCAGUACCUGCCGGCCACGUCAAGACAUGUCCGCCGUGUGAGCUCCCGGCCGCGGACAUGGCGCCCACAGCCGCGGCCCGUCGCUUCUUACCGCUUAAUGAGGCAUGAUUUCCCGGCAGCAUUGUCUCCCAUAGAGAUAACCUUAAUCCGGUAGAGCUUCGCGCGCUUAUUUUUGCCACUCGCUGCCUUCGCUGCCCGCAUUCCUCCUGUUCCUCGAAAGUCAGCACUUGUGCUAAAUGGCUAAUACAUGUUUGUGGCUUGUCCUAUGCAUAGCAAGCUUCUUUCUUCGUUGUGACAUGCUUUGCAAGUGCGGUCAACCGGAAGGGCCAAAGGCAAAGAUAGCGAGGAACAGCAGCGAGAUAUGCUUACCAGCUGCAGUGCAGUAUGUUUUGUAAAUGUGUUACCGUGACCAUUUGCAUGAGACUGCUACCAGUGGCAGUGCAUCCCCGCGUGCCCAACCACGUCCCACCACGAUGUGACCCUAUGUGACAAAGGUCACCUGCACUCCUAGCAUGACGCGUAUAUAUGUCCAUUACGCCAGUAUGACGGGUGUACCCCGCACAUUUCAGAAAAUGGUGUCAGGGGAUGCACCUGCUUUCUGGUUGCCGGAAUCUGGAUGUGGCUCCACGCACAUACCCUGCCCUGAUACUCCCCUCCUGGAGUAAGCAAUGAGGGUGGUACCCGUGGGCGCCGCGGCGUGGUUGUCUGGGUGAGGGUGUGGGCGUGGGCGUGUGUGCGGGUGUGGGUGUGGGUGGAGGUGAGGGUGUGGGCGUGUGCGUGUGCGUGUGUGUGCGUGUGCGUGCGUGUUUAGUGCGUGCUUGUGCGUGCGCGCGUGUGCGUGCGUGUGUGUGCGCGUGCCUGUGUGGGCGCUUCUGGGCCUGCCUGGCUGUGUGGCUGCUGUGUCAUUUUUAACGCGCGUGCCUCUGUGCCCCCGGGGAGCUCUUGGUGAGCCCGGACUCCCUUAACCGUGCGCACCAACUACUGACUAGGCAGCUGCUACAGACCGUACCAGUUUCACUCGCCAGCUGUGCCCGCCGUCCCCGCCUCUCCUGCCAGCUAACCGCCUCCUGUGCCUCACAUUUCAUAUCUGCCUACAGUGUUCACACUCCAGCGCCAGCUCCAGCGCCAGCUCCAGCGUGCGACGCCAGCAAACUUUUUCGCGCACCCGCACUCGGUCCUUAGGGCGCGCGGAGCAGCAUUCUCCCGAACUUCAGCCGCGACAUUCCCAAUCCAACCCGCGGCGCUUCCUCACACUCCGGUUGUGUUUGUCUCGCACUCGCAUUCGACUCGCCCGCCACUCAUCCGUACAUUCGGGCUCCCUUUUCUGCCGCGCCCUGUUUUCGCCCCUGCUUGUCAUACUGUCGCCCGGCCAUUGCUUUGCUGCAUACUGUUGCAUUUUCUCUGUGUUGCAUUUGGUGCUCAUCCGUGGACGCUGGUCAUCUUCCUGCAGGUGCGAUGCGGCACUGCCUCGCGAGUGUGGCGUUGCGGUGUGUCUGUGUGGUGCUAUCGCCUGGCCGGGCGCCCGGAGCGUGAGGAAUGCGCAUCAGCAAACUUGCAGCCAGCCAGCAACUCGUCGGUACAGUAACUCCGGCGUUCGACCGGCCGCGUACUCCUGCCCUGCCGUUGCAAAUUGUUUGUCAUCUGCUGGGUUCUGGGAAUCAGCUGCACCCUACGGGACUUCACCAACCUGCCUUGACACUGUCCCAUUCACACACCCUGCCCUGAUACUGGCCCCCCUUCAGGCCACGACCCGCCGACUUCUCGACUUCGGUGCGGGCCGGAUCGCCAUCCCCUUAUUUCGAUGACCAUUCGAGAUUCAUGGCACCCCUAACGGUUACCUACAAGCGCAGAAAAGAGCGCCUGCAAACGUUGCACCUGGUACUCGAGCCUUCACCACCACGUCCCCGCCCGUCCCUGCCACCUCCCAUGCAUGAUGCAAGCGGCAUCUACCGCGGCUGCGGGUGCGUCAGGCCCGGAGGCGAGCUCGUCGCCGCCGUGCCGCCCCCAGAGCGCCCAGCCGGCCGCCCCAAAUCCAGCGGCGCACCGGCUGCUGGCGCCUCCUCAUCCUGCAGCUUCUGCGCCCCACCCCCGGUGGAGCGCCUAUCAAUCAUAGCCAGCAACGCCACCUUCUCCCCAUCCACCGCCUGCGCUGGCGUCGCCGCCUUGGUCCCUGACCCCCGCGCGAGGGCCUCCUGCUGCUUCGUCGCGGCAGCAGUGACGGCAGCCGCCUUUGCCGCGUCCGCCUUGGCUGCGUUGGCAGCUCUGCAGCAGCACACACGGAGACAGAUGUCCGUUUAUGCAGCACGUGCAAAAGAGAAGACCGUAGCGAAGCGGCAGAUCCCCCCGUCCACGAAUGGCUCACCCCCCUCCUCCAUGGCGGCGUCCCUACAGCGGGCAGCAGACGGCGCAAGCAGCCCCCCUUCCCACACAGAGCUCCCUAGACGCUCACCUCAAUGAAAACACGCCGUAGCCCACCAUGCCUACGAACGCCAGUGACAUGCCUGCAGACACGCGCGCACACACACAGACAUACAAACACACAUCAGCGCACAUAUACGGCAACUUAGGGGCCCGGUCAGCGUCCGUGUUGCCUAUCGCAGCUCCCCAGACGGAGGUCUCCAGCACAGCCACGCAUCAAGCAUGAGGGCGAGUUGAUCACACCCGCCGCCCCCCUGCCACCCACGACUCACCCAGCACUUUGCGCGGGUUCAUCUCCUCAUCGAACAGCAGCCAGCCGCCUAUGAGCACCUGCACAGCGCGGGGCAGGGCGUGCGGCUGUCAUCGGCAGCUGCAUGCGUACGCGCAGGUAGGAAGGUGCCCGAGCCAGCCGGCCCGGCGCACAUACUGUAUGACGGUGAUGGUCACGCGCACCUGAGGGCCGCGGCGCCGGCUGGGUUCUCACGCAAUUUGUCGUCUUUGUGUCCUAUGCAAUGCACUGGAGUCAUUCUGGAAACCAGUAACGACUCGCUUUGCUGGCUCCUCGUCUCGUUGGACUCCUGCUUGCAUCGCUUCUCAUCAUACACACGCACGCGCAUGUUCCAUUUUCCGUGACAGCCCCCACCCCCACCCCCACCCCACACACGCGCCAUUCAUCCACCUCAUCUUCCAACAUGGUCAUGGACGGCUACCUACCCACCCACCCACCCGGUUUAGUUUGGGCUGGUAUUUACAACCCACCCAACCUGCCCCCCUGCCGCGCCCUCACCAGCAGCGUCUUGGCGUGCCCCAGCACCUGGAAGCUGGUGGCGCUGAAGCGGCCCAGCACCAGGUACUGGCUGGCGUUCACCGCCACAGCCAGCAGGCAGGACAGGCCCAGCAUCUCAAUGCCCGGGACACUGGCCUGCGGGGGAGGGCGGGCGGGGCGGGCACGUGUGUAGGUGGGGUGCGGUGCGGUGCGGUGCAGCGGUGUGGGCGAGUGGGCAGUGUUGUGCGGUGUGGUGUGCGGACUCGGAUUGCUGUGGGCCUCAUUCGGCUGAGGUCACCGUGUUUGGCUCGCAAACGAGGUUGGCAUUACCGGUAGCUCCUGGCCAGGCGGGCCCAGACGGGUCAGCCGUGCCGGCGGCGAUGGAACGCCUCAGCGCUACCACGUGCGCGGGGCUGUUGCACGUGGGUGGUCGUGUAGGUUGCGGGUUCAGACGAGCUUGCUGCCGUGGUCUGUCUCCCGGGUGCUGCCCCGGUGCAUCCCGCAACCCGCACAGCGCCCACAGCACACGCACACGACACACGCACGCGGAGGAACACAUGCACGCACCUCCCACUCCAUGAUCCACUUGCUGCUCGCCAGCUUGUCCACGAAAGGGCCCACAAUCAUCAGGAUCAUCCCCUGAGAGCGUGUGCGAUGUUGUGAGCGGACCAGCAAGGAAAAACGUGUGAGGCAGCAGCGGCAAGAAAGCGGUUGGGCUGCCGCUCAGUUACGGUCACACCAGCACUCGCCCUCGCUGCCACGCCCUAUGCAGCUUUGCCCCGGCCCAGCCUCCCCUUAGCCUCAUACACACAACCGCCGCUUCGGCUCUAGCAUAACAGUGAUAACACACAUGCCCUCAGCCACACGCACGCACACACGCCUGCCGCACCUGCAGGAAGCUGGUGUUGCUCAUGAGCUGGUGGCUCUGGAUCUUGAGUGUGGCCUGCAUGUGGCCGCACAGGAUCUGCUGCAGCCCGCCGCUUACGAUGAACAGCCCCGCCAUCACCAGCCCCGGCAGCUGCACCGACACGUCACUGCGGGAGCGCGGAGCGCGGGGAAGGGGUUCCAAAGAUUGGUACAGAGGAGUGUGGCGAAGUAGGGGGGAGGGAUUGCGGACUUUAGGAAGAGGAGCAGAACCAGAGCAGCGGGUACCAGGGCACUUCGAGGUGAAUGGCCUCGCACCAAUGCCGUGCAGGUUUGGAUACACGUUGUGUGCACGUGUAUGCGGGAGGGGUGUUGGUGAUCCGGGGCGGGGGGCAUGGAGGCGGGGUUUGUACACGCCUGUUCGCAUUUGGAAGCAUCUGCACAUGGAAGCAGGGAGCUCGCAUCCACAAACGACCAAAACCCCAUGACCGAUGCAAGCCUCCGUGUCUCUUCUGCCGACACACUCGCUCCUGCUCUCCUGGAUUACCAGGUUGCGCCUUGGUCCACUGACCGUCAUGCGCCAUGCGCCCCCGGCGCCACCCUGUGUACGUGCACGCCCAGCAACCAACCGCCCAGCAGUCCGCCCUUUCGGCCGCUGUCCACCCCCGCACGCCCCGCCCGCGCCCCCUACACGCCCCCCCUUGCAACCCCACCUGACCGUGACGAUGCCCACCCCCGCCAGCACCACCACGAUGCAGGCCAGCACGGCGGGCGGGAAGCGCUUCUUGAGCCACAGCAUUUCCACCGCCGCCACGAAGGGGCUCAUCAGCAGCUUGGCGAUCUGGUAGAAACCCACCUGCAGGGGCCCGUGCCGGGUGGCGUGCCGCGGGGGGACGUGUUGGAGGGCGUGAUGAAGGGCAUGCUGGCAGCGUGUUGGGGGCAUACGAGGUGUUGGGCAUGCUCAUAACGCCAGGCCUAUGACGCACGCAUGCACCAGAUCCAGAACCCCCGCGAGAGACUGCGGGUGCUCGUGCCUCUACGGCUCCACACAGCUCCGAAACAACACGCCACGCCACAGUCCGACACGCCGCUCCAGCCUCCGCCACCACCAGCGCGGUUCAGGCCGGGCAGGGCCCCCGGGGCCACCCCCUCACCGAGUUGAGCAGCAGCGACAGGUUGGCGGUGCCGAUGGACAGCGCGCCCACGCACGCGAACAGCAGCGAGGAGCGCAGCGGCAUGUCGGCCUGCUCCGCGAUGCCCGCCCGCUCCAGCCCCCACACCGCCCAGGCGCAGCACACGAAGUGCAGGCCAGACACGGUGGUGGCGUACUGCGGGCAGGUUACAGUCAUGAACAUUCAGAGGAAGCGAAGCUGUGGCCAGGCACGCGGGGGCGGGAGGGAAUGCGGGAGGGGAGGAGGGGAGGCGGGAGGGAAGGAGCGGCGCCCCGGCGUGCGUGGUCUGGCGGACAGUUGGCACUACGCGGUACCGGCACGUCCAGCCAUUGCCAGUUGCGGGGCAACACAAGCAGGGCCCCGAGCGAGACACACGAUCCCUAGUGGCAGAACAAGGGAAGCACGCAACGCACCUUGAAACGGUAGACGCUCAUCAACGCUUUGAUCACAAAUAUCUGUCGGCACAGCACAGUUCACAGGUCGUGUGUGUGCGUGCGUGUGGUGUUUAUGACUGACAUGCAGCCCCAUGGAGGGCGUAAGCGCUGUCUGUAACUCCUCCAAGGCCCCACUUCUGACACACUGCAGGGGUGCAGCUCGGGCCCUGGCCGGGCCCUCCCCGGACGGCCUCAGCACACAGCACACAGCGCUGGGCCGCCAGCCGUGCCGCUGGCGGCCGCUGGCGGCUGCCUAUGUUGCCUGCGGUGCCUGUGGUGCUGGCAGCAAGCGCGCUAGGCCGCCCUGGGGGCACCGCGGCGGCCGCCCGCCCGCCUGCUCGCGACAGCGGCCGCGUCGCCCACGCCCAUGCACACACACACGCACCGUGACCACGGACGUGGACACAUUGGCCGUCCAUGCGAACACGUUGACCAACAGGUCCUGUGGGGUAUGGGGCGUGUGGAGGUGAGGAGAGGUGGGGGAGGCCGGGGAGGGAGGAGGUUCGGCCUGGACAGCACUUGCACCGUAUGCACUGAUGUGCAUGCACAGGUGCGUGACACGCGAUGUCGUGGCCCAAGGUUUGCGAACGGGCGCCGCAAGGCGGCUCAGUGCACCCGUGCCCCAGUCAACGUUUGCUUACUGAGAUAACCCCUGAAGUGAUCUGCCUGCUGGGACACUGCCACCAGCGAGCGCGUCCCUAGCGCUACACUUUGUCGGAGGGGUUAACCGCCCCCCCGCCGUGGUCACAACGUACCCGGCUUUCCUCCGCAGCAGUCAUUGCUAUUCCAAGCGUGAUAAGUGUGUCCAGAUAUGCUUGCUAUGUCCGGGACGUGCCAGCCAGAGCUGAUGUGGGGCGCGCUCAAACUACCGCAUCGGCUAGAGCUCGACGAGGUCCAUUUCGUCUGCUCUGCAUUUCUUUAGCUGAUGAUGGGUAUGUAAAGUGUUUAAGGUGAAGCCUUAAAACAAAGGUACGUGCUUUGGGAAUGCCCGCCUCUUGCGCAAACUGUUUAUUUGCAAGCUGUAGAGUAACAAUCCAAAGGCAAGAGUUUGAGGUGUGCACGAAUGUCUCUUAUGCCCAUAAUGUUGUAGCGGAUGGCCAGAGGUGGGCAUGCGCGCGCUCCAACUACGCAACAGGUGCAAUCUGACGGGCCAUACUUCCAGGCAACCCUUGCAGCCGUCUCACCUGCCUACAUUAUGGGUGCUUGACAGCCGUGUGAUGGCGAGGUCGGUAUAAGUGCGUGCAUAGCGCCUGGGCCGUCUUUCGCGGUUCGGGGGCACUGGGGGCUGACACGCUGUUCGUGUCUGUCCGUGGAUGUUCAGCCCGCCCAACGCCCCUGGCCGUGCAACGCCCCCCUGGGUGUAGAGUCCUCAAAUCAUUUGUGCUCGACAUGUUUCUCAUAUAGCCCGGCGGGAACGGAGUCAACGGACUCGCUGUGUCAGCAUUGGCAGCUUUCGGUUUCAAGGCGCAUAGGAAUGGGCUCCUAAUACAAUAGUGUCACGCAUGCACGCACACUGAAAAAUAUAUGCAUCAUGCGCCAUCAUCAUGAACGCGAAAGACUCUUUCCGCAGCUGUUUGCCCGGCUUCAAGCCGCGGUGCCUUACGUGUCUACCGCUCUAGUCGGUCUGCUGGUGCUGUACAUACUAUUGUGGAAUGCGGCAAAGGUGAAUAGCUGUCCACUUGCCUUGGCGACAAGCAAAAGUCAAUCGAUGCUUCGGGCAUGUUUGCAGGCACGUCGUCGUCGUGCAGUCCCGGGCGCUAAGGAGCUACCAGGUGACCACUUGUCCCCUCACCCCAACCAGGCGUCGCACUAGCCCCUCCCAACCCUCCUAAUCCUUCGUCCCAUUUGCUCCACCCCUGCCGCGACGACCCUUAAAACACACGCAGUGCCGCCCGCGCUGCCCCUGCUCGGCCACUGGCUCGCGCUGCGCGCCCGCGGCCGUGGCAGCGAGCCCGGCGACACGCACCUGCGCACGCUGCGCCGCUGGGCGGAGGCGCACGGCGGCGCCUUCCGCCUGCUGCUGCCGCGCGCCUGGCUGCUGCCGGGCGGGCUGGGCCUGGGCCUGGGCGGCGGGGGCGGGCGGGCGGCCGGCGAGGUGGUGGUCCUGAGCGACCCGGCCGCCGUGCACGCGCUGUUGGCCCUGGGGGAGGACGUGGCGCCCAAGUCAACUGCCUACUACCGCUCGCUGGAGCAGGUGCGGGCGAGAGGGGGGCGGGGGCGAGUGGGAACAGGGGCGCAGGGUUCGGGGGCAAGGGUUCGGGAGCAAGGGGGCGCUGGAGGGCGACGGGGGGGGGGUGACCAAUGCAGGGGAGCGGGGACGGCGGGACGGCCGUGUUGUGCGCAGCAGGGCGUCACGCAGCGCCUUUGGCGUGAGCCCUGCAGGAGGGGUGCAUUGUGUCAGUCUGUGGCUUGGCUCGUGUGGCCGCCUGGCGGGCGCUAGGGCGCGGCGGCGGCUACGCAUCCAGCACGGACGGGCUACGGUGCAGCGCGCAGCGCUACAGUGACCCGGCAGCGCCCUCACCUCCUCCUGCCGCCUGUAUAAACGGCACCGCACCUACACCGCGCUUUGCCACGCCCCAUUCUUCACAUGAACGGCUACCCCGCCACCACCCCCACCACCCACCACCACCCCACACAGGUGCUGCACAGCCCUCCUGCGCCCUCGCUGCUGACCAGCACCGCGGCGGCGCAGUGGCGGGCGGCGCGGCGCUCGCUGCUGUUUGCCUUCAGCCGCUCCGAGCUGGAGCAGGACUUCGAGGUGAGGGGGCGAGGGAGGGGGGGGGAGCGGAGGAGGAGGUAGUGGAGGAGGAGGAGGAGGAGGAGGGGUCAGAGGUAGAGGAGGAGCGCGGAGGCUGGAGGGGGCGCGGGGCGUGAGGUUGCAUGGUUUCCAGUUGCGGUUUUGGGGUGGAGGGGCGGGGGCAACGAAGCCCCAGGACGCGAUUGCGGACUGUCAUAGGGGCCUUGCUGCAUGGACCUUUCCGUGUGUGGAUGGACUUAUGCUGGACUGGGCUUGGCUGUAUGGUGGCCCCCCCCCGCCCCCGCCCCCUAACCCCCGCCCCUCCCCCCACCCCCCCGGCUGCCAGGUUGCCAAGGCCAAGGCUCUGUCGCUGGCCUCUGUGGUGCUGGGUCUGGGCCCGGGCGUGGUGUUGGACGUGGACGACGCGGCGCUGCGGCUCAGCCUGGACGUGGCGGGGCUCAGCAAGCUGGGCUACGACUUCCAGGUGGGGGCGGGGGCGGGAGGUGGGGAGAUGGGGGGAGGGGGGAGGGGGGGAGGAGGGGUGCAAAUACCAGCCCAAACCAAACCAAACCAAGCGAAACAGGAGCGCAGGCAGCGGCUCUAGGUGCAAGCGAUAUGGGAGGGGCCGAGGCGUCGUGAGGCAGCAGGGCGAGCGGCGCCGGCGAUUACCGUCAUGUCGCCGCCCGGGCUCGGUGGCGCACGGUGGGGAAGGGGAGGGGAGGGGUGGCGGGCAAAGAUGGGGAAGUGGGGGGUUAUAAGGUUAAGGCAAUGGGAAAAUGGAAACGGGGUGGAGGGAUGGAGGCCGGGUGCGGCGUGCAAGCAUGGCGGUCGCGUUUGCAGUCGCGGCGGCGGCUGGUCUGCGGUGCAAGGCGCUUGCAGGAGCGGCCACGGCACGACACGCCCGUUUGUGCCUGUGCGUGUAAUGCAACGAAUCACAACGAGGCCCGCUUAACCGUGUGUGUGUGUGUGACUGUGACUGUGACUGUGGCUACGACUGUGUGUUGCUCAGGCGGUUGAGGCCACGGGCCAGGUGCUUCUGCUGCGGCUGCUGGGCGAGGUGGCGGAGGAGUGGGACGCGCGGCGGCGGCGGCUGCUGCCGGCGUGGGCGGCGCCGUGGCUGCUGGACUCGGCGGCGGAGGCCAGCAGCAAGUGCCGCAUACUGCAGGACUUCAUUGAGGGGGUGAGCGGGGCGGUGGGGCGGCGGGCACAACGGAAUGUACUUGGGGCGCAGAGUAGCUGGUGGCACACCUUGGGGUCUCUAACGUGCUUGUGCUUCACACCCGGCAGGAGCUGUGGGAGGACAUCGCCAGCCGCGGGCCGCCGCCGCCCGAGGACAUCACUCUGGCGGCGCAGAUCGUGCGGCUGUGGUGGGUGGCGCGGGUGGCAGAGCGUGUGGGGCGGUGUGGGGUUGAUGAUAUGGCUGCGGGUGCGGGAGCCCAGGUGGCGGCGGCGUGGGCCUGUGCCUGUUCUUGGGGGCGCUGGGGCGGCACCCGUUCGUAACGUGAUGUCGUGGCCUUGGACACAGCUGCCUUGACGGCGGCGGCGUGCAGAUCCUCCCCUACCCCGCCGCCUCGCCUCCCUUGCUGUGCAGUCACUCGCUGAACCGCGGCGGCGUGUCGGCCCGGCCUUCCGGCGCCGCGGCUGCCGGCGGCGGCGGUGUGGCUCGCGCGCUGUGUGAGCUGACGGCCCAGCUGCUGCUGGGGCACGAGCCUGUGGGUCACAGCCUGGCGUGGGCUCUGGGCUGUCUGGCUCGGAACCGGGCGGCGCAGGACAAGCUGGUGGCGGAGCUGAAGCGGGAGGGUGAGGGCAGGGAGGGAGGGAGAGGGAGGGAGGGGGGACAGGGAGGGAGGGAGGGAGGGAGGGAGGGAGGGAGGGAGGGAGGGAGGGAGGGAGGGAGGGAGAGGGAGGGAGGGGGGACAGGGAGAGAGGGAGGGAGGGAGGGAGGGAGGGAGGGAGGGAGGGAGGGANNNNNNNNNNNNNNNNNNNNNNNNNNNNNNNNNNNNNNNNNNNNNNNNNNNNNNNNNNNNNNNNNNNNNNNNNNNNNNNNNNNNNNNNNNNNNNNNNNNNAGGGGGGGAGGGAGGGAGGGAGGGAGGGAGGGAGGGAGAGUGGGAGGGAGAGCUGCACGGCCUAGCGGCCCAUGCGGCGGGCGGGGCUUGCGGUGCAGGGCGGGCUAGGCGCAGUGAGACACACGCUGCGCCACGUGUCCCGUCGUCUUAAAUCCUCCCCCCCCCCCCAAUAAGCAUGCAUGUAACCUCCCGCCCUCCUGCUCCCCGCGCUCGUGCCCCCCGCCAGGCGUGUAUGACGCGCCGCACACCGCCCUCACCUGGACCAUGCUGCACCGCCUGCCCUUCCUGGACUGCUGCGUGCGCGAGGCGCUGCGCCUGUACCCGGCCCAGCCCUGCCCCGCCACCGUGCGGCAGCUCAACAAGGUGUGCUGCGAGGGAGGGCGUGGAGGGAGGGCGCCCCCAGGUGCAGCGGUAGCAGCGGGUUGUGGGUGGGUGCGGUGGCGUGCAGUGGGCACUGGGCCCGGGUCGUGUUGCCCCCCCCCCCCCCCCGGGCCCUGCGUACUCCGACCGCACCGUCCGCCGCACCCUGUCCAUUCACCCAACCUGCCCUGCACACAUUGCCUGCUGGGUCAUGGCUUUGAUGGGAAGGGGCGGAGAUGGGGGCGCGUGACUGUGCCUCUCUCGUGUACAUCUCUCCUGACUAACUAGACAUGCCAGGACCUCCCACCAACGCCACCGGGUUAAUCACUCCGUUCUUCACAUGAACGGCUACCCCACCCCACCGUAACGCGCCACAAUCUGCCUAGCAGUAACUUCGCUUCUUCUUGAUUAAUCAUGCAUGUACACCCCACCCCACCCCAUGGCUUGCAUUGGCCUGGUUUGGGCUGGCAUUUGCAACCCCCUGUGUGGUGCCGCCCCUGCAGGACGUGGUGCUGGCGGGCUGGUCCGUGCCGGCGGGCGCCGAGGUGUGGGUGGACGUGCAUGCCAUGCACCGCAACCCGCAGCUGUGGCGCGACCCCGACCGCUUCAACCCAGAGCGAUGGGCCGAGCACGUGGCGGCGCGGCGGCAGGCGGCAGAGGCGGAGGCGGCGGGGGCGGCGGCGGCCGCUUCCAAGGGCCAGGCUCAGGGGAAGAAGGGCGGAAAGAGGCAGGGCGGCGGCGAGGGUGGUGCCGCGGGCACAGGCUACGACGGCAUGCACACCGUCGAGCCAGACCCCUCGGACGCGGUGGCGGCGACGGGCACAGACGAAACCCGCGCCAGCGGCGCGGCAGGCGCCGACAGGCAUCAAGACGCGGCGGCGGCGGCAGCCGCCGCCGCCGCCGCCGCCUCUUCCUCUGCGGCGGCGGGCGGCGAGGCCUCUGAGGCUCCGCUGUGCAGCCCUCUGGCCUUCAUGCCGUUUGGCUCGGGGCCCCGCAGCUGCCUGGGCCAGCAGCUGGCGGCGGCGGAGCUCAAGGCGGCGCUGGCGGUGCUGCUGUGCUUCCUGGCGCUGGAGCCCACGGGCGACCCCGCGGACGAGCCGCGACCCGCCGCGGGGCUGUUCCUGCGGCCGGCGGGCGGGCUGCACCUGCUGCUGGUGCACAGGCAGCGGGGGCAGCGGGCGGGCGCGGCGUGAGCGCGGGCUGGGGCGGGCGUGGGGAGGAGGAGGACAGGGAGGCGUGGGCGGGCGGCGUGGGGCUGGGUUGUGCGGUAUGGCCGAGCGCAACGAAUAGGAGGGCGCGGGGUGAGGCGGGGGGAAAGGUGUGGUGCUUUGGAGGUUGGGCGAGAGCAGGAGAGGGCGGGGGGUGCAAUGCCCAAGCCCAACGAAAUUGGGGUCCCACUUGUCCAGGAAUCGGCGCCCAAACCGGGCAUGCAGUGUGAGCUCGGCGUACAGCCUUCAGUCUCCGUCAUCUGGGAGGUGGUGUCGGUAGUAGACUGUGGGCGCCGCGCCGCACCCACAAUGAGGGCGAAGACUGUCGAGGUGGAUGGUGCUUUGUGGUGGGUUAGGAUCGAGCGGGCAGGCGUGCUAUACUGCUUCCUUUAAGCAUCUUCGAUAACUGCUAUAUCCGAAGCAAGGCUGUGGGUAUUGGCUGGCUCGACCGUGGAGGGAGGCGCGGUGGUGGACUUUUACACGCUGAGAGGGAGAGGGCCGGUUGUCCUCACGCCCAUGCAGACCACAAGGGCAAGGAGCGUGCCGGGUGUAAGGAGUGCGUGAGCAGGCUGCUCGCAGGCCAGAUGAGCGGUCUGGCCGACAGCGGUGUUGGUGGUCGUGGGGGGAGCCGCAGACGCGUCAACGGGCCAAGUGCGGCGCCGUAGUGACCAGGGGCGGAGGUUGCCAGACCCAACAACCCAGUGCAUGGGCGUUCGAGCGUUACACGCCAACGGCCCCACGCAUCGUCAAUUCGUCACCUCACCCAUCCAGCGUGGAGCACAUAACUGCACAUUCCACGCUGCCCCACUGCUCGGCAUUCACAUGCAUGACCAGCUGUCUCACACCUACGCUGCUAAGCACACACAUCUCUGCUCGGGCCCAACAGUCAAAAUCGCCCCCUUGCAAAGCUGCCCAUUGGCCUGCCCACACAUGCCACCGCUCGCAGCCCAGCCACCCAGCACCCGUCACAGGCCGGCGAGGGCGCACACACCCCGCUGCGACCCGGGGCCCUCCCAGCGGGUCGGUGGGUCACUGCCCCGACUUGAUGAUCACACACAUCGCCACUCGCACGCAUGCAUGCGGAUCAGAACUCCCAGAAGCAGAUGCGGUUGAAGCCGUGCGGCCAGAUGAGGCCGCAGCAGUGGUUCAUCCACCUGCGGGUGCACGCGGAGCAAGUGCCGCGUAUUAACACCCGGAGCUGGGGGGCAGCCAGGGACUACAGGGCGACAGCACGCGAGCGCUCGUGACUCCAAGUUUUAAGAACACCAGUACGGCACACCCACCGGCACACCACGUGAGCAGCAACCCACAGCCGCACGCGGCCACGCGAUCCCUCCCCAUCACACCCAGCCUCCCAGCCCCAGCCCCCGCCCCAUCACCCAUGCGGCUCUCCCCCAUUGGCCCCCCGCACCCAGCCCCCCCCCCCCACUUACUGCUGGUGCGCAGCCGAUGCAGUGCCGGACAGGUCGGUCACCUGCACGUUGGGGUUAAAGCCCAGGAGUCAGCCAGGUGCGGAGUCGGGGCUCGGGGGCCCGACCCCAGGAGCAACACACAUGCCACACGGCACUGCAGCAGUGCACGCCGCCCUCGCCCCCCAGCCCUUCCCUACCUCGCCAUCGCCCCGCACCCACCAGUCCAUGUGUGAGCGCCGGACAGCCAGACAGCCCGACAGCCGAACAGCCAGCCGCCGCACACUCCAGCACACACACCCUGCCGCGGCUUCUCCCGCCAGCCCCCCCACCUGCCCCACCCACCCGCAUGGGCUUGGUCAUCCACACCACCGGCGCCUCGGCCGCAACGCCCUUCAGCGCCUCCCCCAGCUGCGCGCUGGUCACAUUCAACACGCCGUCCGGACCUGCCGCCGCCGCCGCCGCCUCGGCCGGCAGGGUCAACACGUUGCCCCCGGGCCCCGGCCGCAGGGCGCGCGCCUCCGGGUGCAGCUGUUCCAGGAAGUGCUCCAUCUGGGGGGAGGGGGCACAUUCAUGGUGUAAUCAAUGGACGGGGGAACGCGGCAGGAGGCAGGGCAGGGAUUCUCCCAGAGAUUCUCCCUCCCGCCCGCCCGCCCGCCCGCCCGCACCUCUAUGGACAGCAGCAUGCGCGCCGCGACGUGGUUGUCGCCGUGCCCGUGUGCGCGCCGCUCCGUGUGCAGCGGGCCGUGCAGGCAGCCUGGAGGGCGGGGGCGUGUGGGUGGGUGUGGGGGUGUGCGGGCGCGUGUGGGUGCAGCGAGGCAGGGGUGUAAACGGCAGGCAGCGAGCAUCCCUUGGUACUCUUCAACAAAUACGCACAUGUUCCUCAAGUGCACUCUAGCACGCACACAGACACACACACACACACACGUACACACACACACGCACGCACACACACACACAGACACACACACGUACACGCACACACAUACACGCACACACACACACAGACACACACACACACACGCCGGGGGCCUCACCGUGCUGCACCCAGGCGAACCACUCGCAGCUCAUGUUGGAGAUGGAGGGGCCGUAGGGCGCGAAGGCGCCGCCGUUGAGGUAGCGCCAGGGCACGUAGUGCGAGCCGUUGUAGGGGAAGGCGCCGCCGCGGUGCAUCUGGCGGGGGAGGAGGCGGGGAGGGAGGGAGCACGCGGCCAGGCGGUGGGCGGGAGCGGAGGCGACACGGUAGUGUGUCAUGUCAUGGGCACGGCAGUGCUGACGUCAGCCCCGAGCUCGGCGCUAUCCCCCGCAGGCAGCGCAGGCCCCGCCACGCCCCCCAGGCCCGAGCCUGCCGUGUGAUAGGUCCCGCGUGCCCAGAGGGAUAGAUGGUGCGGCGGCGGCUCCCCAACUCUCCCGCCCCCUCACCCAUGGGAAGUCGCAAGACAGCUGCGGCACCGCCAGGGUGCGCCCCGCCGCCACCGCCACAGUGCUCAGCGCCGCCACCAGCUCCACCAGCUGCGGCUUGCCGGCCAGCACCAGGGCGCCGGGUGGCUCGCCGGCGGCGGUGGGCGUGCGGCUCACCACACCGGGCGCCAGGGCGAUCACGCGCGGCAGCGGCACCUGCGGCAGGAGGCGGGAGGCGGCAGGAGGUGGCAGGAGGUGGUGGGAGGUGGCAGGAGGUGGUGGGAGGUGGCAGGAGGUGGCGGGCGCAGCAUGGGGAGAAGGGAAAGGAGGCAGUGGUGGUGGUGGUGGGGGGGGGGUUGCCGCGUCGGCGGCAGGCGGGUGCAGGCUGCGGCCAAGGCAGUUUGACUGACGCGUGUGGCUGCACUCACGUGCUGCCCCAGUCGGCUGUGGUGCAGCCCCGCCCCGGCGCGCGCGGCGUGGUGUGCGCCGCCGCCGCCGCCGCCCGCAUGCACAUUGGUGGCGAAGUAGGCGCCGCCGGGGCCGUGCAGCAGGUGCGCCAGCGGGAAGCUGAAGGCGCCGUUGUGCAGCAGCUGGAAGCGUUUGCCCAUGGGCUUGUCGGGGGACACCACGAAGUGGCCGGCCUGGGGGUUGUAGCCGUUCAUGUGAACAACGGAGUAACUCAAUCACAACGGAGUUAUUAAAUCACAAGUAUAAAGUGCUGACAUCCCGGGGGGACAACAGGGAGUGUGGCAUGGGUCCGGGUGAGAGCGGCAGCAAGAGUGGCGCCCGGCAGCGCGCGUGAACACACACGAGGCCUUCAGCAAUACGCAUGCACACAAACGCCUUUGGGCCCACGCACCACGUUGCACGGCUCCGUGCCGUUGGGCCUCAUCUGCGGCAGGAACAUGCCGUUCAUGCCGCAGCCGCUCCUGCAGGGCGGCAUGAGGGCGGGAAGGAGGUUACAGUUACAGUGUAUGAGUCAUGGGAGGCGUUUUUGCAAGCCGAUUGUGUAUGUGUGUAUGUGAUGGAUACGCGUGGGAGGAGGGGAUUGCGCUAUUGGGGAGGAGAAGUGGAACACCAGGCACGAGGGGCGGGUGCGCUCGCUCACCAGUCGCACACGAUGUGGGCGGAGAAGUAGGAGAACUUCUCACUGGGCACUGCGGCCGCCGCGGCCUGUGUGCGGGGUGCAAGGCGCCGGUGUGGGGUCCAGGACGGGUUCAGUCGGUGCCUCCAGUUGAGUAUCAGGUGUGGGUGUCAGGUCAGCAGUCGAGGUCAGGCGGCGGUGCAACCGGGUGCCCUGCACUGCACGCAGCCCACUCCGCUCCCCCCCUGCACUCCACCACACGCCCAUCCAUACACCGCAUCCCUCUGAUCCGGCUGUCUGCCUCCCCCCCCUACAUUCCUCCCCCUCUACAUUCCUCCCCCUCUACAUUCCUGGGUUGGGCGGCAAUUCCUUGACUACUGGGACAUCUUUUUCUUUGGGCUCGGGCACAUACCCCCGCCCCGCCCCACCCCCUGGCCCACCUGUGUGCCGGGGUCCUCCAGGUCGGGCCACAUGGGUGUGCCCGCCUCCGCCAGCAUGGCCAGGAAGGCGCGCGCCACAGGCGUCAGCUCGCCCAGAGCCCUGCAGGCGGGGACCAGGGUGUGCGUGUGUGUGUGUGUGCGUGUGUGUGUGUGUGUGUGUUAAAGAGCACAAGGAAAACAUUACGCGUAGGACAGUGUGUGUGUGUGUGUGUGUGUGUGUGUGUGUGUGUGUGUGUGUGUGUGCGANNNNNNNNNNNNNNNNNNNNNNNNNNNNNNNNNNNNNNNNNNNNNNNNNNNNNNNNNNNNNNNNNNNNNNNNNNNNNNNNNNNNNNNNNNNNNNNNNNNNACACACACACACACACACACACCCUCUCCCCCCCCCCCACACACACACACACAGCCGCAGUCGCACGCGCUCGCACCUGCCGCCCAACGCCUCCGGCCACUGGCCGCCGAAGUGCGGCAGGCGCAUCAGCCCCUCCUGGUUCUUGAGCCCCUCCGGCCCCGACGUGUGCCAGUGGCAGGCGGGCCCGGGCCGCUCCAUGGAGAAGCGGCGCGUGCGCAGCGCCGGCCCAAUCAGCGCUGCGUGGGCGGCCUGGAACGCCUGCGGGUGGGUGGGUGGAGGUUCAUACAGGUGCGUGUGCGUGUAGCCUAUGUGUGUGUGGAGUCUGUACACAUCUUUUCAACAACCCCCACAUGUGUGUGUGCAUUGUGUGCGUGUGUGUGGACGGCGGAGAGGGCGUUUGCGUGAGCAUGCGUGUUAGGGAGCACAGGGAAAGGGGCCGUGUGGGCAUGUGCAUGCUAUCAUGUAGAUAUGAAAGCAGGGUGGGUUUGUUGCAGAAUCAGCCGCCCUGGGUCGCUGGUCCCUGCCAUACAUGCCACGCCGCGCUUCCGCUUUUAUCACUCCGUUCUUCACAUGAACGGCUAAACACCCCCCCCAAAGAAAAUCUUUGCAAACCCCACCGACCUUGAGGCCGUCCUCCCGGAGGUUCCACAUCCGGUCCAGCGGCCUGCGGGGGAGGGGGGCGGGGUCUUCAACAGACAGCAACCAACGCGGCACAGCAGCAGCAGCAGAGCAGCAGUAGCAGCGAGCCGCGUACGGCAGCAGCACCCAUGCCACCAAAAUCCACCAACCACCCUUGUCCCUGUCUCGCCCCCCUCCCCCUCCCUCCCCUUCCUCCCCCCUCCUCUCCCCCUCACCUUAUGUCCAGGCACCUCCAGAACACGGGCCUGCCCACCAGUGCGCUGUACACGGUGUCAGUCAGAACGGACUGGUCCCAGCAGUAGGCCACUGGGGGUGGGGUGGGGGGGGGGGGGGGAGGCAGGAUGGGGGGAGACAGGAUGGGGGGAGGCGGGGGGGAGGCAGGGGGGAGGCAGGGGGUUAACUUUGAACCAUUCCCGUGAGGAAACAGUCGCGCUGCAAGGAGAAACUGGGUGGUCGCAGGCGUUGGGGCGCGCGGCAGUAACCCCAUACCAGCUGCCAUAGUGCCCCCCCAAUGCCCCCAGUGCCCCCCAGUCCCCCCCCCAGCAGCUCACUGGAGCCGUUGAAGGCCGCCACCACCGCCGGCUGCUCGCGCCAGCGGAUGUUGCGCAGCAGCGCCUCAGCCAGGGACCAGGUCACCGGGCCAGAUGGGGAGGCGCCGCGCGCGUACUGCGAGCGUGUGUUUAAGAGCACAAGGAAAACAUUACGCGUAGGACAGUGUAUGCGAUGCGAGCGUGUGUGUGUGUGUGUGUGCGUGUGUGCGUGUGCGUGUGUGUGUGUGUGUGUGUGUGUGCGGGCGGGUUCCGCAGUGGUCACACGGGUUGGACGGGAGCAGGCGGGGAGGUGGUGGGGCGCGUGCAGCCGCCGUGCCGCCCUGGCGGUGCAUGCCAGCGCGGUCGUGGCCCGGGGCAGGUCCCAGCCCCACGUUAGGGUGUGUGGCAGCCCAUCACUCGUCAGUCCGGCGGCUGCUUGGCCGCACCACCUCUCCCUGCUGCCCCUCCCCCUCCCUCUCCCCCCUCUCCCUCCCCCUCUCCCCCCCCCUCCCUCUCACCAUGAAGCCUAUAUUGAGUGUGCCCAUGCCGUCCACCUGGGACAGCAGCUGGUAGUCUGCAGGGCGGAGAGCGGGGGGGAGGGGGGCAGGAGGGGGGGGGGACAUUUAUGAUUAAUUAAGAAGUGGAGGCGUAGGCAGGUACAGUAGCAUAGUAGGGGGGGAGGGGGUGUAGAUACCAGCCCAAACUAAACCGAACCCAAUGCACGCGCUUUGGGACUUGUGCUCGCAACCCCCGCUCCCCCCCACCCUUGUCCAGCUGCCCGUCCUCCGCCCCGCCCCCGCCCCUGUCUUUUACACACGGCUGUUCCCACCCCCCGCUCCCCACCGCACACACCCUUGUAGUCUGGCGUGUUCAUCCAGAAGUAGAAGUCGUCCAACAUGAGCGUGUCAGUGUCCAUGGCCUGUGAGGUGAGCGGGGGGAGCGGGGCGGCAGCAGUCAGGGGGGCCGGGGGGGAGCAGCAGGCGGGCGGGUGCAGCAGGCGGCACUGCGCUGCGCACCUGACGUACCUACCCCUGCCACGACACCCCCACCAUCACUACUGCCACCACCACUGCUCCGCCUCGCCUCGCGACCACGCGGCCCUACUCCUCCCCUCCCCAGGGCGGCGGGUACGACACCUCCUGGUCGAACCACACGCAGCCCGUGUAGGCGCCCAGGAUGGCCCUGGCGUGCGGCGGCGGGGGUUAAGGGGGCUUGCAUUAAUGAUUAGCUAAGGAAGUGCGGGGGUUCAUGCAUGACAAGGUAGCUAUGAUGAACAGGGGCGUAGCCAUUCAUGCGAACGGUUUGUAAUAAACAUGGAAGUGUCGACGCCCAGAGGCACAGCGGGAACCCGCGCCGUCCAGGGGAGGGGUUGUAGAUACCAGCCCAAACUAUACCGGGGGAGCUGGAGGGGCAGGCAAGCUGACAAAGGGUGGGCGGUUACGAUGGGCUGCAGGGCGGGAGGCCCUGCCCCCUGCCUCCUGCCCACGACCUGGCUCUGGCCGCCCCUCGGCUCCCCACCGCCGCACCUGAGCGCCUUGCAGCUGUGCUCGCCGCGCAUGAUGACCACCGUGUGCGCGUAGCCCAUGCGCAGCUGCCGCCAGCUCCACUGCGCCGCCUGGUCGAUGCGCGUCUCAGUGGUGAUGAUGAUCUGCGCACGUGGAAUAGGGGGGUUGGUUGGGUGGUGGGGCCGUGGGAGGUGGGUCAGGCACUGGGGUGCGGUGGCUGGUUGGUGGCAGGCGGCGCUAAACCACUUCGCACGAGCCUUGGUGGUCAUCAUUAAGCAAAGCCCCAGUGCAGCACCCCCACUCGCAAUCUAGCAUUGCUCCGCACGUCGUGUGUCCGAAGGACCGCGCUGUGGGAUGGCUGGCCGGCCCUGGUGUUUCGGGCCAAGGUGCGCCUACCUCGCUGUUGUGGCUGCGCGCCUUGAGCAUUGCCCUCACGUCAUCCCACGUGCUGAUGGGCCCCACGAACGGCAGCGUCUUCUGUAGCGAGCAGCUGCCCGUGUCCUUAGCCUGCACGGGCGGCGCCGGGCAACACGUGCGGCGGGGUGCUCCGGAAACCGAGGAUGGUGGGAGGGGCGGUUCGCAGGGAGGUGCACUCCCAGGAGCCCGACCAAGUUCAUGGUGACAAACUUGUCUCAGGGUUUUAUCACUGUACCUUUGGAUUGUUCACAUAGAUAUCUUCACACGUCUUCGGAAGCAGUUCUGAUGCUGCUCCCUUGACACUCGAGGCUUCGCCCGCUUGCAGCAAGUCACGAGAAAUAAAAUCUAGAUGCUCUCGGGAAUAGUCCUCAUACGAUCCUGGAAAAGCGCUGUCCGUCGAGGGCUCGCCGAGCCAUUCGCGCCAGGCGUGCCGAGCGCCUUGGCACGGAGCAGCACACACAAAUGCUAUAAGGGCCACUAAAAGACUGAUUGAGUCUAUGCGCAUCAUUUUAAGGAGGUUGGGUGUUGCAGUUGCGCCUUGCGAGCUCAACCCCGAGCUGCAGUUGGUCUCCGCAUUCUUGAGGGCCUGAAAAGAGUAAAGAUUGCUACAGUUCUGCUAACAAGUGACCUGAGAAGGCAAGUUGAGAACAGGAGUGCCGCGAACCGGCAAGCGGGAUGGGGGCCGCGAAACGGACACACUAACCCCAUGCAGGAUUGGACCUCGGUCGCCCCACCAUCGCGUGCUCUGCUAGCCAACACAGUUCAAACACGCAGCAAUGCCUGGACACAGCACUCCGGCUUCAGCACCAAGCCACCAACCCCAUGCAGGCAUGGCUCUCCACCUUCGCGUGCUCUGUUGGCCAACGCACUUCAAACCCGCAGAAAUGCCUGCACAUGCUCUGGGGGUAAACGCAGUCCUGCUUCAGUUUCCACCCCGGCAGAUGCCCCUUGUAGAUCUAGUCUGCACCCCAAAAUGGAUUCGCGCCCCUGGUCGACCCGCCUCAUACAGCGCACGCUCGCGCACCCUCGGCAGGACCCAGUCCUGCAAGUUUAUCCAGCACAUUGCCUGCUGCAUCUGGACCAAUGCCUUUCCUGACGCUACUACGGUAACCUCCAAGGUACCUGUGGGCCUUUCCCGUUCACACAGUUCACUAGAUCACGUCCAUGGUCCCGCCCAGGCGCUUGCUGCCAAGCCGGUCCACACCGCCGCCUGGCGCCAUCCCCGCCGGCGCCCCUGCCGCCGCCGCUGCAGCAUCGGUCGUAGGCAGUGUGUCCGACACAGCUGCCGCCGCUGCCGCCAGCGCAGCACCCGGCGUCAGCGGCUGCGGCGACGGCUCCCGGCCGCCCCCACCGCCCCCACUGCUGCCGGCGUGCGGAAUGGCCAGCGUCAGCCGCGGCGCCGUCCCCGACGUCGACGACGCCACACGCAUGCUGCCAGCGGGCGUCAGCGUCACGCUUCCGGCACCGCUGCCGCCGCCGCCGCCGCUCCCCGCAGCACCCCGCCCCAUCCCUGCAAAGCCGCUGCGCUGCGGCUGCAGCGAACGCAUGCGCGCCAGGGCCAGGGCCGCGGGCGCCGGCGGCGGCGGCGGCGGCGCGAAGCCCAAUGGGCCGCUGCUGCCGCCGCCGCCGACGCCGCGGAGCUGCCCGCUGCCGCUUGCCUGCGACGUCAAGCCGCCGCUGCCAGAGGCGACGAUUCCAAAGGAGGCCGGGUUGCUGUUGCCGCGGGGCGGCGCCGUCAGCCCAGGUAUGGGCGGCAGCGGCCGCUCACCCAGUAGCUUAAUGCCCAGCGAGCUGACGGCGCUCCCGCUCGGUCCGGCGGCAGCAGCAGCAGCGGCGUUGGAGGCGGCACCAGCUGCUCCAGCAGGCGCUUCGGCCCCGGCGGGGGCUGUCGGCGCCGACGGCGGUGCAGGCGCGCCACGGCUGAGUGCGGGCCCUGGCGCCGCUGACGACGUUGCUGUGGUCGCCGGCUCCAGCUGCUCCACAGGUUGCAUCGCCGCCAGCGCGCCGGCAGGCAGGAUGGGCCGCAGGCAGAAGGCGCAGGUGGCGGCGCCGCAGGUGCUGCACGCGGGGCCGGCAAUGACCAGGCCGGUGGCAGCGGCGGCGGCGCCGCCGCCUGGAGCCGCCGCUGGCGGCUGCGCCGGCGGCGGUGAUGGCGGCAGUGGCACGCCGGCGGCCAGGAAGAUCUUGUUAAUGAAGGAAGUGUGGCCGCCGGAGGACAUCCGGCGGUGGCUGCGGCCGCCAGCGGCGGCGGCAGCGGCGGCUGCGCCGCUGUUGCUCACGCCUGGCAGGUGCGCCUGAGGCUGCGCGCCCAGUGGUUGCGGCAGCGGCAGCGGCAGGUGCGGCUGCUGCGACAGCGUCAGGCCCGUUGCGGAGGCUGCGCCGCGGCGCGCGAGCAGCAGCGGCGGCCGCGGCAAAGCGUCCCAGGCCGUGUCCACGCCUCCGCUGUCGCUGUGUCGCUGCUGCUGCUGCUGCUGCUGCUGCUGCUGCUGCUGCUGCUGCUGCUGCUGGUGUGACGCCAGCGACGUCUUUUCAAGUGAGCGCCGGGGCCCGGCGGCGGCGUCGCCGCCGCUUGCGACCGGCACGCCGCCCGAGUCCGUCACACGGCGCCGCCGUAGCUCGCCGGACACCGCCCUCCCGCCGCCGCCGCCGCCGCCCGCGGCCCUCGGGUCGACCAGGUCCCGCUCCCGCGGCGGCGACGGCGGCGGCGUCAGCGGCCCCGAGCCGCCGCCGUCCGUGCCGCCGCCGGUGCUGUUGGUGUGCCCGCGGCCGCCGCCGACACUGAGGCUGCCUGACAGCAGCCGACUCAAAUCGGACACGUCCCGGAACGCCGCCCCAUCGCCACCGCCACUGUGAACGAUGGUGCUGUUGGCGGCGGCGCUUGCAACGGAAUCGCUUGCGUUGUAGCCGCCUGCGACGCCGAACCCCGGCGGCUCCGACAGGCCCAACUCCUCCGCGAUGUCGCCGCGUUGCUGCGGCCCCCGCCGCGGCAUGGCUGCCGCCUCCGGCGCCGGCGCCGCCGUCGCCGCCGCCUUGGUUGGGGUGGUCCGUGUAAGUGAGCCCGACAGCACCAGCGGCGGUGAGCGCCGCUCCGGCGGCAGAGCCGCCGCACCAGCAGCCGCCGUAGCAGCGGCUGCCGGGGCGGCGGCCAUCGCCGCUGACGCCGUCCUCGUGGGCGCAGACGCACGCCCCGGCAGCAGCACCGGCGGCGUGUUGCCGAAGCCGGGCCGGCCGCUGAGGGAGCUGAGGCGGCCUAGGCGGGCACUGGAGCCCGAGGCCGCCGCCGCCGCCGCCAGUGCCGCCGCCGCCGCGUUGCCGCCGCGCAGGCUGCCACCGGGGCUCCCGCUGACCGUGCCUGCCCUGCCGCCUCCACCUGCCGCCGCCGCCGCCGCCGCCGCCAUGGCUUCCAGGCCGGCGGUCCGGCCGUGGCCGGAGGUGGAGGGGUUGGCGGAGGUGCGUGAGCUGGCGACGCGGUAGAAGGAGUAGGGCACGGAGCCGCUCUCGGACAGGAAGCGGGAGGAGCGGGCGCGGCCGGGCGCACGCAGCUGCAUCAUGGCCUGUGGGGGUGGUGCGUGGUCGGUGUGGUGUGGGAUGGGGUGGGGGCUGCAGCGGGAGACCAGGGAGUCCGGAGGCGGCCUGAUCAUGCGGGUGCGGGUGCUGGUGCUGGUGCUGGUGCUGGUGCGGGUGCGGGUGCGGGUGCGGGUGCGUGCAGCCCCAACACCCGGAAGCGGAUCAGCCAGCUGCGGGCACACCACACGCAAGUCUUGGCACACCCACAAAUGCACGCGCGCGCACACACACACACACACACACACACACACACACAUCCACGCACACACGUACCUGCUCUCCGGGCGUGAGCGUGCGCGGGAUAGCCGCCUCCAGAGGCUCAGCCGCCCCGCCCGCCUCAGCCCCGGCCCCAGCCACCCCCACCGGCGCCAGCCCCGCCGCCGACCAGCGCCCCGACGCCGCGCGGCUCAGCGGCGGCGCCGGCUGUAGCAGCUCGCCGGAGCCGGACGGCUGUAGCUGCGGCUGCUGCUGCAGCUGCUGCAGCCCUGUUGCUGACGACGAGCGCGGGAAGGCCGACCCGUCCGUAGGCAGCUCGCUGUGCCGCUCAAUCACAGGCGGCAGCAGCGGCCGCAGCGGCGCGCCCGCAACCCCGCGCACCGACAUCUGGUGCGCCAGCCGCCGCGCCGCCGGCAGCGACGGAGACGUACGGCCGAUAACCGCCGCCGCCGACGCGGCGCUAACCGCCGCCGCCGACGCGGCUGCGGCCGCCGACCGUGGCAUGGGCUCCGCCAGCUCCCCGCCCUCCGCCGCCACCGCCACCCACGCCCCCGCGCCGCCGCCGCCGCCGCCGUCCGCCGUCACGCUCACGGCGCCGCCGUCACCGUCAACGCUGCCGUACCCGGAUCCACCGUACGCCAGCGCACUGUAGUGCGAUCCGCCGUACUGCGAGAAGAUCGCCCCGGCGGCGUCACCGACGGCGGCGGCGGCGGCGGUUGGUACGGCACCGGAGGUGGGCGGGCUGAGUACGGACAUGGGCGUGGCUGCGGGCGUGGGCAUGUCGCCUACGGAGGGGGUGCGGCGGUGCGGCGCGUGCGAGGCGUGCGGCGGCGCGGCCAGGCCGGGCAGCAGGCGGGAGGUGCGGUCCAUGGCGCGUGUGGCUCGGGCCACAUCCAGGCUGAAGCGCUGGGAGGUGCGGUCCUCGGGCUGCGGGCGGAGGAGGAAAGGGGGGGUUCACAUUCAUGAUUAGUUAAGUGGUAGACGGUAGACAAUCUUGGGGAGGGGGGUUGUAGAUACCAGCCCAAAUUAAACCGAAUCAAAUGCAGGGGGCGAGAGGGGCCCCGGGAGGUGGUUGGAAGGGGGUCGUAGGUGCGGGGAGGCGAGGGGUCGGGAGGUCAGGCGGCGGCGGCGGCAGCGGCGACGGCACGCAACAGGCAGGGGUUGGGUUGUGGUGGCCACGCACAGGGGGGGUCACACGUGGCGGGUCAGGCUGGCCGGCAAGGCACGCAGACAACGGCACGCAGACAGCGAGCCGCUCGGCCUGCCUCUGCCCCUGCCUCACCUCGGGCUGGUCCGGCCCCGCCGCCAGCUCGCGGCUGACAGAGGCGUCCAGCCAGGCGCCCAGCAGCCGAACCAGGCUGCCGUCCUCCACAGCGGCCUGGGGGAGGGGAGGUGGGGGGAGGCGGGGAGGGGGAGGGGAGGGGAGAGAGGGGGUGUGCGGGGAGGGAUGUGCAGGUAUGGGGUGCCACACACGGGUGCCACAGGUGAGCCGGACAUUGCCGCCUGUCAGCCUGACUGUCGGCUGGCCGGCCUGCCUGGCGAGCUGCGCCAUGCCGCAUGAUUACUGGUAAUGAUUGGGUAAAAACACAGACAUCGCCAGCAGACCGCCGACAUUUUUCUGUCCCCCCUCCACGCAGCUCUCCCCCUCCGCCACCUUCCCCCGGCCCCCCUUCCCCCGGCGCCGCCCUCCCCCUGCCCCCCCCCUCCCCCCCCCCCGGCCGCCGCCGCACCAGCUGCAGCGCCAGGUAGCAGUCGUGUAUGCGCUCCCGCAGCGGCCCCAUCAGGAAGGAGCGCUUCAGCAGCUGCACCACCUCGCACCAGCCCAGAUCGUCCUGGCGGCCCAGGGCGUGUCCCAGGGUGGUGGUGGGGGUACAUUCAUGAUUAUUUAAGAAGUGAAGGCGUAGCCAGGUACAGUAGUAUAGUGGGGUUACAUUCAUGAUUAAUUAAGAAGUGAGUGGGGUGGGGGAUAGCCGUGCAUGGAGUGGAUCAUAUUACAGUCAGUCAGGGAGGAGGAGUGGAACACGCGCGGAAGGGGGGCGGCAGCAGCAGGCGCUGCAGGCGCAAGGCAAGCAGCAGGCGAGGAGCAAGACGAAGAGAAGCACAAGGAACCCAUGGCAACAACAGACGGACAGACGCACAGGGUAGGUGGGUCCUGCCCACCGCGCCGCCGCGCCGCCCACACCGUCCGCCCGUCUAACUGCUCAUGCCCGCCCCCCCCCCCCGCCGCCGCGCACCUCCUCCUCCUCCGCGCUGCCCGCCAGCCAGCCCAGCAGCCUCGUGCGCACGUGCGCCAGCGCCAGGCGGCUGGUGGCGGGGUACAGGCGCUGCACGGCGCGCAGGGCGGGGCCGCGCAGCUGCCACAGCCGGCAGGGGCGCUCCGUGCGCAGGCUCCAUAUGCGCGUGCUGCAGGGGGGGGCAACCACGAAUAGCGCGAGUUACGAAAGCACAAGGAAGGAAACGGGCAGGACAGUGUAGGCGGUGCGCAGAAACGCCCUCUGUCUUGCAAUCUUGCAUGGACGUCUACCACCCCCCCCCUCCGACGUCGGCGUGGUGAUACUCGUGAUUUAAUCACUCCGUUCUCCACAUGAACGGCUACCCCGCGGGCCUCUCCCCCCCCAUUUAUAUGUUCCUGGCUACGCCUUCCCGUAUUUAAUAAUCAUGAAUGUAGCCCCCCAUUUCACGCCCCCAAUUUCCUGCCCCUCACCUGCAGGCCGGCACCAGCUCUGCCAGCAGCGCCGCGUCCCCCAGCAGGCACGGCGCCAGCAGCCCGGUGGGGCCGGCGGGCGCCUCGGCGCGCUCCUGCGCACGUGGGAGGAGGAGGAAGGCGCGUGCAUGUGUGUGUUUGCACGCGCAAGUGUGCAUGUGUGUGUGUGUGUGUGUGUGUGUGUGUGUGUGUGUGUGUGUGUGUGUGUGUGUGUGUGUGUCUCCCCCCCCCCCGCCGCCUCACCAGCACGUCCCGCUGUGUGCCCUCGGGCACGUGGCCCUCGCCCAGCCACUGCCGGAUGUGACUCAGCCGCUUGCGCGCGUCAAACACGCGCUGCGCCUCCGCCUGCAGAGGCAGGGGGGGAGGCAGGGGCAGCGGCAGCACAUGUACGGGCGCAGCAGUGCGGUACCAGGUGUCACGCGAGGGCGCUGCUGAUGUCAUCCGCCCGUGUUGCCGCUUCGCCUGACAGCCCCGCCACCGGCGCGCCGCCUGCUGCGUGCCCACAUACACGCGCGCGCACAUACACACGCAGACCCCCUACAACUUUACCUACACACACGCCCCCCACCUUGCUCCGCAUCUGAGUGCCCUGCCCCCCGCCCCCCCGCCCGCCCCCGGCCCCCCGCCCGGCUGCUGCGCACCUGCGACCUCUUGAUGGUGUUGCCGAUGAGCGCCACCACCGCCCCGAACACCAGCACGCCGUUGAGCAUCACCACGUUGGUCAGGACCUGAAGGGAGGCGGUAGCCGCUCAUGAUUAGCCAAGUACAUGGUAGACGGUAGGCAAUGGUAGACGACAUUCGUGAUUAACAAGUAAAUGGUAGACGAUGUGUAUCAAAAAUGGAAGUGCCGAGGGGGGCGGGCGGGCGGGCAGGGGGUGGUGUUGGGGCGUGGGAGGGGCUUGGCAGGAAGGCGAGGUUUGGCACGGAGGGGUAGGGUUUGGCGGGUAAAAUGGAACCACGGGAACAGUAGGGGGUCCAGGCAUAUCGAGCUAGACAAUGGCAAUGACGCAUAGGCGCUAGGGAAGGCGCUGGCUCACCUGGCUGCAUUAAUUACGCUAGCUCGUUUGUUCGUUUGUUGUAUGUAGGCAGGUGCACACAAUACGCACGCACGCACGCACGCACGCACGCACGCACGCACGCACGCACGCACGCACGCACGCACGCACGCACACACCUGCUCGAUGGGGCUCUUGGGCACAAAGUCGGCAUACCCAGUGGUAGUCAUCUGCGGUGUGUGUGUGUGGAGGGGGUUGCAUGCAUGAUUAAUUAGGAAGAAGUUGUAGCCAGGCACAUUGUAGCCAGCAGGCGCGUCGUCGCCCGGAGGGGUUGGAGGGGGGAGGGGGGUGGGGUGGGGCGGGCAUGACAGCGGGUGGGUUGGGGCAAGGUGCUGGUGUGGCUGCGUGGGUGCGUCCUUGGCGCGACCUCCCUCACGCCCUCACGCCCUCUGAGGUUGCCUCACCGCUCACACGACUACGCGCCCGUAGCCCUCCCCCAACAAACCCGUCUCCUACUUACCGUAGUCCUGACUGCAAACCUCACCCACCCACACCCACACACCCACACCCACACACCCACACCCACACACCCCACCCACACCCACCCACCCACACACCCCCACCCACAAUGGUGACCACGAAGUACACGGCGCUCCACCACUGCCGCGCGCCGCUGCUGGCUGCCACCGACAUCCAGGCAAUGCUGUCCAUCCAGGAGGCGCGGCCCGCCGCCGACUCGUAGUGGCUGAUGAGCAGCAGGAUGCAGGAGUACAGGUUCACGAACAGCGCGCACUGCGGCAGGGUGGGGUGGGGGAGAAGGGGGAGAGGCAGGGGGAGGAGGAGGGGGAGGAGGGGGAGGAGGAAGGAGGGUUUUGCAAAGGAGGGCGCGGUUUGUAAAAUUUCCAGGAAAGGAAACAGCAAAUGCUAGGGGGGUGGCGAGGACAGCAGAGGAGGCUGGGGCUUGCGGCGGGAACCCAGAGCUCGCCGCCCGCCACUCGCCGCGCGGCUGAGGCUGAGGCAGAGGCAGAGGUUGAGGCAGUUCAAGGCGGGCAGGUCCAUCAGGCCGCCCCCUCCAUCUCACACCCCCCCCCCCCCACACACACACACACACACAUCCAGCUCUCCCCCCUGCCUCACCACGUAGCACAGCAGCACCAUGUAGACGGAGGUGAUGGACACGUUGUCGGCCAGCCAGCUGGGCUGCAGCUCCGAGCCCACAGAGUGCGUGUAGAACGUCUGUGUGCGGGUGUGGGAGUGUGUGCGGUGUGUGUGUGGGGGGGGGGGUUACAUUCAUGAUUUUUUAAGAAGUGAAGGCGUAGCCGACGCGUGGGGGGGAUGCGGGUGGCGGGUGGGCGGCAUUGUGGGGUUGAAAUUGGGAUCUGGGUAUGGAGUUUUGGAUCGAUACAGGAGAGAGAUGGCGAGGAGUGGAUCAAGCGCUGAGGGCACAUCAGGGAUGCGUGCGACUCCCCUGAGGUUCUGGAAUGAACUACCCCCUCUCCCUCUCCCUCUCCCUCUCCCUCUCCCUCUCCCUCUCCCUCUCCCUCUCCCUCUCCCUCUCCCUCUCCCUCUCCCUCUCCCUCUCCCUCUCCCUCUCCCUCUCCCUGCCCCCCUCUCCCUCUCUCCCUCUCCUCCCUGUCCCCCCCCCCCCUCACCGAUAUGAUGCUGGCCACUCGGAACAGGCGCACCAGGCGCAUGAGUGAGAUGAUGGACACGGUCUGGUUGCUGGACACGGAGUCGUCCAUGCGGAUCAGGACCAGCUGCAAAGCACGGCAGGCGGGCAGGCGGGCGGAAGGCGGGGGAGGGCGGGGGAGGGGCAGAAGGCGGGGAAGGGCGGGCGGGUGGGGCGGUUACAAAGCUGAGAGGUGGCGCCGUCAGGUGGGGCGUUUGAAAGGCUGAGAGGUGGAGCGGUGGCGCGGGGUGAUGGGGCAGUGGAGUUGCAGUGAGGGCAAGGGGCAGGCAGAAUUCCUUUGCGCCCCUGCCCCCUUCCCUAAUCCCUCUCCUAGCCCCCUGCCCCUCCCUGCCCCCUGCCCCCCCCCACCAGGUAUAUGAAGGGCGCUAUGGCCAGCAGGUCCACCCAGAAGGUCCAGGUGCGCACGUACAGCGCCGCCGUGUCGCGGCCGUCCGUCACCACGCGGCUGCGGUAGCCGGCGGCCAGCGUCAGGCCCACCUGCAGGGGAGGGGGGUGCGGGGGUGGGUGCGGGGGAGGGGUGCAGGGGAGGGGUGCAAGGGUGCAGGGGGUGCAGGGGGUGCGGGGCGGAGAGGGCGGGCGAAAGACGUGGGCCGUGUGGGCGGCGUGUGCCUUUGUGCGCACGACACGUCAGAAGACAGUUGCCAACAUCCCAACAGCACACAGACCCACGCGUGAAGGCACGCAACACGCACAUGCACACACACAACGCACACACACAGACGCACACACACCUGGAAGCCCAGCAGCAGGUUGAGAAUGUAGAUGACGCCUGGCACACAGGAGGGCAUGAGCGAGGUUGUGAGCUGGUGAGGCGGCGUCCGCACAUCCGCUCCCGCCCGACAAGCGCUCCCACAUUGCAUGCCCCAUUCAUCUCACACCAUCCCAUGACCAAGACCCUGCGGCUGUCCGUCAACGACGAUGGGAUCUGGUCUCGGUGCACUGGGGACUUCUUUCGAUUAGCCCCGCCCCCUGCUGCCCCGCCUCCCGCCUCACCUCCCGCCAGGUCCACCUGCGUGCAGCUGGCGUCCAGGUCGCCGUACUGCGCCAGGCAGAAGGCGGUGUUGACGGGCACCCAGAACGCCGUGUACACCAGGUCAAAGCACAGCAUGGCGCCCGCCCAGCCCAGAGCCGCGCCGCAGUGCGGGUGCAGCAUGGGCAGCAGGAACACGGAGCGCCUGGGGGGGAAGGAGGGGGGGGGGAAGGGGAGGCAGAGGAGGGCAAAGGACUGAAAGGAGGCAAAGCCGGAAGUGGGUACUGUGUUGGAACAGCACCGGAAUGUCGCAAACCGUGUGCCGUUUCGCCCCUCUUCCAGAACGGCUUCAUGCCCGUGUGCAUCUAGCAAGCCCUAUCUUCCGAACCGACUCUUGUUCGGAGUUCUCAAGGAAUGCAGCAGAACAAGUCGGCCCCCUGCUCCUCCACCCGUGCCCUCCUCUGCUGCUGCUGCCGCCCGCCGCCCGCUGGCCGUGCUCACCGCGGCGCCGCGCGCCCCUCCGCCUCCCGGUCCAGCAGCUCCUGGCCGUACGCCUCGUAGGCGGGCAGGUCCACGGGCAGCUGCCGCGACACCAGGCUGUACAGCACGCCUGUCAGGGGGGGAGGGGGAGGGGGAGCGAGUGUCGGCGCAUGUGUGCGUGGGGUACGCACCGCAACCGUGGAUGGCUACCCCCCUCUUCUGGCUUGACAAUGCCUUUCUUGACAUGGGAAUGGUGAAACUCACCGUGCCCUGACAGUGAUUUGGCGGGUGCGUCAAACGCCCAGCGCCUCGCCGACUUGAGCCCCGUCCAGGCGGUAGCGGCCCAGUGCCGAGCCACGUCGGCAGCGCUGGGUGGCACGUACAUGCUCGCCUCGCCGUCGGGCGCGGCCGCGGCUGCCACCACAGGCCGCGGCGGUAUGCAGGCCUCCUUGAGCCGCGCCCACAGCCCCCGCGGCUGGUGCUGCCGAGCGAAAGCCACUUGCAGGGGAUUCAGGUGCUUGGCAGGGUGGGCUGCAAAAGCUCCCCCCUUGACGCCCGCGGCCACGCCGCCACCGGUCCCGGCAUAUGAGCCGGUGUCUGUGUCGAAGGAUGUGCUGUCGCCGAUGUUCGCGGCGACGCUGGCCGCAGCAGGGCCGUGCUGACCAUCGGAGGGGGGCCCGGCUCCGGCAGCGUGGCUGGUGCCAGCGUCGGCCGCAUACUGCGGGAAGCUGCGGAGAUCCUCGAGCUGCACGCCAACGCUUGGAAUGACAGGCAGCGGCAUUCUUCUCCACUCAAGCUGAGGCUCCGGCGCCUGUCACGCCAAAGCGACGGUCACGCCCUCGCGAGCGGGCAGGCACACGGUCGCCCGAAUGCUGCACGUUGAAUUUCAAGAUGCCUACACAGCAGCAUUGCUAGCUGCGAGCUACGGUGUUGGACACCAUUCGGACAUUCUCCAUGAAUCGCUUCAGGGGCUCCCCUUGUAGCUCUGCGCACAAUAUAUUGCUAUUAUUGUAUACUGUAUGCGUUAUAGUUUCCUGCACACACGGCGCCUCCAUAUGCAUCCAAUCGAGUCAAUGGACUUUACGAAUGCUUCUUUUAGUCUUGCGCGACACAGUGACAUUAUGAGUGUCGAUUUACACUUUUUCAGGAAUAAUUAGCUGUCAGGAGGCGACGGCCCAGCAUCGCGCGGCUAGAACCCUGGUCCGGUCGCCGCUCAAAUGCCCCUCACGCUGGCACGGCCACCCGUCCGGCCCCAGUGCCACCCAGCCACAGCAGCUCGCCCACAGGCCGACCGUUGCUCAUGUACUAGCUCUGUGGCUGUGUCUUAGUUGCAUAUCGACUGUGCUGCACCCCGGCCCGGCCAGGACCUGUGGCACGUGCCAGGACCGGCUGCACCAGGGUGCACCUGGCCAGCAACGCCAGUGCGAGGGCUCGGUAAUUGCUAGCAAGGAACCCGAGUACGCUGCCGCACCAAACGGCAUCGGUCGCUAUGUGAUAGAUGAGUCCGCCGCAGCUCACGUUUCGGCUAUUGGACGCCAUUUCGGCAGAGCAUAGCAAGGUGGAGUACCUUGGGUAGCUGGUCAACGGGACUGGGCAUUGUAUGCAUGUCAGUACGGCUAGGGUUCAACCCAGUGUUGAUGUAGCAGGACCGCUGUUACCAGGACAAGCCAGACCCUGUUUGGGAGUUGGGAGUUUCCCGGCUUCCCGUAGGCUUUCCCGUAGGAGUUGUGAAAGGUUUCCACGCCACAGCAGUGCUGCGCUCUGCGGCUGUGCACUGCGCAGUGCGCCCCGAAUGCCACCGUGUGGCCCAUUGCCAACACGGCCCGUCCCUGGGCAUAGGGGCUGCACAGACUGUGAGCUUCGUAGUAUUGCAGGCCCAGGCACUCUGUCGAUUGCUGCCGUACGGCAGCGCAGGACGCCAGGACGGAAACACAGCAAACACUCCUGGGAAAUCGGAGGACUUGCGCCGGGCGCUCAGCCUUCGCCUGUCACUAGUCAGCCAUGCCAGUCGGGGACACUGGUCGUCCCUAGACACUUGCCAGGGUGGAUCGGUGCGGACUGCGCGAAAACCCUCUCUAAACUCCAUCCGAGCAGAGUAGUAAAUUGCUGCACUCAAGACGCACAUCAAAUUCAACAGUAAACGUCACAACGCUGCUGACGGAGACUUACACAACAGGCACACCUUGCCAACACUCGCAGAAUGCUUUGCAUCUUCUUUAAAACUGCGGUGCAAUAGAGCAGAUGUUCUGCGGGACAAAUGUACCUAUAAUAGCGUGACUGCGAGGAAAGGUGUAUACCAAUUACCAGCCAGGAUCGCGCCAAGCGCGCUUCUGUCACGCGAUUUAGAAUCCAUGGGGACCAGUCGCAACGCAAGGGGGUCCCUUGGUUUUCGUGGUGGUGUUGCAUGUUUCUUGAUCGUCGCAUCGUGUCUUGCGUCGCUAAGCGCGGUCCAGGGUGCGGCACAGAGCCCUUUCAAAGAGGAGAUAAAGACCUGCCAUCCGGACUGCACAAAGUGAGACCUCCGCCGAAGCGGGUGUCCCCAGUGAAGGCCGUCAGUUAGGACUCACCACGCGGCUGCUGACCUAAAUCCGUGCUCGCCCUGCAGGUUUGGGAACUGCAACGGCGAGACGGGACAGUGUGACUGCCCGUUCGGGCUCACAGGUGAGCGUGGCGGGGUUUUGUGGGGCUGGCUGCUGCGAAAGCAUUUUCUGCAGAACCGGGGAACUACUGCUGACCGGGGUGCGGCUUCCCCAACCCGCCGCCCCAGGCCCGUCCUGCCAGGAGCGGCUGUUCCCGGCCUGCCACUCCAGCAAAGACGAGGGCACAGUGCCGCACUACGGCACCUGGUACCCCAAGAAUUGCGAGUGCAUCAAGUGCGUGGCGGGCCGGGGCUGGGGUAACGGGCAGGGCCACGCGGAGUCGCCUGCAACAGUUGUGUGCAGGCCGUGGCCAGCUCCGUGCAGCACGCUCUCUUCAGUCCAUGCAGCUCAACCCCCUUCCGCACGUGCUCGCGCUGUACAUGACGCAGGCAGCUGCGUGACUGGCCGGGGUCCUGCCCCGACUACCUACACUAUGAGGGCAACAGCGCCGCGUUCUUGUCGCCCUGCUUCUACGACUCAGUCACACACCACAACGUGAGUGCAAAGCAGCUAGCCCGCACCACCACGUGAACGCGUGCUUGGCUGCGCAUAAGAUGCCGGUUCUGCUUCGGUCCCUCUCAUCCGCCGCAUCGCAAACACCGCACAUGGUUUGAGGAGGGGCACGAGAACCCCAGCACAGCAAAUGCGGAUGCCUGUUGUGCCUUCUGGUUGUUCCCUCCCUGUCGCUCUGCAGCUGCUGUGCUUCAGCUACAAGGGCCGGGACCCGGCGGAGCAGCUGUCCGACUCGCCGCCGCUUGACGACCCCAACGUGGAGUGGUUCCACAUCACGGGCUACCCGCGCGUGCUCAUGACGCCGGUGCCGCCCGCGCAGUGGCCCAAGGUAGUUGCGGUAUGCGAUAGCCCGCGCGGGCAGGGCAUGCUGCGGUGCGACACACCAGCAUGACUUGGAUCCGGCGGGCGGGGCUUGCAGAGACGCUGCGGUGACGCUGCCACCGGUGCGGUGCGUGCGCCGGCGCCACGUGACGUGCCGACCGCAUUCACGGCCUCGCCCGCUGCUGGCCCGCGACCGUGCGUGCAGGAGUACAAGACCCCCGACGGCGGCCAGUGGCGGCCGCUGAGCGAGUGCCCGGACCGCUGCAACAACCGCGGCUGGUGCCAGAUCCAGGGAAGCAACUACCAGGUGGGAUGGGGUGGGGCGGGUGGAGGGCUAAUGCACAAUGUUCGCCCACAGAACCUUUCGGUUCGCUGCGCGUAACAGUUGGCUGACGUGUCUGUGUGCGCCCUCAAACCGCUGUGUCUGCAUAGGGCUUUCACGAGGACCCCAAGGAGCGCUGGUGCAACUGCCACGGCUACUACGAGGGCAAGUCCUGCGAGAUAGCCGACCCCGGCCACUGCUACCGCAACUGCAGGUAGGGCCGGGGCCCGCUGGCUGCGGAGCAGUUAGGCUCAUACCAUAAAAGAGCAUGUAUGCUACCCUCCUGAAAGCCACAAAGAUAGCGGUUGACCACGUGCGCGGCUGCUGCAAUACUUAACAUUAAACACGUGCUCUUUCCACCGCCCUCCCAUCCUGCCUCGCAGCGGCGUGGGCGAGUGCGUGGGCGGCUGGUGUCACUGCAAGCCGGGGUACUGGGGCCACGGCUGCACGCGUACCAAGGCGUACAGCAGCAGCGUGGGUGAGAGCUGGGGGGGAGGGGGGGGUGGCGGGGGGCGGGCGGCUCAUGGGGUACAGGAACGUGCCUGAGGCGGCCGUCUCCCGGGCCCUCGCCCGGGCCGACUGACCCCACAUCACCACGUACCACCGCUCCACGCAACUCAGCCCCGCCACGCCUCGCUUCCACCCGUCCUACUCGUAUGGGGCAUGGGGACGUGCCUCCGGCGGCGGGGUAAUGGGGACGGCUCAUGGAAUAUGGGGACGGCUCAUGGGGUAUGGGGACGUGCCUCGUGGACGUGCCUCCCGGACCAACUGACCCACAUCACCGCCAUUCACCUACCGCCAACUUCACGCUCCUCCCGCCCCUGUCAGGCUGGCGGCCCAACCACGCCGAAAUCAAGGUGUAUGUGUACGACCUGCCCAACAAUGUGGUGCACCGCCGAGAGUUCAACGACCAAUGGUGCGUAGUCGAGCACAGGAGCACGACUGCACGACGGGACGUGAGGCCGCGGCGAGCGUCUGCCUGUUGACGGCAGGUUGGAUCAAUAAUAACGCAUGCGUAACUUACAUGUCGCUCGCGCACAGGGCCCUGAUCGACCUGAUGUACAACUCGGAGCUGGAGUUCACUGACAAGCUGUUGGGCGACUGGGGGGUGCGCACCGAAAACCCUUGGGAAGGUGGGUGAUGGACAGCUAGGCACGGUAGCUGCCAGCUCUCGUGUCGCUGGGUGCUCGUGCGCGCAGCUGUGACAUGUCUUUUUCGCUGCGUCCUUGCACAUUGCCCUCCUCAUCGCCCAUGCUCCCUCAACUUCCCGCAGCUGCGCUGUUCUACGUGCCCACCUUCACCUACUGGUUCACUGGUAAGAGCGGCUAAAAUGAGGGAGGGAGGCGGCAGGGUGGGAGGAGGGCGCAACACAGGACUUGCGCUCUACGGGAGGGGCGGACGAGAAGGGAGGGAUGGGGGGAUGGCGCACAGGCGCUACAUCAAUCGUGCCUGUGCCUCACUGCUGAUGUUUGGCAGAAACCCACGGGCACCUUCACAGGUAACGUGGGCCACCCCUACUACGUCAUCCAGCAUGCCACCAAGUGGCUCCAAGAGAACUCGCCCUUCUUCAACCUCACCGGCGGCCGCAACCACAUCUUCUGGUGCGCCGGAAACACGGGUCGCGUUGGCGUGCUUGGUUCUGUAGCGCUGCACAAGGCCGCGUUCCGCAGCGGAAUCCCGGGACAAUGUACCUCACGGCUUGACGCGGCCUUGCUCCCUCCCCCUCAGGGCCACCAACGACCGCGGUGUGUGCAAGCUGCAGCUGGCGCCGCCGGAGAUGCAGCACUCCAUUAAGGUGUGUGCUUGGCUGCUCAUCGAGCGCGGCAGUGUUGAGAUUGAUAUCGUGCAAGGGCAACCAGGGCUGACAGGAGCAGACGGCAUGGCUGGGUGGUCAUGGUGCACCCACAACGUAUUUCUCGUGAGAGUGUUUAUGACAACCCUCCCCAAACCACCAUUCGACACGCUCGCACACACGCAGCUGGUGCACUUCGGCCAGUCGCCGCGGCGGCCGUACGCGCACCGGCUCAAGGGGCAGAUGGACGCCACCGCGCACCUGGGGGUGAGGCGCCGUGGGGGCCCCGUGACACGGUGUGUGGCAGGAAGCACAAGGGGAAGGGUGGACGCCGCGCAUGCAAAUGCGCAAGCAAAGCGUAUGUACGCACACCACGCAUGCGUAUGUACGUGUCACCAGCGCUCCAUGAGUCUGCCAGGCUCGUCACCACACACCAGCGCGUUGGCUUGGGCCUUGUGACCUGGCGCUUGUGUGUGUGUGUGUGUGUGUGUGUGUGUGUGUGUGUGUGUGUGUGUGUGUGUGUGUGUGUGUGUGUGUGUGUGUGUGUUUGUUAAAAAACGAAACGAAAGCCCGCCCAAUGACGCGUCGGAGUUACUUACCGAUACCCACCCUUUUACCGAGCGUCGCGUGACUGUCGUCACCCAGGUAGUCAUACUUACCCGCGAUAAGCCUGGAACCCCACGGGCGACCAUUCGGCCUGACCCCGCGAUGCACCUGGAUGCGUCCAUGCUCCGCACCCUGGGCGCGCUAAACAACGUUUACCCAGCACGCCUAAUUCCCAGAUUCCCGCCCGCUGGUCGUAGUCGAGCUCACCUUUAGGCAAAAGUGGAAGCAUGGGCAUAGGGCGGCAGCGAGGAAGUGUCACGGGCAUGUGAAUGGCAACGGCGACAAGAGAGGCGGCGUGCAGCAGACAAGCUAGGUAUCACGCGUCCCAAAUCCCGCCCACUAAGUACAUUAAUACUAUGGGAAGAGGGCGAGUUAGCGGUGGCACUGCGACUAAACGGGGUCAAGGCUGCAUGGGGGACGUGGCGGGCGGCGGUUGCAGCGCGUGUGUGUGUGUGUGUAUAUGUGUGUGUAUGUCCGGGCACCAGCGCUGCCAGCCCUCGCCGAGCCGUCGUGCCUGGGCGUCCAUGGCACCCCCUAUGUCCCCUUACCGUGGCUGCGCAGCGCACGCCUGCUGCUGCCGUUCUGCUGCCCCCUCACACGACCUCACACGCCCUCGGGCCUCGGGCUGCGCUGCACCUGUGUGCCCACCCGCUCACCCCGCAGGGUCUGCUGGGCGCGCUGCCGCAGCCGGGCAGCCGCUUCCCCGACUUCCCCGAGUUCAACGCGGGCGACAUCCUGGAGGAGAGCGAGAUCUGCUACAGGUAGGUGCGGGCGGCAGCAGCAGCAGCAGCAGGGGGGCACAUGUGUGUUGCGCACUCGCCAGCGCACAGGGGCUUGAAGGAAGAGGAGGGGAAGGGGUGCGCACUCGCGCAUGAGCCUGCUGUCGGCAUGGGGAGAGAGUGCAGGCCAGGGUGGCCCGGAACGCAGAGUGGGGGGACUGACACCCAGAGCGGCCAUCCCAUUCCCAGGCAGCCCCAGGCCCUGUCCGCAAGAGCACGAACGGCGGCAAGGGAACGCCGCCUGUCAGGCCCAGACGCUCCUUCGCCAGCAGCCCUGCACACACCAUCUCUCUUCCACCGCUGAACCGCUCUCCUUCCCCUUCUGCACCUCAGGCCGGAGAAGGACGUGGUGGCGCCCAACUACCUGCACAACGACUGGGUCAAGCCCGACAGCUACAACAAGGUGUGUGUUGCAUUGUGUGUGUGUGUGUGUGUGUGUGUGUGUGUGUGUGUGCACGCAGCCUUCAAGAGCUGCACGGGCGCAGGGGAAGCGGCACGGGAAUCACGACAAGGGGCGGGGCAGGACAUGCUCAUUGACAAGUCGACACGGGCCACAACUGCGGCCACAGCCGCGGCCGCUCGAGUCUUGACACGUGUCCGGGGCGUUGUCCUGAUGUCCACGAAGGGGCGCCUCACCCUGACGUGAGCGGAGCCGCCAGUGCCCUGAGUCGCCGCCCUGUCCCGCUGCUGCACAUACACACAGGUGUGGGUCACCACCACAGAGGCGGACGGCACCCGCGUCGUGAAGCGGAAGCCCGACGCGCCCGCGCGCACCACCACGCUCUACUUUGGCGGCUACACCAAGUAGGUAGCGGGACAUUGCUGUUGCUCGGCUUCUCCUCGCCAUGCGGUGCUAGCCACAUGCGUCGUGUGUAGAGGCGUGCGCCUGCUGCCGGCACCGCCCUGCCAACGUACGGUAUGUUGCGCACCCUUGCCGCGGCGGCCCCACUGUGCAGGCCCAUUAUGGCGUACAGCCAGGGUGUGCGCCAGACCAUCCACAAGAUGUUUGGUCCGGGCGGGAAGUACGACCCAGAAGUGAGUGCUUCCGAAUUUCCAGAGGGCUGAAGGGGGCUUAGGUGCGGAGCGGUCGGCACUCGGCAGGCACUGUGGGAGUAAGGCUCGGCUGCGUGACUUGUGACGCUGCCCUAGCCGUGUGUCCUUGUGCGACGCAUCCGUUGUAGCACGCGAUGUACUAUCUAUACUGUCACACCUACCUCUGGAUCCCGCUCACGCACCCGGCGGCCUGUGUGCGCCUGCAGGGACCCAACGCGCGUAAAGACUUCGUCAUCGGCGGGCCUGCAGGUGCGGCGGGACGCGGCGGGGUGCGGUGGGAUGGGAGCGGAGCAGCGUCAGUGACGGAACCCAUAAGAAUUAAGAACCCGUGUCGGGGGCUUCACAUUGGCACCACACGAGUGCUAACGUCCGCUCGCUGCUCGUCUCUUCACCCUGCACACUUGCACACCAUCACGCCGGGGACCACCAGGCGGCGCCGCUGUGGACAGCAUGAAGCUGGCCAAGUUCUGCCUGGCACCCAUGGGCGCGGGCUGGGGCAUUCGCCUGGCGGAGGCGAUGGUCAGCGGCUGCGUGCCCGUGAUCAUCCAGGACCACAUCUACCAGGCGCACUGGGACAUCCUGCCCUUUGAGGAGUUCUCCAUCCGCAUCGGCCGCAACGAGCUGCACCAGCUGGUGGACAUCCUGGACGACGUCAGCCCGCAGCAGCUGGACAGCCUGCAGGCCGGCAUCGAGCGCUACCACCGGGCCUUCUUCUGGGACGCGCACUGGGGCGGCCUCGCCUACAACUACACCGUGCAGGCGCUCAAGCGCCGGGCCGUCAGCCUGUGGAGCGCAAACUACAGGCGGCACCGGAGGAGGCUGCAGCACGAGCGGGAAGCGCUGGAGCAGGACUGAGCCGGCGAUGGGUGUUGGCGUUAGUGAUGCACAGCAGAAGUGAUAGCUUAGCUUUGUGUGUGGUGGCCAAACAGGUGCCUGCACGAUGGCUGCUGACAGGUGCAUUCUUCCGUUAGGCAUGCUGGCAGGAGUGGACGUGUUUGCAAACCUCACGCGCUGCGUGUGAGAACAAACAAGAUAACGGUACUGUGACACUGCGCAAUUGGGGAUUGUGCUUAAUGAAUGAGGUGAAGCGGAGUAAACUGUGGCAGGUCGUAAAUACGAGUGCUGAGGGACCCAGCCGCGUGAGCGCGACGGAACAGAGCACGCGUGGCCAAGCUUCGAGGAAAGGUUCAACGCAUGGGGGGCACCAUGCGGAUACUGAGGCUGGAUGCGAUGGGGCAGGGUAAGGGCAGGUUGGCGUAGUCGCGUAGUGUGCAGCGUAUUGCCAGACCCCAACAUUUGACAAUCACGUCGCGACGUCAAUGCAUGAGCACACGGCUGGGGGGAAUGCCGGAAUAGUUGUACGGAUGCGUUGCGGUGGUUGCUGGCGUCCUCGCAGGCUGGUACUUUGCUGACGGAGCAUUCCUCAUGCAGUCAUGCUCCGGGCGCCCGGCCAGGCGAUACUGCGUAACUGCGAUAGCACCCAACACACACACACACACACACACACACACACACACACACACACACACACACACACACACACACACACACACACACACACACACACACACACACACACACACACACACACACACACACACACACACACACACACACACACACAUACCGCAACGCCACACGCGUGAAGCAGACGCGCAGCGCACCUGCAGGUACCCGCAUAUGGGCGACGAUGCGUGCCUGGGGUAACCGUAACACCGUGCAGGCGCUAAAGCGCCGGGCCGUCAGCCUGUGGAGCGCAAACUACAGGCGGCACAGGAGGAGGCUGCAGCACGAGCGCAGGAGGCCGGCGCUGUUGUAGCCGCGAGCGGGCGACAGGCGAAACGCCAGAUUGAAAUUGCCAGCUCGUCGACAGCUAGGAGGGUGACUUCCAGUCUGCGUGGCGUGCCGAGCAUGCGUCGACAGGGGUAUAGUGUAAUCAUUCUGUGACCAGGUAGUACUCUAUAUAAAAUUAAGUCGCACAUGUGCAGCAAGAGGUCAUCCAGGACCCAGGAAGGCAGGAACUGAACGUGCAAGCUGCAAUGCUGUUGUGCAUGUUCAAAUAUUUACAAGUAAUGACACCAAGAUGCUGCUAGAGAAUAUACAGAACAAAGACAAGGAAACCCCGACAAAUGGCACUCGGCAUGUUUGGCGUCCUGUUGCUAUGCGGAGUGCUUUGCUCCUCAGCUAUUAGUCCAUUUAAAGAGCACCUCAAGGCAUGCCACCCAGACUGCACAAAGUAGGUGUUGCGCGGAGUGGGGCUUCCCCGGCUUGGCCGCUCCCUGCUCGCCAGGCCCCCGGCGUACCGAACUGCACCCUCGCCACGACGCCUUGCAGGUUUGGGAAUUGCAACGGCGAGACGGGGCAGUGUGACUGCCCCUUCGGGCUCACAGGUGCGGCGCACAGCUCACGGGUUCUCCUAGCUCCGGACAGGUUGGCUCAACUGCCCGACACGCCCUCCUGGCACCUCCCACCUCCCACCGCUCCCGCCCCAGGCCCGUCCUGCCAGGAGCGGCUGUUCCCGGCCUGCCACGUCAGCAAGGACCCCGGCACAUUGCCGCACUACGGCACCUGGUACCCCAAGAACUGCGAGUGCAUCAAGUGCGUGUUGUUUGGCCCCAGCAGCCUCGGCCACACCGCACCGCAACUGCACCUGAACACUCCAUCCCCCCCCCGCCCUCCAGCUCAACUCCAAGCAAACACCACCCUCAGCACACAGGUGUCCCUUCGCUUGCGCUCUCCACACGUGUUCCGUGCUCGGUCGCGCGGGGCCGCACCCCUUUUACCGACCUUCACGCCCCCAUGCCUACCCACGCUCCUCCACACACCCGGCCCCGCCCACCCGCUCAGGCAGCUGCACGCCUGGCCGGGCUCCUGCCCCGAGCACCUGCACUACGAGGGCACGGGCGUGUCGGGCGCCAGUCCCUGCUUCUACGACCUGGUCCUGGCGCACAGGGUACAGGGCAGGGGGAGGGAGGGAUGGGGAGGCGGAACGGGGAUGGGGGAGUGGGGUGGAGGGGGUUGGGCGGAUCGGAGGAGAGGAAAGCAAGGGGAGUACGGCGGAGAUGGGAGGGCGCGUGCCAUCUGUAUGUGUUUGCAGCAACAGCCUGCUCCCUCGUGUGUCCUGAGCUCACACGUACCUCUGCGUGCAGUGCCAGGGUAGGGGGUUCUUAGGAAGGUGAGGAAUGCAGUUAGCCUGCCUUGCAGCAACCUCUCCCGCCUCCCAUCCCUCCCAUCCCUCCCACUUCUCCCACCCCUCCCCGCUGCACCCUGUUGCACCCCACCCCGCAGUUCCUGUGCUACCGCUACCAGGGCCGCGCCCCCGCGGACCAGCUGUCCGACUCGCCGGCGCUCAACGCCAGCGGCGUGGACUGGUUCCACGCCACCGGGCACACGGCGCGACACAGCCCGCCGCAGGAGGCGCAGCUGCCGCCCGAGCAGGUGCCGCAGGUGCGGGGGGAGGCGGGGCGGUAGGCGGGGCGGGAGCGGGGCGGGGUGGGGCGGGGUAGAGCGGUGCAGUGCGAGGUCGGGCGGGAGGUCGGGCGGGAGCGGGGCAAGGGUUGGGGCAUGGCGGUGCAGGCAAGCGUUGAGGCGGGGGGGCAGGCAAGGUUCGGGGCGGCCCAGAGUUGCGGCGGGGCGGGGCAGGCAUGGGUUGGGGCGGGGCAGCGGGAUGGCUGAGUGCGGUGUGUGGGAGGUCCUUGGCCGGUGCGCUGACCGGUGUGGUGUUGAUGGUUGGUGUACAGCCUCGUGUGUGUGUUGAUGCCCGUGCUGCUGCAUGUGCUCCCUCGCUGCUGGCCCGCGACCGUGCUUGCUGCAGGAGUACAAGACCCCCGACGGCGGCCAGUGGCGGCCGCUGAGCGAGUGCCCGGACCGCUGCAACAACCGCGGCUGGUGCCAGAUCCAGGGAAGCAACUACCAGGUGGGAGUAGGGGAUAGGGCGGGAGGGGGAGCGGGUAGAGUGACGUGGACGGGUUGUAGGCCUCGCCAUUAGCCCACAUGAAAACAUGCGUCACAGGACGUCACCCGCACCUGCUGCCGCGCAGGGGCGGCACUACGACGCGGCGGAGCGCUGGUGCAACUGCCAGGGCUACUUCCGCGGCAACAGCUGCGAGGUGGCGGACACGCAGCACUGCUACCGCGGCUGCAGGUGGGAGGCGCCGCACACAGAGAGAGCCCCCGGACCCCGCGUGCGGGGAUGAGCGAGUGGCGUAAGGGGGGAUGAUGGGUGCAGUCGGGCGCAGGCGCGCGGUGUUACCAGGGCUCUCAAGAAGUGUUGUCCGGGCGCCAUCGCUGCCUGUCGCUGGAUCCUGUUGCCGUUCCGAGUGAAGCGCUGGCUCCACCUGCUUGGACCCGUCGGGCUGGGCCACCUGCACCCUGCCUCGCAACCGUCUCACCUUGCAGCGGCGUGGGCGAGUGCGUGCGCUGCUGCUGCAAUACUUGACAUUUAACACGUGCUCUUUCAACCACCCUCCCAUCCUGCCUCGCAGCGGCGUGGGCGAGUGCGUGGGCGGCUGGUGUCACUGCAAGCCGGGGUACUGGGGCCACGGCUGCACGCGCACCAAGGCCUACAGCAGCAGCGUGGGUGAGAGCUGGUGGGGUGGUGGUGGCGGGGCGGCAGGUGGGGGGCCGGGCGGUGCAGGAGGUACAGGGACGUGCCUGAGGCGGCCGUCUCCCGGGCCGACUGACCCACAUCACCGCCAUUCAACUACAACCAACUUCACGCAACUCAGCCACGCCACGCCUCGCUUCCACCCGUCCUACUCGUCGUUUUCCCGCCCCACCCGUCAGGCUGGCGGCCCAAUCACGCCAAGAUCAAAGUGUAUGUGUAUGAUCUGCCGAGUAAUGUGGUGCACCGCCGAGAAUUCCACGACCAAUGGUGCGUGCGUGUGCAUGUGUGUGUGUGUGUGUGUGUGUGUGUGUGCAUGUGGGUAUGCUUCAUGUGCCCGCCACGAUGCGCCCGGGGGGGGGGAGUAGCCGGUCAUGUGGAGAACGGGCGGGUGAGGGGGGACGGGCUCGUGUUGUUUGCCGCCGCAAUGAAGACACAGCUGCACAGCGGCCCGCACCCAACCGUUGCGACCAUCACGUUAUGCAUCUGCGUUAUCCCUCGCCUUGUUUCAAGUACCAGUAUUGCCGCCACCCGCUGCCGCCACUUGCACCGCCCCUGCCGCCACUCGCGCCGCCGCAGGUCGCUCAUUGACCUGAUGUACAAUGCGGAGCUGGAGUUCACGGAGCUGCUGUUGGGCGACUGGGGGGUGCGCACAGAAAACCCCUGGGAAGGUGGGUCAUCGACAGCUAGGUAGUUCACUUGUCAUGCUGGUAAUAUCCUAUUACAAGCAAGAGCAGAGGGUGGUGAGAAGCAACGGUUGUGAUGCUUUCAUGUUACCGCCCGCACACGCGCAACCUCUUCCGAGUAUCCUGUCACCUCCCCCCAAAAAAACACAAACCCGCACGCACCCGCAGCCGCGCUGUUCUACGUGCCCACCUUCACGUACUGGUACACGGGUGAGCAUGCGUGGCCUUUCUCUCGUGGCCUUUCCCUCGUGGCCUUUGUCUUGUGGCCUUUCCCUCGUGGCCUUUCCCUCGUGGCCUUUCCCUCGUGGCCUUUUCCUUGUGGUCUUUCACCCGUGUAGCUCACGUCUGUCCUGCACCACGUGACCUGUGGACCCCACCCGCGCCUCGCCGUGCGCGCCGCCACCACAUCUUCUCACAGGCAACGUGGGCCACCCCUACUUUGUCAUCCAGCAUGCCACCAAGUGGCUCCAAGAGAACUCGCCCUUCUUCAACCUCACUGGCGGCCGCAACCACAUCUUCUGGUGCGCCGCAGACGCCCUGCUGUCUCGCUCCCCCUCUUCCCGCUCUCAGACCACUGGCGCCGCUCUCGCUGCUUGCUGCCUCGCCCUUGCCGCCCAGUGCAGUGCCCACACGCGCCGACCCACCCACCCGUGCAUCCACGUGCCCCCUGCCUCACGUGCCUCCCUCGCGCCCUCCCUCCCUCCGCCUGCAUUCCCGCCCCUCCCCUCCCUCCCCCUCAGGGCCACCAACGACCGCGGGGUGUGCAAGCUGCAGAUGGCGCCGCCGGAGAUGCAGCACUCCAUAAAGGUGUGUGAAUGUGUGUGUCUGUGUGUGUCUGUGUGUGCGUGAAACAAGAAGGGAAGAAGAACGUGUGUGCUAGCGUGUGUGUGUGCGGCCCCGUGGGCACUGAGGCCCCAGCUUGGCGGCCAGAGGGCCGGGGGUGCGCCCGAACCCAACUGGGUCCCCUGCACCUGCACCUGCGGUGGCGGGCCCCAGACACCUCAAGGCCACCAAUGGACUUCGCUGCUCAGUACCACUAACCUCCCGAGUCCCCUGCCAUCCGACAUCCACCUCGUCUACAAAUUAUUUCUCUCCACCCCACGCCCCUCACACGCUCUCACACACACGCAGCUGGUUCACUUCGGCCAGUCGCCGCGGCGGCCAUACGCCGCCCGCAUGAAGGUGGGCCAGACGACCGACCCCACCGCACACCUGGUGAGAGCGCGGGCGGGGCGGGGUGGGGCGGGCGGGCGGGUGGUAUGGGGCGUACGGUAUGUGUACAUGUGGGGAUGUGGGAGAUCUUGCCUGGCUCGUGCUGUGGGUGCGGGUGCGGGACGUCCGCACCUGGGAUACACCAAAUGCCAUGGCGUCCACCCCGGCGUUUCCUGUCUCCAGCGUCUUCAGAACUCUCUCCCGCAACACGCUGUCUCACGUACAAAGUCACCUAUCACCCCGACACACACACACACACACACACACACACACACACACACACACACACACACACACACACACACACACACACACGCGGACGACACACGCUCCUCCCCUUGCAGGCGCUGCGCGGCGCCCUGCCCCAGCCCGGCACGCGCUUCCCGGAGUUCCCGGCCGAAUUCACGGCCAUGGACAUCCUGGAGGAGAGCGAGAUAUGCAUACGGUGCGUGUGUAUGGGUGUGGCGGUGGGUGUGGGAGUUACCAGCCCAAACUUAAUCAAACCAAGCCAAACUAGCGGAGCGCAGGCAGAGGCGACAGUUUCAAGCAAGGGGGAGGGCAGCGGGAGGAGGAGGGGGGAGGCAGCAGGCGUGCAGGAUGGAGGGCAGCGGGGUGAAGACGGAGGCGCAUGUGGGAGGGUGGGAGUGGUGUAUGCCAGUACGGGUGUGUGCCCGUACAGUAGCGGCUGCUGUUACAGUUGGGGUUGCGCGCCUGCACGGCCCGGUGUGAAGCUCCGGCCAGCAGGCCUCGCAUCAGCCACCACACCUGCCACCACACGCUGCCCGCACUAGCACUGCCCCCACACUUACACUGCCCCCCUCCUAUACGCAGACGCACACGCGCCCGCACACUGCUGCGUGUUGCCUCGUCCUCCUCCCCAAUAAAUCAUGAAUGCAACCCCCACACACACGCACGCACAGGCCUGAAAAGGACGUGGUGACCCCCAACUACAUCAUGCCAACCUGGGUGGAGCCACACAACUACAACCAGGUGCGCGCGGCAGUAGCAGCAGCAGUGGCAGUAGCGGCAAGGGGGAAGGCAGUGGUGGCAGUAGCAGCAAUAUAGUAGCGGCAAGGGAGGAGGCGGGAGGGAGGGAAGGGCAGGCGCCUGUAUACCUCGGGUGACAGCACGCACGCAAAAUUGUCAGCCGGCAUCCUGAAGACGCAUGGCGCUACACUCCUCCCAAUCAACACCCGCCACCUCCCAACCCGCCGCCUAGCCCACACGCUCAACCCCGGCGUCCAAAACAUCCUUCCUCCGCGCUCUGUGGGCUGGUCCUGGGUCUUGGUUUCUUCGGGACUGGAACAGUAACCACCCCCUUCCCCCACACAUGCACGGCUACCCCCCUCCCCGCACUGCCGCCGCCGCCGCCUGACAGGUGUGGAACGUGACGCAGCUGCCCGACGGCACGCGGCAGGUGACACGCAAGCGCGGGCCGGACGUCCCCGUGCGCAACCUCACCCUCUACUUUGCCGGCUUCACCAAGUGAGAGGCCGGGGGAGAGGAAAGGAGCGCCUGGGCGGGGUUGAUCGGCGUUGUACGGGGUAACGGGAUUGCGCACGCGCACAUGUUCAUUACCGGUACACAUACACACAAUACUCUGUACCUAAGGAAAGCUCUCUGCCCGACACGCGCCCCCGCCGCACAGGCCCCAGAUGUCGUACAGCCAGGGUGUACGGCAGCUGAUUCACAAGCUGUUCGGUCCGGGCGGGAAGUACGACCCCAAGGUGUGGGGGGUGGGUGGGCGCUGCAGGCAGACACGUGGCCGUGGCCGUGGCUGGGUCGGUCUGCGGCUGGGUGGCAUGGGUGAUGGAGCGCAUGAAGGGGGCGGGGUGGGGGCGGAACUGCUGGCGGGCUGGUCACGUGCGGCGCGUGCGGUGCUCUGUGCCGUGCGUUCGCCAGAGCACAGGGGUAGUGGGCCGACACGGUGCGUGCUGUGUAUGUGUCGCCAACGGGCUCGGCGUGUGCCCAUGUGCCACCGCCCCCCCGCAGGGCCCCAACGCGCGGCCCGACUACAAGGUCGGAGGUCCGGGAGGUGAGGCUGUGGUCUCAUUUUCAAACCAACAAGGACAGCCGGGCAGUCAGUCACACCCUGCAUGGGGCGACCACUGCACAGCCCCGCAUGUCUCCACACACACCUAAACACCCAGACCUGACACACCCUUCUCCUACACACACCAUGUCUCUUUGCGCUUAGUUUAUCUUGUGCUCCUUGACACCAUGCCUCUCCGCCCAACCCACACUCUCCCGCCUCUCCCAUCCCCUCCCCUCCCGGGGAUUAAUCAUGAAUGUAACCCCUCCCGGCAGGCGGUGAGGCCGCCACCUACAUGCAGCAGUCCCGGUUCUGCCUGGCGCCCAUGGGCUCGGGCUGGGGCAUUCGGCUGGUGGAGGCGAUGAUCAGCGGCUGCGUGCCCGUGAUCAUCCAGGACCACGUAUACCAGGUGGGGGACUGGUGGUUGGUGGGGAGGAGGGGCAAAGGAGGGGCAAGGGAGGGGGGAGGGAGGGGCAAAGGAGGGGGAAGGGAGGGGAAAAGGAGGGGGAAGGGAAGGGGUGGGUGCAGUGCGAGACCCGCCGUCCACGCCCCGCCCACCCAUGCGGCCAUGCUGGUACGCCGUGUAACCCCGUGCAGACCCAACCAACGCAAUCAUAACAAACAACACAACAGCAAGCACCGCAACCGCAACCAACAAACCGCAGCGCCCACCCCUCGAACCUAACCCCCACCUCCCCCCCCCCACACACACACACGCACCCAGGCCCACUGGGACGUGGUGCCCUUCCCCGAGUUCUCCAUCCGCGUCGGCCGCCACGACCUGCACCGCCUGGUGGAGCUGCUGGACGACGUGGCGCCGCAGGAGCUGGAGGAGCUGCAGGUGGGAGGAGGGAGAGGGGGGGAGCUGUAUGGUGCAGGUGGGGAGGGCGGUGCGCAAGCGACGGGCGUUCACACCCGGUGCACAUAUGGACCGGUGCAUUAUUGACGCACAGCCACACAUAUACACACACAUACAUGCACACACAAACACAUACAUACACACACGCAAACACAUAACACACACAUACAUACACACAUCUCCACAGGCCGGCAUCGAGCGCUACCACCGGGCCUUCUUCUGGGACGCCCAGUGGGGCGGCCUCGCCUACAACUACACGAUACAGGCGCUCAAGCAGCGCGCGCACAGCAUGUGGAGCGCAAACUACAGGCGGCGGCGGAGAGCGCAGCAGCGACGCCGGCUGUUCAGUGUGGGGCGGAGGUCGCGGCAUGGGUGGUGAUUGGUUGGGGCUGGAGGUGGGCGUUUGUGGCGGCGGGAUCGGCGUGGGCGCGCGGCAUGGUAGUGUGAUGCUCACAAUGUGCCAAAUGCCCUUGCAUCAAGAGCUGAGGCCUUGGCAUAGGCAGUGGCCUGUUGAUUACGUAAGGAGCUGUAAGGUUGGCUUGGUAAGGGUUAUGACGCAGAGUGGUCGGACAGAGGCUGGCGCCUGGGAAGGGAAGGGGCCCUGCACGAGGGUGGCUGGGCCCCCAGGCUGGGAUGGUGUUUUUCUGAUUCAGCACGCUUUAAUUAUGUGACUCGGGCCGCGAACCUGCGAGUCUAUGUCCGCCUUUCUGUAAAAGCGUUGCACGCUCAACAAUUUGGCACUGCGCGAGUGUAAACAGAACCCUAGUCUGCGGUGCCGUUAGACACAGUCUGCUAACCGACCCAGGCUGUGUAAAAAAUUUCUAAACGUAGCUUAGAGUUCGCCAUAAGCUUGGUGCGAAUGGCAGAGGGGCUCGGUGUACAAAUUUCGCCCGAAGUGCAAGCCGCACUCCGCGAGGGACGCCCAGUAGUGGCGCUAGAAAGCACGAUCAUUAGCCAUGGCAUGCCUUGGCCCGAUAACCUCAAGACGGCCCUUGAGGUGGAGGCCGUGGUCCGGGAAUCCGGGGCCGUGCCCGCCACGAUAGCUAUUAUCGCCGGCGUCCCACACAUCGGGAUGGAGCGCCAACAGCUGGAGCACAUCGCAAAGCGCGGUCUCGCGGUGCAGAAGGUCUCGCGCCGCGACCUGCCCGUCGUCCUCGCCAAGCGCCUCGAUGGCGCCACCACCGUCUCCGCCACAGCCGCGCUGGCCGCGCUGGCGGGGAUACACGUCUUCGUGACGGGCGGCAUCGGCGGCGUGCACCGCGGCGGCGAGGUGACCAUGGACGUGUCCGCCGACCUGGUAGAGCUAGGGCGCACGCCCAUCGCGGUCGUGUGCGCCGGCGCCAAAUCCAUCUUGGACAUCCCGCGCACGCUCGAGGUGCUGGAGACGUGGGUGAGUCCCCGCGCCCCGAAAUUUAGCUGGUUGGUUUUGCUGCCGUCUGAACGCGCUCGCGUUGCGAGCUAGGCGCUGGCCCACUGUUACCGUAACCUGGGUUGGGGGCCCGGACGUGCGCAUGUGCGGCCGCGGUUGGUUCCUGCUACCCUCACGUGCAUCGCUGAUUCAGUCUCUGUACUUGAUCCCCCACUGAACACAGCCCCCACUAUCCACCCCUGCAACAACCACCGCCCCACCCUUUUCACACACCCCACAUGCCCAGGGCGUGGCGGUGGCGGCGUACGGCACGGACGAGUUCCCCGCCUUCUUCACGCCGCGGAGCGGCUGCCGGGCGCCGGCACGAGUGGACACAGCCGCCGAGUGAGUGUGGCGGUUGUGGUGGCGGUUGUGGUGGUGUGGUGGUGCUGCUGGUGGUGGUGGCGGUGGUGGCGGUGGUGGUGGUUCAGAGAAGGGCGGGGCAGGGCGGGGAGAGCUGGCGCCGGCGCAUCCCAGCGGUGGGCCGACCCCUACAAACCCACGUGCCCACUCCCGGGACCUCCUAUACCAGCCCCAAACCCCCCGAACCCCUUUCCCUGGAUGCCGCCCCCCUAGGGCUGCCUCCAUGUUGGGCUGUGUGCGGCGGCUGGGCCUGGGCAGUGGCAUGCUGCUGGCAGUGCCCAUACCCGCGGCGGCGGCGGCGGAGGGCGAGGUGGUGGAGGCCGCCACCCGCGCCGCGCUGGCGGAGGCGGAGGCGCGCGGGGUCAAGGGCAACGAGGUACGGGCGGGGAUGGGUGGGUGUGGUGGGUGGGUGGGUGUGGUGGCGUGGUGUGGUGUGGUGGUGGCAUGAGGUGUGGUGGCGGGCGCGGGGCCGCAGGCGGUGUUGCUGGGGAGACGUGCUAGGGGACCGCGGCAGGGGGCUCCGUGCGUGUCGGGCGCGUGGCCACCGGCCAUGACUGGGAGUGGGAAACAAGUCAGCACCACAAGAGCACUCACCUGUACCCACGGCCUGCUGCCGCUGCCGCUGCUGCUGCUGCCGCUGCCACUGCCACUGCUGCUUGCACCCAGGUGACGCCCUUCCUGCUGGAGCGGGUGCGGUCGCUGACGGGCGGCCGCUCGCUGGCAGCAAACAUCCUGCUGGUCAAGAACAACGCACGCGUGGGGGCGGCGGUGGCGGCGGCUUACGCCGAGCAGCAGCAGCAGCAGGGGGAGAGGGGGGCGGUGCCCGCGGGGCUGAGGAGCAAGCUAUGAAGAGGAGGAGAGGAGGGGAAAGGCGGUGUGAGUAGCCUUGGCUGCGAGGGAUUUGUGGCGUGCGUGGCGAGUCCAGUGCAUGGGAAUUCAGCAUGCACCCAAUCAAUGUAAUGCUGUUUCCUGUUUUGUUCAAAGAGGUUACAUAACUGCUGUGUUAGGCAGAAGCUCUCAACGGGUCAACUCGGCCGGCAUUUAGGUCGCGACCUGUGAAAUACCAGCCGUCGCUCGAAUUCGCUUUCAUGUACCGCACUUAAAUCUAGUAGAUGUCAUUUGAGCCUGAAUUUGAGCCUGAAUAGCCAAAUGGCUGCAUAGUCGGCGUGUCUGGGGGGACAACUGGAACGUCGGCACGCAGACUCGACUCCACGAGUGCCACUUGUAGCCAUCUUACCAACACCAGACUACGUCAAAUCGUUGCAAUGGCGUCGAUGCAUGUGGGAUGCAGCUGCCGCCGACUGGCGCCGGAAGGAGGGUUCUCGACGACGCGGCCGCCGAGCACGUCGGUGCUCGGCGGCCGCUGCCCCGCCCACCCGCAGCAAACUCCCCAGCGUGGCCCCUCACUCGGCGCCUCGCUGGCAGCCCCAUGCGCCCUCGCGACUCGGCCCACGGCCGGCCAGCUCAGCAGCAGCCUGCCGCUCAAAGGAGCCGCCGGUCGCGGCCGGCCGGCUGCUGCUGCGGCCGUUGGCGAGCCCGGCGAGCCCUCCGGCCCUGCCAACCAGGGGCCUUCCGGGGCACGCCGCCCCCGCAACGCCGGGGCCAGCAGCUCACAGCCGUCCAACUCCGAAACUACAGCUGCAGCCACUGACACCCCCAGCACGGCGGCAGACGUGCCGGCACGCGGGCAGCGCGGCAAGGGGCCACGGCUGCAGCUGGUGCACGACAGCGCCGCCGCCGGAGGCGCGGCGGGCAGAGGCGCCGCCGCCGUACCUCGUGACGUACAGCGGCGCGAGGACAACCCCUCGUUGGACGAGAUCGUACUGGACGAGCAGUACUACAGGGAGAUGGGCAUUAGUAAGGAGGAGCUGGUCGACACGCUGCGGGGGUACGACGCCACGGAGCUGGAUCCGUACGGCGAGAACGUGGGGCCGGCGGGGCCCAUGCAGCUUGGAUCCGGAUCCGGAUUCGGCGAUAUGGAUGGGGCCGAUGGCGGCGAUGACGGCCGGCCGCUGCUGGAUCUGGGGCUGCUGGGAUCUGGAUCCGGCGCGGAUGGCGACGGAGACGAGGACCCGCCGUACGGUCCGGAGGCGCUGGUGCUGGCGGGGUUUCGUGCCGAGGAGCACGGCGUGGUGCGGGCGGUGCUGGACUCGGCAGGCGGGCACGUGGUCAAGGUGAGGGGGGAGGGAAAGAGGGAGAGUUGGGAGAAGAGGGACAGGGACAGGGACAGGGACAGGGACAGGGACAGGGACAGGGACAGGGACAGGGACAGGGACAGGGACAGGGACAGGGAGAGGGGCAGGGAGAGGGAGAGGGACAGGGACAGGGGCAGGGGCAGGGGCAGGGACAGGGACAGGGACAGGGACAGGGACAGGGACAGGGACAGGGACAGGGACAGGCACAGGCACAGGCACAGGCACAGGCACAGGCACAGGGAACAGGCACAGGGACAGGGACAGGGACAGGGACAGGGACAGGGACAGGGACAGGGACAGGGACAGGGACAGGGACAGGGACAGGGACAGGGACAGGGACAGGGACAGGGACAGGGACAGGGACAGGGACAGGGACAGGGACAGGGACAGGGACAGGCACAGGCACAGGCACAGGCACAGGCACAGGCACAGGGAACAGGGACAGGGACAGGGGCAGGGGCAGGGGCAGGGGCAGGGGCAGGGGCAGGGGCAGGGGCAGGGGCAGGGGCAGGGGCAGGGGCAGGGACAGGGACAGGGACAGGGACAGGGACAGGGACAGGGACAGGCACAGGCACAGGCACAGGGACAGGGACAGGGACAGGGACAGGCACAGGGACAGGGACAGGGACAGGGACAGGGACAGGGACAGGGACACGCCUGUGCGGGUCAAUGCUUCUGGCUCCAUGCCGCCACAAUACACCCAACCCACCACACCACACCCGCACCACUCGCCGCCUCCUCCCACCCCGCACAGGUCCUGCCUGUGACCCAGGCCAUGCUGCAGGGCAGUGUGGACGCGGCGGUGGCGGCGCCCGAGGUGGACUGGGCGGCGCCGAGGCCCGAGGACUGGGCGCGCGGCGGCGGCUGGGGCGCGCAGCGGGCCGUGCUGUUCAGCGGACUGGGGUGAGCAGGUGGAGGGAGGGCGUGUGGGUGGGUGUGGGUGGGCGGGUGGGUGGGUGGGUGGGUGUGGUAGGUGAGUUUUGUAAAUGCGCAAGGCCCCGCAUCCCCGCAUGCGUGAGUGGGGGCCGCUGAUGGACUGAAUGACUGUCUGGUGCAGAAGCCUCGCACGCCCCCCCCCCGAUCCUCCCCGAUCCUUCCUAACCUCUGCUCCCUGCCCUCUGUCUGCCGCCACUGCCGCCACGCCCACCUCAGCCUGCGCGCGCAGCUGACGGUGCUUGAGCUGCUGGAGGCCAGUGGGCUGCCCGCGGUGUGCGCGGCGGCGGCGGCGCCGGACAACGGCGGCCGGCGGCUGGGGGAGGUGCUGGCGGCGGCGGUGGCGGUGAGGGAGCGUGUGUGGGGGGGGAGGGCACUGCGGGGAGGGGGAUUCUGGGGGAGGAGGGGCGUGGCAGCUGCGGGGCUCACGUAAGGGACUGAGGGAAGGAGGGUGGGAGGGAGACAACAUGUGCUCAUGUGAGACGGCACUUAGCGGCAUGGACGCGGUAACACACGAUGGUGGCUUGGAUGGCUGCCGUCAACGCGCAUCCCCACGGUGCAUCCCCCCUGCAACUCACACACCGCCCCAACCCCCACUCCGGCUCAGGCCCAGCGCGGCGCGGCUCGGCGGCUGCCCAAGGAGGAGCCGUGGCGUCCUGGCGCACUGGGGGGCCGCAUGGUGGACACACGCGGCGGCAGUAGCGGCGGCAGUAGCAGCAGUGCCGGCAGUAGCACUGGGGCUGCAGCCGGCGCUGCCGCUGCAGCCGCGGCGGCGGCGGCUGGCGGCGGCGGUGGUGGCUUGGCGCCGCUGCAGGACCUGCUCGGAGACAAGGCGGCGGAACGGCUGCAGCAGCUGCGGCGGCAGCAGCAGCAGGAGGAGGCAGAGGCCGAAGAGGAUCAAAGCCGAGAGGAGGGAGCAAAGGGGGCGGCUGGGAAGCAGCAGCAGCAGCGGCGGGCGGCGCGGGGUGCGGUUGCGGGUGGUGUGGAGGUGGAGGAGCCGUUGUUGAAUCCGGAUUUGGCGACUGAGGUGGCGGCGGAGGCGGCGCGAUGGGCGGCCUGGUCACCACCCAUGCCGCAGGCUGCUGCUACUGCCGGCGCUGCUGCUGCCGGCAAGACCCCUGCAAAGCGUGCUACUGCGGCUGCUACUGCGGGGCCAUCAGCGGCGGCGGGCGGUGCUGGCGGGCCGAGUGUGGGAGACCUGGGUAUUGACAUGGAGGCGUUACGGCAGGAGGUGAUGCAGCACCUGGAGGGCUUGGAUCCCGAUCAGCUGGAGCAGGUACUGCUGGAUUCACCGUACGACAUUAAUGAUGACGCGGUGCCGUACAAUGCAGCGGCGGCGCGCAGAGGAGCUGGCGCUGAAGGCGCCGCCGCCGCCGCCGCCGCCACUGGCGCCGCCAAGCCACCUACGGGCUGGAGGAGUGAGGAGGACGAGGCGGCGGCGGCGGCGGGUGGCGCCAAGGGGCCGACGGUGGAUGCGGUGGCGGCGGUGGCGGAGCGGCAGCGGCAGCGCUGGGCGGAGGCGCGUGCGAGCAUGGAGGCGGCGGCGGCGGCGGAAGGGCGCCUGGUGCUGGAGGCGGAGACCAGUCCGUUAGAGCAGCAGCAGCAGCAGCAGCAGCCGCGGCGGCCUGAGGCAACGCGAGGCAGCAGCAGCAAUAGCAGUAGCAGCGGCGGCAGCGCUGGUGGUGCGGAGGAUUUCGGGCUGGAUUUCGACUCGGCGCUCGAUGACGUGUUUUCCCAGCUACAGCCGCCGCCCGCCGGUAGCGCAGCUGCUCCUGCGCGCGCUGCUACAACCGCCGGCGUCGGCGUCGCUGCUACAGCCGCUGCUCCAGCCGAUGACGGCUGGGACGCAUUCGGGCUGGAGGACCCCACCUCCGAGCUAGAUGACCUGCUGGGGCAGCUGGGCGGCGGCAGUAGCAGUAGCAACGGCAGCGGCAGUAGCAGCGCCGCGUCGGUGCGGCAAGCUGCUGCUGCUGCUAUUGCCGUCAGCAGCGGUAGCGGCAGUAGCAGCAGCAGUGCUGCGGGGCCGGGGCCGGGUGCGGGGGCGGUGCUGGAGGCGGUGCAGCGGGCUCUGCAGGGCGGCGCCUCGCCGGACGACGUGCGCCGCAUGAUGGACGAGCUGAUGUACGGCGGCAGUAGCAACAGCAGCAGUAGCAGCAGCAGCAGCAGCAGUGGCGGUCCUGGCAGUAGCACUGGCAGCAGUAGCCCAGCUGCCGAGUCCGCGGCGGCGGCGGCGGCGGCUGAAGGCGGCGACGCGGCCGCAGGCACCUCGCGGCGCCGCGGCAGCCUGUUUGCGCACUUGAAGAAAGACAAAGACAACAAAGGCAAGCCCAAAACCGCAAACGCCAACGUUACCAGUGACGCAUCGGCUGCAGCCGCUGCCGCGAACCUGCAGGGCGAGCCGGGCGGCGGCUCGGGCGCGCAGGGCGGCCGGCUGCCGGCGCCCCGCGCGCCGCUGGGUCCCAGCCCGCCGCCGGAGCGCGACCCCGCCCUGCAGCCGCUGUACCAGCUGCGACCCGACCUGGCCAAGGCGGUGGAGGGUGGGUGCCCGCGGGGUGGGAGUGGGGAUGGGCGUGGUGGGCGUGGGGUUUGGGAUGUGGCGGGCCGGGGUUUAGGAGCAGAGGUGCGUUUCAUGCCACUUGCACACAAGCGUACUCAAUUGCAUGCGCACGUGCUGCCUCUUGUACACGUGCAUAUGCACACGCAUGCACGCGCAUGCGCACAUGCGAAUACGGGGUGCCUUUCCUUGGCUUGUGCUUCCCUAACACAUGCAUGCAGACAAGAAGGUCAAGUUCCUGGACCUCAGCCGCCUCAACGACAAACAAAAGCGCCAGUUUGUUGACUACCAGGCGAAGCUCAGGCAGCAGCAGCAGCAGCAGGCUGUAGCGGGCGCGGCUGUAGCGGGGGCGGCAGGAGCUGCUGCAGCGGGGCGCGAGGGGGAGGAGGAGCGCAGGCGGCGUGCCGAGGCAGAGGCUGCGGCUGCCGCGGAGGAGGACGCGGAGGAGUAUGGGGAGGAGGGCGAGGACGAGGUGGAGGAGGAGGAGGAGGAGGAGGAGGAGGAGGAGGGCGCGGGCGUGGCGGUGGAUGCGGGGCGGCUGCGGGAGCUUGUGGCGGCGGCGACGGCGCAGGGGCUGGAGGUGGAAGAUUGCCUGGCGCAGGCAGUGGCCAUGGGUACGGGGGGGGGGGGGCUGGGGGGAGGCUGGGGGGGGGGGAGGUACCACGAGCCGGUCCGUGUGUCAAGAUUGCCAGGGCUGGGCAGCGCUUCCUGUCGGCCUGUUGUGGUGCCCACCACACUGCCGAUGUCAAGCUGUGUUGACGCGGUUCAUUAGCGCGCUGCUGUCGGACGCACACAAACCCCAACCCCCCAACUGAGGCAUGCCAGCACCCAACUGCUCAUAUGCCGCCCCCCCGCCGCCGCCCCCCCCCCCAGGCGUGCACCUGCCGCAGUCGGUGUUGGCGGAGGUGGGGCUGGCGCCGCCCGGCGAGGCGGCUCUGGAGGCGGCGCGGCGGCAGUACGAGGGCAUGUUCGAGCAGUGGGCGGCGGAGGCGGGUGAGGAGGCGGCGGGAUGGCGUGUGCGUGUAUGGGGGCUGGCGUGUGCUGUGUACGCACCGCUUGUGCGGCUGCGGCGUGCACAGCACAGCACAGCGCAGCUAGUCCCCACUUGCACACCUCGGCUUUCGCCUCGGCGUCGCCACACCCACACAUCCCCGCCUCCCGCUCUCACCUGGCCCCCCUUAUCCGCCCCACCCUUCACCUCACCUGGCCCCCACCCCCCGCUGCCCCACCCGCCUCACCUCACCUCGCCCCCACCCCCCGCUGCCCCGCAGGCUUCGACCCCUCCAGCCUGGCUGAGCCUGUGGACCUACACGCACCCGCGGAGGGCGAGGAGGGCGAGGAGGAGGGCGAGGAGGCGCAGCAGCAGCAGCAGCAGCCGCCGCGUGGUCCCACCGCUGCAGGCAGCAGUAGCGGCAGUAGCACUGGCGGCAGUAGUGGCAGUAAUGGCAGUAGCACUGGCGGCGCUGGCGGCCGCAUGUCGCCGCUGCCCGGUGGCCUGGCGCCGGGGGCCCCGCGGCCCUGGGGCGCGGGCCUGGCACGGCCGCGGCGGCGCGACGUGGCGUAGUAGGAGGGAGCUAGCGUGUGUCACAGGACGGCGGGCGUAGGGGCACGUGGUUGAGACGGGGAUGCUUUGUUGGAGCGGUGGAGUGGAGGAGUGGUGGCAAGGUCAGCUGGGCGUAUUGGGUUGAUGAUGGGGCUUGUGUGGCUGUGGUGCGGGGAGGCGAGGGAGCGCGCGGGGGCGAUUGCAGGCCACCGCAACAUCCCUACACACAAGGCACCUGCUGGGAACUGGGUUACUGGAACUACGAUGCCGAGUCUGUGGAUGGGUCUGCGGAAUACAGUACACCCUUCCCGGGACGCUGCGCGGCAGCACAUGUCUCCGGUCCUCACGUCUCUGGUUUCCACGUCGCCUCCAUGACACUCGCACGCCGUCCAUGCGGACCUUCAUCUGCGAGGUGUUGCGCAACUGCGAGUGCGUGCCAUUCUCGCCUUGAGCUGUCACUCGGGGUCGCCCUCAGAGGCAAAGCCGCUGUUAGCAGCGCAGCAGCAGCGCCAGCACCUCUCCAGUCAUCAAUCAGUUCAAUCACUCUCAUGAGCAGCCCCGGCCUCCGCGCUCACACACCGCCAGCAGCACACGCCCAUGCCACAAGCCGCGCCGGCCGCACCGUCCGCAUCGGCCGCCCACCUCACACAGCCCCACCCCCACGACAUCACACCCCCCAAAACAAUACGGCAGCCAUCUAUCACGACGAGCUGCAAUACACCAGCACCACGCCGGAUCACUCCGUCCUCUGCCGCGUCCGCCUCCCACCACUACCACCACCACCACCACCACCACCACCACCACCACCACCUCCGCCCCCGCCUCCCGGGCUCCUGCCCUGCGGCCGCUGCGGCGGCGCCAGCGCCGUCGCCCACUCCUCCGCCAGCGCCGCCACAUCCGGCGGCGCCGCCAGCCCCAGCGCUCGCAGGCAGGCGGCCAUGUCGGCGUGCAGGGGCGCGGACAGCGCGACGGCGCGGCCGGUGAGCGGGUGCGUGAAGCGCAGCGCGGCGGCGUGCAGGGCUUGGCGAGACAGCCAGGGGCCCUGCGUGCGUGUGUGUGUGCAGGCGUGUGCGGUUGUUUGCACCAGUCCCAAUCCUCGUCACGGAAUCGCUGGGAUGGGGGGGGGGCUCAAGCAAACACACGCACGCAGCUAGAUCACAAACCCACACCCUCCCAGCACAAGCCGCCUCUUUCAUCAGUCCCCAGCCGCCCCAUGCCGCCCCCUGCCUCUUUCAUCAGUCCCCAGCCACGCCCCCAGCCGUCCCCCCGGCCGCUCACCGUGACGCCGUAGAUGUCGUCGCCCACGAUGGGGUGCCCCACCGCCGCCAGGUGCACACGGAUCUGGUGCGUGCGGCCCGAGUGCGGCGCACACACCACCAGAGACGCGCCGCGGGGGAUGGCGGCGCCGGCGGCAGCAGCAGCAGCAGCCGCGGUGCUACUGCCGUUGCUACUGCCACUGAUGGGGUAUGUGCUACUGCCGCCGUGGGCAGCUGCCGAGGCGCGGCCAAAGUCGGAGAAGAGCAGUCCGGGUGCGCCGCCGCCGCCGGGCCCCACGUCUGCGUGGGGGUUGCUGUCCAGGACUGCGAAGGAGGUGGACGCCUCCUUGCCUUUGGGGCGUGAGGGAGGGAUGAUGGGAGGGAGAGGCGUCAUGCGGGCGGGGUGGAGGGGGGGCGGCGUGCCAGGAAAGCACAAGGGAAGGUCCUGUGCGUGUGUAUGUGAAUCUGGGGCGGCGCCGACGCCCCAGCCUGCACCCAGGCCCGCCACCCCUCGUGACCCACACCCGGCCCCACACGCCUUUAGCACCCUCCACACUCCACACACCACCCCACGCCUCCAUAGCCCUCUCCCCUCACCCGUGUCCGCCACCACACGUGCCACAGCCAUGUGCGGGUGCCGGUCAAUGGGCGCAUCCACGUGGAACCUACAGCCACCGCCGCCGCCGCCGCCCGCCGCAUCAGCGCCGCCCGCGGGUGCCGGGAAGCGGCCUGUGGCGCGCGAGGCGGCACUGCCUGGCAGCCCCACUGCAGCGGCCAGGUAGAACUUGGAGAGCGUGCGCUCCCUGCGGGUUUGUUGUUGGUGUGAAGGUGGUGGGAGAUGGUGGGAGGUGGGGGCGGGGGUGCGCGGUGGGGUAGCCAUAGGCCCUGUGCAACACGCCCCGACCCGACCCGACCCGACCGAGAGGCGCUGCGGCUGUGCGAGUGCAGACACACCCAACCCGAGGCUCACAACCGCCCUCCCCCAUGCGCAGCAAGCCCCAGCAGCCCCCCCCCCUCUGACCCCACCCCUACCCCCAGCCCCACCGCCACCCCCACCCACCCCCAACCCCAACCCCUACCCCCAGCCCCCUACCGCCACCCCACCCCCGGCCCCCCCACCUGAACUGCCUGUGUAGCCCCGGCACCCCCACCCCCAGCCCCCACCCCCACCUGAACUGCCUGUGCAGCCCCGGCACCACCUGCGGCCUCUUGGCCAGCAGCAGCAGGCCGCUGGUGUUCAUGUCCAGGCGGUGGAGCACGUAGGGCUCCAGCUGGGGCGGCGGCUGCGAGUGUGAGAGGGCGGCAGUGGUGGUGCAAGAGGAGGAGGAGGAGGAGGAGGAGGAGGAGGAGGAGGUCGGGGAGGAGGGUGGGGAGAAGGGCGGGGAGGAGGGGCGGUGUGGAUUGCCGUCCAGGAGAGUUCUUGGGACAGCAGCAGCAGACACGGUCACACACGCACGCCAACAUUUAACACAUACACACACAGGCGCGUGUGUGCGGGGAGGAGGGGCAUUGCGCACCUGCGCCUCCCACGCCUGCGGCCCGAUGGCGCCCUCGCCCUCGCCGCCGCCUGCCGCCUGCAGGCUGAAGGGCGGCGGCGGCGGCAUCAGCUCGGGCACGUAGCCCCACGGCGGCGAGCCCGGCGGGCCCAGGCCGGGACCCGACAGAAGCGUCACCUGUGUGUGUGUGUGUUUGCGUGUGUGUGUGUGUGUGUGUGUGAGCGUGUGUGUGUGUGUGUGUGUGUGUGUGUGUGUGUGUGUGUGUGUGUGUGAGCGUGUGUGUGUGCGCGCAUGUGUGUGUGUGCGUGUGUGUGUGUGUGUGUGUGUGUGUGUGUGUGUGUGUGUGUGUGUGUGUGUGAGAGAGCGUGUGUGUGUGCGCGCGUGUGUGUGUGCGUGUGUGUGUGUGAGCAUGUGUUAAAUAGCACAAGGAAAACAUUGCGCAAAGACUGUGUAUGUGAUGCAGUAAAGCGACGGUUUACGGAUGUUACCUGAAGUUACCUCGCAUACCUGCUGCGGUGCGGUCUUACCAACCGGAAAUCGCGCAACCCCCGCUACUCUAACCUCGAGGGGGGAUGUGAGCAUGUGUGUGUGCGCGAGUGUGUGUGUGGGAACACGAGGAAUGGGAAACGCAAAGCGUGCAUGAGCGUGAGCGUGUGUGUGAGCGUGUUUCUGCAGAUGCAGCCAGCGCCUCACAACUGUCACUGCCUAGUGACACACAGGCGACACACACGCGCCCCCACACACGCCCCACCUGCGGCGCGCCCUCCUCCUGCGCCGAGCUCCUGCGGCCGCCCCGGCCCCGGUUGAGGUAGCCAAUGACCUGGUUGACCACGGAGCCGCCUGAGGAAGGGGGGUUAGCCGUUCAUGUGGAGGACGGCGUGAUUGGGUCACAAGUACAAAGUGCCUACGGGGGCGGGGGGACCGGUCGUGAACACCACGAGCCACCACGCACCAGCGCUCCUGUGCAUUGGCCUCCCUCCUCGGCACCUUCCCUUCCAAGCCACACGCCACAAGAUCCAUGCACCCGGCCUCUACCCAGCCGCACCCUCACACCCCACGCCCGAUCCCCUCCUCGCACCCGCGAAGCGGUGUAUGGGCGCUGUGUGGUGCCCCACCGGCUUGUUGACGGCCAGGAAGUCGGCGUCCUCCCACACCACCUCCAGCUCGCAGCCGCUGCUACUGCCGCUGCUGCUACUGCCGCCACUGCUGCUACUGCCGAGCUCGUCCGCCACCAGCGGCACCGCGGCCAUGGCUCGCUGUAGCAGUGACGCCGCCCUGCGUGGUGCGUGCGUGUAUGUGGCGGCAGUAGCAGCAGUUGCGGCAGUGGCAGUAGCAGGUUAAGCGGCCAUGCAGCACCGGCAUGUGGUGGCAUAUUGCUGUAGUGGGGUAGGGUACCUGACAGGGAGCUUGGCAGUACUCACCAAGCCGUAGGACCCCUAUCCACCCACCCACCCACCCACCCACGCACCCACCCACCCACGCACCCACCCACGCACCCACCUGGUCGGGGGCAGUCCCAGUGCCGCUGCCGCCGCUUCCGGACUCAGCCGCGCAGGCAGCCCAGUGUCGGGGUCGAGCGGGCCAGACCUGUGUGUGUGUGGGGGGGGGGGGGGUGCGUGUGUGUGAGGCGUGUGUGGGUUGUGUAUGUGUGGCGUGUGGGGGGUGAGGUGGUGGAGGGCACCAGGUGGGUAAGAUACACGCGGCAGGCGGACAUGCACCGCGCGGGAGCAGAGGCACUUCGCCCUUCUCCGUAAUCAACACAUGCAGCCACCCAUCAAUGGAGCCUCGUGGCUCCUACACUGACCGCCCAAACACACAUGUGCACACCCAAACACACCCAAACACACACGCACACACACACACACACCCACACACACACACCAGAAGACGGUGGUCAGCACCCGCCGCCGCAGCGCCUGCUCCCGCGCCCCCGCCGACAGCAGCAGCGCCACCACCAGCUCGUGCUGCGUGGAGGCAGUAGCAGCAGCGGCAGUAGCAGUAGCAGCAGCAGCGGCAGUAGCCCAGGUGGCGGGCGGGGGCUGCGCCAGCGGGUCACCGCGCGGCAGGCUCUCCAGCUGUGAUGGUGAUGGUGGGGGGCAGUAUGCGGGGAAAGGGAGUCAAGGGACUUGUUCGGUGGGUGGUGGUGGGGUGUGGGUUGGCAAGUGGCCCCGGGGCAAGGAGUGAAUCCGGCCACUCCUGAGUCAGCCCACUGCAACUCGCUCCACCAUCAUCCGCCGCGGUCAUACCGCCCACAGACUGCCCCCUUGCCCCUACCCCAGUCACGACCCCAGUCGUACUCGCACAACCGCACAUUCCCACACAUUCUACACACACACACACAUUCCCUCCCACCCACCCACCCACACCCACCCACCCACCCACCCACACACCCACCCGCUCCCAGUGGUGUCGGUCUGGCUGCGUGGUGACGUCGGGGCAGCAUCGCGCCACGUGGCGGGCGAUGUUGGCGGGGGUGGCGGCGGAGAUGGAGCAGGCGGGGCAGUGGUACGACACGCGGGUGGCGCGGCGGGCGCGGGAGGCGGCGAUGCGGGCGGCGAUGACCUCGGGAGGCGUGGAGGAGGAGGUGGAGGGGGAGGGGGAGGGGGAGGAGGUGGGCCUGGAAAGGGCGUCAGAGCCAGUGCUGCUGGUGCAGGGGUCGCUACUACUAGCGUGGCGUGGUUCGGGCGCGGCGGGACUCGCCGCCGCCGCCGCGGCGGGGGCUGGCGUUUGGGCGGAUGAGGACGCCAGGCAGCUCAGCGGCCGAAGGAGUUGGAGGUGGGGGUGGGGGUGUGGCGACGGGUGUGCUGGGCCGCUGCCGGUCGGUGACCGUGCCGCUGGCGUGCCGUUGUGGCGUGGGCGCGCCCAGGCGCCUGCUGGCCCGCAGGGUGUUUGCGUCCCCGCGGCAGUAGCAGCAGCGGCAGCAGAAGCGGCGGCGGCAUUUGUGGGAGUCAAGAAUGGAGAGGCCGCGUGAGGCACUCGGGGCAGCCCCUCACGGCUGGUGCCGAGGCGGCGAGGCGCAAGGGAUGCGAACGCUGCGGGUGGGCCACACGCGAGUGCCUGAGCGCGGCCUGUGGAGGGCCACGCGGUCGGCAGGCUGCAUGGAUGCCCAAUCACCAUAGUUGAGGAGAUACUAUAAGCGCACAACCCGAAGCCAGGGCGAGGCGCCAAUGCAAGCAAGAAUCCGCGCCGUCAACUUAAUCCUAGCAAGGAAGUCUGUUUAUACAAAAUUGAUGGCCGAAUAUGUAAUAUGUAUUGCUUAAUGCGGACAGAGAGCGAGCCCGUCUGAAAUGCACGUUCCUCGCGCAAAGGCUGGAGUUAAGGUCCCGCAGGACAGACGCCAUAUAAUUCAGCUCUAUUACAAAGCCAAACAAGGCGUACAAGGUGUGCAAAACCAUACCGGCCUGCCGGAUCCAAGGGCGAUCGCGGGCGCGAGCGCACGACGCUCGCCGGCUCGCCGUGUCGAUAGAAGGUCAUCAGCCAGCGAAUCUUGAGCAUGUAUCAUAUACAGCCACUGUUUGACAGGCAAGCCCGCCAGUCACGACGUCAAACGUCGUUAGACCAGAAGUCAAAGCGACACGGUGCGCCGUAACCGGCCGGCGCGGCUGCAGCCUGCAGGGCGCGCAUUCCAGACCCAAUGGCGACCUCCUGUAAGCGCUCUAUAGUACUUAUAGUCAUCGCGACUCUUUGCGCUGCAAUGGGCGCUAGCGGCUGGCGUCUAAUGGACAAUCCAUCUCGGACAUCUUCCGGGCGACCUCCUGCGCCUGCUGCUUCCGCGGCUCAACAGCUCCCGCCAAUUACGCUGGUCGUGUUCGGCGACUCCUUGUCUGACACCGGUAAGGAGCCUGCUAGGGGUCUCAGCGUGUGUCAACUGGACAUAGUGGACAGGGGUUGACGGGCGAGGAUGGGCGCCACGCGGCCACGCCCCUGCCAUUACUCAUCGCCAACCCUGCCGUCGACCUGAGCCGCCCUUUCAUCCCUCUCCCUUGCUGCCUCCCCUCUCCCCACCCAAGCCUCCACCCCUUACCCAUCCACCCAACAAUCCCCCCAAAUAUUUCCUUGUCUUUGCAGGCAACGUCUUUUCUGCCACACACGGCAUGGUGCCCAACCCCGACGUCUAUUUCAGAGGCCGCUUCUCCGACGGCCCCAUCUGGGUCGACCACUUAGCCGCCAUUCUCAGCGGCGGCGGCAAUAACGGCACUAGCAACAGUAGCGGCAGUAGCCGCGGCAGUAGCAGUACAGUCACCGGGCGGCGGGAGGUGGUGGUGCGGGUGUUCGCGUACGGCGGCGCCACGGCGUGUGCGGGGCAGGGGCUGUCCCGCCAGGUGCCCGACCUAGACACGCAGGUGCGCAGCUUCCUCGAGGGCCGGCCAGGCGCCGACGCCAGACCCACCACCACCACCACCACCUCUACCCCAGCCACCUCACAGCCCAGCACUGCCGCCGCCGCCACCGCCACAAACACGACCACUGCCGCCGCCGCUGGCCAACCGGCAGCCGGCGCCGGCGUGGGGGCCGGCGACCGCGUCUUUGUGGUGUUUACAGGUGGGCGGCGGCAUGCACACGACGUGUGUGCUUGCCUCUGAGAGAGCGCAAGAGGGAUUCACUCGUCGGGACUGAAAAGGCGCUCCUACGGCUGCCAGGGCGCUCCCCUUUGAACAACCGACGAGACCAACCCACCUCCCGUGUGCACCCCCGCCCACAUUGCACACCCUUUCCACACUCGGCCAUACACAUUUCCUCAGCCCGUCCCCCAUACACACACAAACGCACUCCCCCCACUCCCCCCCCCCACCCCACACACACACACACACAGGCCACAACGACCUGCUGGGUCUGGCCCCCGCCGCCUGGUCCGACCCCUCCGGCGGCGCCGUGGCGGCGGCCGUGGCCAACACCACCGCCUGCCGCACCGCCGCCCUGCAGCGCCUGCUGGCCGGGCUGACCACAACAACAUCAACAGCAACGACACCCGCCACAACGACGGCGGCGCACACAGCCGCGCCUGCUGGCGCCAUCAGUAGUGGGAACAGCAGCAACAGCAGCAACAGCGGCAACAGCGGCAAGAGCAAUGGUGCCGGCGGCGGCGACGCAGACGGACAGCAGCCGUACCGCCGGGACCGGGUAGUGGUUUGGAGCCUGGCGCCCGUGGAGUCGGCGCCGGCGGUGCCUGAUCAGGACCGGCCCGCGGUGGCGGCGGCGGUGGCGGCGGUGAACGCCGCCAUUAAGCCCAGCCUGGCGCCGCUGAGGGAGCGCUAUGGCGCAGCCGCAGGCAGCAGCGGCAGUAGCACCAAUAGCAGCGGCAGUGGCAGUAGCAGUGGCGCGGGAGCUGAAGGCGGGCAGCAGCAGGGCCAGCGGCGGGUGCUGAGCCUUGAGAGCUACGACCUGCAUGCCGGGGUGGCGGCCGCGCUGGCUCGGGCCGCUGAGCUGGGCUUCACACACCCGCAGGAGCCGUGCCUGCGCGAGGAUGAUUACAGCCCAGAGGUGAGAGGUGUGUGUGGUGGGUGGGUGUGGGAGGGAGGGAGGGAGGGAGGGAAGGUCCGGCAUCACCAUUGCUCCGUCAAGGCAGGAGGGAUGGUACGGUGUGGUGCGGUCGGGACACAUCGGCUCAUUGCCAUGCCGCGGGCCGCGCGCGGGCGCCCUGCUGCUGCUGACCCACUACUGCCGCUGCCCCCACUUGCCCCCACAGCAGCAGGCGCCCCCGCAGGCACAAGCCGGCGCCGCCGCCGGCGGCAGCAGUGCCACGAGCGGCGCCGCCCGCCGCCAGCAGCAGGCCGGCGCCCCAUUAAACCGCUCCUCCGCCGCACGCAGCAGCAGCUUCACUAAGGUCCUGAAGACCAACACCACCAGCAUCAACACCACCCAUGGCACCCAUAUUGAUGUCGACAACGGACCAGACGCGGACGCCGGCUCUGUGUCUGCCGUGCUGGCUGCGGAGGCGCUGACUGCGGCCCCCAGCUCCCGCUGCGCCGCCCCCGCCACACACGUGUUCUUUGACGGCGUGCACCCGACCAGCCGCGCGCACCUGCUGGGCAUUGCGAGGGGCUUUGCGGAGUGGGGCGGAUGGCAGCGGUGAGGCAUAAUGCAGCGGGGUAGGGCAGCGAUUGAUCGAGGGGUGAUGGGGUGCGUGGUGGACAGUCGUGUGUACAUGCCCGAUCUAUAUAUCCCAAAGCUGGUGGGGAUGGGAUGGCCGUAUGGAUGCGGCGUUUCAAGAAGGGAGUAGGCGUAGCGGAGGGGGAAGGCAAGGCCACGUGGAGGAGGAGAGCACGGCGCCGCCCGAGAAGCGGCGCUGGCGUGCAGGUUGGGACCUGCCGGUGUUGUGUCUACGGUAGGUCUUUGGUGGCGAGCAUAGCGUGGCAGGGUGUGUGGUACUGUUCGGGGACAUGUCAGGCUGGCGCUGCCUACCUGUACAAACCGACGCCGGCUAUAGGGGAAAGGUGGCGGGGUGCCCACUUUUUGCACGAGAGGCAAACAACCCACUUUCUUGUCAACGCUAGUAGCUUCGUCCAAGUAGCAGCACGCAUCGCACAUCACACUCGCACGCACAUGCGAGAGACUCGAGAGCCGGGCGCUGUGUGUGCAUCCAGGCGAGACCGCAUGCCAUACUUUAUGCGGCAGUAUGCGAGUGGCAUCAUGAUGCUGAAAGUAUGCGAGUGGCAUCAUGAUGCUGAAAUAUUCCACAGCGACUUGCCUGAGCGCUCCGGGUCGGGGCCUCGGUCAUGGCUGCAUGUGAUGAGGAUUGAGUGAAACGAGAACGGCAGCGUGCCAGAGACCCCUCAAAUGCUUUUGAUUUUCAAUGUUGAUGGGUUAUUGGUGGCAUUCUAAUUGCUUGCGGGGCCGUGGGGCAGGUCGGAGUUUCAUUGUGGAUGGACAGGUAGCCCAGUUCUACUGGUUGCCUGGCCGUUCGUGACGAGGCAGGCCCUCGUGCGCAAUAGGAUGAAGACUAUUUGUUUGUGUGCCAGCAGCGCUUUCCGGGUGUCUGAGCGCGGCUCCUAUUGCAGUAAGAGUUUGAGUCGAGCGUGUGGAUGGCUGUGUCGACGGUUGAUGUGGUGUGCGCUCAGUUUUGCGCCUAUGAUGUAAUCCUGGGUAGCUCGACACAUCUUGUUACCGAUUGUCCAAUUCGCACCAGGGCUUACUUCGCGCAAGAAGGGAGGUGUGAGCUUUGCAUGGUCCCACCUGCAUAUACUCACUCGAACAAAUUGCGAAGCUUGAACAUUGCCCGUUUUAAGACAUAUAACCGUGUUUGAGGAUGUAUCGCGCAAACAUAGUUGUCGCGGUGUGCGCAUUUGCACUGCUCUUGUCAGCAGCUCACGCAGCGGACAAGACGGUGUACCAGUAUGUUAUCUUUGGAGACAGCGUGACCGAUACAGGCGAGUUCUCGUUAGCUGGAGCGAGGAGUUGUUAGCUGGAGAUUUCAUCCGGUUCCGAGCUGAGCCACCGAUUCGGGAAUCUUGAGGCUCUCAUGCUUUUGCCAUGAUCUACAUCACGUAUGGCUCGGCUUGCUCCUGACCGCGCCACUAAGCGAUGGCGCGAAUGGCAUGCGUUAGUUGCAACCUGGCACAAAGCAUAAUGCUGCUUUGAUAAGUGCACAUCUGCGUCUGUCUCGCGACCUUAUCGAUGAGGUUGUCAGGAUGUGACCCCCGCCUUCGCCGGGGACACCCUCUCGCACACUGCGCCACCUUCGCUGCACCUCCGCGGCCUUCGCGUCCCCGGCCCGACCCUGCCCACGUACCCAUCAGCCCCGCUGCCCUUUCCGGUCCUCGCGUCUCCCCUGCGCAGGCAACGUCUUCCGCGAUGGCGGCGUGCCGGACCCGCUGAUCUACUACAAGGGCAGGUAGGAGGGACGGCGGGCAGCGGCGGGCUUCCUCUUCGGCGUGCGCGUGUACCUUACAUGCUGUGGCGGCACGGGGUCGCUACGGGGUUCGCAACACGUAUGUGCUCCAGUCGAGCUGCUUUGUGGGCAAGGCCAUGGCGGCUUUGUGCUUGCAAAGGUCUUGCCAGCCUGGCGCAGAUCCUUGCAGCGUCAGGCGUGCGGCACCCGCCUACCUGCUGCUGCUGGCUGCCUGGCGCGCUUGCGGCCGACCCCCUUCCCACCUCUCCCACUACCCGCCCCUACUCGCUCCCACCUCUACCGCUACCCGCCCCUACCUGCUCCCACCUCUCCCACUACCCACCCCUACUCGGUCCCACUGCCCGCCCCCACUCGCUCUCUCUCUCCCACCUAAUCGCUCCCACCUCUCCCACCGCACCGCAUGCCGGCCAACUCAACGGCCACGUCCCGCUCCACCCAGCCCACCCCUGUAUGCCGCGCGCCCGCUGCCUCCCCCUCCCACCCCCUCCACACCCUCAUCCCGUACAGGUUCACCAACGGGCCCAACUGGGUCGACUACUUGAACCAGUCGCUCAGCGCCAAGCACAAAGUGCAGGUGGGGGCGGGGGAGGGGCGCAGGGGCGCGGGCAGGGGGAAAGGAAUGCUGUGAGCCGUGCGUGACGAGCCUCAAGUGGGUACGGUGCGGCGAGGCUGGGUGCAUGGAUGGCCAGGGUCAGGGGCACGAGCAGUGGAGCGUGGAGGUGGCGGGAAGGCCGCGGCGGACUUGAAGCGCGCGUGUCGCGUGCCGCCCCCUUCGGAGCGCCUGACAGCCCGCCGCCCCGCCCCCUGUUUGCAACCACGUCGCAGAUCUUCAACUAUGCGACCGGAGGUGCGGAUCCGUGGCCUGGCCGUGCCUUGCAGGGGCGGCGGCGGCGCCGGCGGCGGCGCCGGCGAGGCGGGGGGUUACGCAGUAGUGCGGUCCUGGCGGUCCUGCGGUGCUGGCGGUGCUGGGGGUGUUGGUGGUGCUGGUGGUGUGGGUGUAUUGGGCUGCAUUGGGCUGGUGGCGCCGCUGGUGUCCAGCGGGGCGCCGCCCCCGUCAUGCGACACCCAGCCACAUUCCUGGUGUGCGUGUGUGUGCGUGUGUGCGUGCAGGCGGUGUUGCUUGCAGCUUCAACCUGAACAACACCCGCUACCCGUGAGUACGCAGCGGUGGCACCCCUGCCUCCUUGCACCCCUGCCUUGCACCGCUGCCUCCUUGCGCCCACGCCUCCUUGCACCCCGGCCUGCCUUGCACCGCUGCCUCCUUGCGCUCCUGCCUCCUUGCACCCCGGCCUGCCUUGCACCGCUGGCAACCGUGCAGUAUGUGUUGCUUUGCACGUCCGGCGCCUGUGUAUGUUUGGUGACCCCAUGCUGCUGCCGGUGCGGAUGUGCUGAUGUGGUGGCGGCGCAGGUAUGCCCGGGACGCCGUCAACCAGACUGGGAGUGAGUUUGCGUGUGUGUGUGUGUGUGUGUGUGUGUGUGUGUGUGUGUGUGUGUGUGUGUGUUAAAAAACGAAAGCCCGUGUGUGUGUGUGUGUGUGUGUGUGUGUGUGUGUGUGUGUGUGUGUGUGGGCUUGGCCCCAGCUCCGCAAGUGCAUUCUGCGGAGGGUUUCCAAUGGGUGGAACCCGCGUUACCGACCAUUCCCACGAUGCACCCAAGCCCACACGACCCAGGCAGCCACCCAACACACACCUCCUGAAUCCCGCACUACCGUACUCCCACGGCCCCGCAGACUUCCUCGCUGACCUGGCUCGCGGCAAGGUGCCCACCACAAAGUACACCCGCCGCAUCUCCGUCAGCUGGUUCGCCGCCAACGACAUCACCGUGAGCCGUUGCGGUGCUGCGACUUUGACAUUGGCAUUGGCAUUGGCAUUGGCAUAGACAUAGACAUUGGUAUUGACCUUGGCAUUGACAUUGAUAUUGGCGCGUUGUGUGGAGAUGGGGUUUCUUACCAUCCAAACCGCUACCACACCUCGCUUGAUUGCAAAAGCACACAAUCUCGAUCACGACCACGCACACAGGUGGCGCUGUCGCGCGCGCUGACGUCGGGUGUUGACGCUGCCACCGCGGUGAGUGAGGCGGUGUGUGUGUGUGUGUGUGUGUGUGUGUGUGUGUAUGUGUGUGUGUGUAUGUGUGUGUGGUGGUGGUGGUGAUGGUGGGGUUGGCUGCUCAAGGCGCCGUGUCCACCGUAUCCUGACAGGCUCGUGCUGGGCUUGGGGGACCGUCCGUAGCAUGCCUGGCGCACGCUCGCACGACCACCCCCAGACGCUCGCAGCCAUGCGUGUCAGUCGCCCCCACACCCUCACCCCCACACGUGUGUUUACCCGCUCACCGCAACACGCCCACUCCCACACUCCCCACCCCUCUUACAAUCGUUUCCGCGCCCACUCCCAACCCUCACACGCCCCCUGCCUUCCCUGGCUACGCCUUCACUUAUGAAAUAAUCAUGACUGUAACUCUCACACACACCAUCACGUACACACGCACACAGGGCCGGCAGAUCGUGUCCAGCCUGGCCACCUGCCUGUCGCAGCACGUGGGAGCGCUGGCGGCCUCCGGCGUGCGCGAGGUGGUGUUGCUGCCGCAGUCGCCAGUGCAGGUGGCGCCGCUGGUGCCCGACUUCCUGCGGCCCAGCGUGAGUGCGUGCGUGUGUGUGUAGCCCAUGUGUGUGUGUGUGCAUGUGUGUGUGCAUGCGUGUGUGUAUGUGUAUGCCUGUGUGUGUAUGUGUAGGCCAGUGUGCGUGUGUGUCGAGGCCCCUCCGCCUGGUGCUUUCCUUGAGGGACUGGUGCUUUCCGCCGCCACCGCCACGGCCAUCGCCACUUGAUGGCUCGUGCCAGCGGGCAGCACACUUGCCGCGAACGUGCCGCGCAUCACUGACACUGGCACUGACACACAUGGUCCCGACGGACACCCGCGCGUCGCCCGCAUGCGCACCACCACCUCCACCACCACCACAACCACAAUCACCACCACCGCACACACACACACACACACACACACACACACACACACACACACACACACACAGGUGGCCCAGCUGGUGGACGCGGUGGACGCCGCUCUGGUGCAGGCGAUGGCGGCGGUGAACGCGCAGCUGGAUGCGGCGCCGGCGGGCAGCCCCGCCGCGGGGGCGCACGUGUACCUGCUGGGGGACAGGUGGGGGCGGGAUGGGGGCGGGGGAUGGGGGGCCGAUGGAGGGAGGGUGGUGGUCUCGCCGUACUCACUGAGCAACAGGAGACGCCACCAGAACAAGCAAGACUGCAUAGCCGCUACGUAGCUGGUGACCGUGCAUCGCCCUUCACCCCGACUUAGCCUGCUGGAUCCUGCAACCCCACACGCCACGCCCCCUCAAACCCGACCCCCCUCCCCCCACACACACACCCUCCUACCCCCCCCCCACACACACACACGCACGCACUGCAGCAAGUGGAUCGGCCGCAUCGCGCCCGCCGUCCGCCCGGCCUUCAAAUACAUGGGCGACAGUGAGUGGCAGAGGAGGGGGGCAGGGAGGGGAGGGAGGGGAGCGGAGGGGUUUAGCAUUGUACAAUGCCGAGUAGAGGGGACUGGGGGUUGCUCCGCAAACGCCGAGUCUGACCCUGUUGCGUCCUGGGGUCGCAACCAGGUGCAUGGAACUGAGAACUGAUGAUUGCCGCACCGCGCAAAGCAGCAUGCUCAUUCCUGCUCUCUCUCACACACACACACACACACGCACACACACACGAACACACACACACACACAUGUGAACAUACGCACAUCUGCUUGCGCAGUCGCAUGCUGCAGUGCCUACCCUUCCCUUGUCCUUUCCAAACGCGCUGCUGCUGUGCCGCACCGCACCGCUGUGCCUGCGCACGCGGGUGUGUGCAGGGUCUUGCUUCACCAACCCGGACUCCUCCAUGCGCAUCACGCCCGGCCUGGCCGACCGCAUCUGCACCGACCCCAACGACUACGCCUUCUACGACGAGGUGGGGGGGAGAGAGCGAGAGAGAGAGAGAGUGUGUAGGGUUGUGUGGCUGUGUGUGUGUGUAGAGGGUUGUCUUAUGGAGCACAAGGAAACCAAAGCGCAAAGACAGUGUAUGCGAUGCCGCCCGCGUGAAUGUAACAACCCCCCCCCCCCACACACACACACACACACACACACGCGUGCGCCACCCCGCAGAUCCACCCGACCACCAACUUCCACAAAGCGUGAGUCCGCCGGGGGCUUGUGUGUCGGUGUUGGGGUUGGGAUUGGAAUUGGUGUGAGUGUUGGUGUUGUGGUGCUUUGCUUGCCACGUAGGGGGGGUUGGCCACUAGAUGGCGCAGAGCGCCCCGCUGCCCCCCGCUGCCCCGCCGGCUCUACUUCAUACCGUACGUGCGGCCGCACCAACACUGCUGAUAAGGCACCCUGUGCCCCCCGCCGGCACCCCAUACCCCUCGCCGGCACCGGAAGCCUCAUCCCAAGCCACACACACACACCCACGUCCACACACACACACACACACACACACACUCCCACGUCCACACACACUCUCCCACGUCCACACACACACACACACACACACACACACACACACACAGUCCCAAGUCCACACACACACACACACACACACACAUACACACUGCCAAGUCCACACACUCCCAAGUCCACACACACACACACACACACACACACGUCCACACACGCCCGCAGGUACGCGCUGGACGCGCUGCUGCCGCGGCUGCAGCUGUUCCGCCUGGCGCCGCGGGACGUGUAGGUGCAGGUGUAGGGGCAGGUGUAGGGGCACGUGUGGGGCCGGCGGGGUGUCGACAGCGGCAGUCUGGCAGAUGGAGAUGGAGUGCUGGACAAGAGAAGGCGGCCGCCCACCUGUGAUUACCGGGAUGCCGUCUGCAUGCGUGCGUGUGCUGAGUGUGCGGGCUGCACAGCAAUUAGUGCGGGUGCGCCGCGGCGUGCGAAGAAAUCUUUUGAGGGACGAAGAUUUUGAGAUGUCAUGCAUCACGAAGAUGGCCAAGCCAGCGGUGUGCGGCUGCGUUGACAUGCAGUCAUGCGAAUUGACCACUGGGCACUUGGGCAGGCGGAGGGUGGUUGGGGGAGGAGUAAGGUAGGGGGGGACAUGGCAGGCACAAGGUGUCUGAUGGGCACGUGCAGGGUUGGGGCUGGGUGGCUUCUCGGAUGGGCGGCGAAGAUGCCGCGGAGAUGUGAGACGCGCGUGCGACACCCGGGUGCAUGCGUGUGUGAUUGUGUAGGCUGCUGAGGUGCUGCCCACAGGCUGGCUGUGCGCAGUGGUGGUGUGGGCAGUGGUGCUGUGGCCCAGUGGCAAGCGGCGUGUCCGUGUCCCCGCCGGCUGUGUCCGUGUCGGCACGUGUGUGUCGGUGUGUGUCGGUGUGCGGCGCAUCUACGUGAAUACGCUUACAGACACGGUACCCGCACAACCUGCCGGCAGCUUGGCCGACACUCAAGUCCCGCCCACCCCCAUUCCCUGUAAAGCGACCCAGGAGCACAGCUCGGUCUGCUCUCCAUCCUGAGCACAGCUCUUCAUCCUCCAAGCAUAAGCGCACAGCACCCCAGAGCAACACGUUCACAGGUGCUGCACAGCCCACCUCACCCCCGCCACCCACCACCACCGGGCCCUCUGGCACUCCUGCCGCCUUCCUCCCUCUCCUUCCCCCUCCUCCCUCUCCUUCUCCCCCUCCCCCCUCUCCCUACUGGUCCUGCUGCUGCCCCGCCCGCCGCCGCCCCUCCCGCCCCUCCCGCCCCUCCCGCCGCUGCUGCUGCUCCCACAGCUCCGCCUCCACCACCACCAGCGGCUCGCCGUCACUGCCCACGUCACUGCCACCACCCGCGUCAUCAGCGCCAUCCAGCCGCCGCGACCUGGCCCGCACCCGCCCGCCGUCGCCGCCCGCGCCGCCGCCACCGCCGCCGCCGUAGAUGUUGUUGUAGCUGCCGUAACCGUACGAACCGUUGCUGCUGUGGGAUCCAGAUCCGAAACCGCCGCCGCCGCCGCCGGUUCCGGCGGGCGCGUCGCGGUAUGCGUAGCUGCGGCUGCUGCGCAUGGUCGCCUCCACCUCCGUCACCACACCGUCCUGAAUAAGACAUGGGGGGCAGGAGGCAGGCGACACAGCGGCCCAGGUCGCAAUGUGUUGUUUGGGGACUUUCGGGGGCUGUCAGAUGGGGUGUGUCACACCUCAAGGGAGAUGAUGCCACACAUUCCAGCCUUCUACGCCUGCCCGCCGGAGGUACCCGGCACGAGCCCCGCACCCCAUCCCGCCGUGCCCCUGCAAAACCCCCCACCCCGCCAACCCAGACCCCCCGCCCUCCCGCACGUGCCUUGUCCCGGUCAACGUGGUCAAACAGGAAGUCCAGCUGCGCGUUGGUCAACGCCACGUGGCGCGGCAGGUGCCGCCGCAUGCCGCGACGGAACGCGUCGCGGCCCACACCCGCCGCCACACCCGCCGCCGCCGCGUCAGCGCCCGUACCGCUGCCGGGCCCACCGCCCAGCAGAAACCCAACGGCCCCGCCGCCGCCGCUGCCACCACCGUGCUGACUGCUGCCGUGUCCGUGUGUAUGCCCGUGUCCGUGACCGUGCGUGUGUGCCGCCUCGGCGAACACGGCCUUCAUGGCGUGGGCGAUGGGCUCCAGGUCGUCGCUGUGCUGCAUCAGGAACGUGCUGCGUGUGUGGGGGGGGAGGAGGGAGGAGGAGGGAGAGGAGGGGGUAAGCUCUGAACCAAUCCCGUAAGGAAACAGUCGCGCAGUCGGGGAGGGGGGAGGAAGAGGGGGAACGGGGCAGACGGGGGAGGUAUUGUUUUCAGUUUUCACCAUGCCCAACAAGGAACCAGGGACACGCGGACGCACGACCACACUAGGCAAGCGGUGUGGCGGUGAUGGUUGGAGGGGGCGGGCAGGAGUGCAGGACAAGAGGGAGGGGCAGCGGGAUGAGGGGGGAGGCAAUACUUCAUUCCGGAGCCCAUGAACCGGAAAAGCAGUACAGGAGCUCAUCAACCCAAGCCCGGGCCCGUCGAGCACGCAGGAGGGGAGCAAGCGAAGAGGUGUGAGUACAGUAGUAGGUUAUGGUUGAAGGGGUUGGCAGAGAAUCCUUUUAUGCUUGGCUUGUACCUGGGUUGCGCCUGGGUUGUACCCACCUGUCAUGCUACAGCGCCCGGCCGCUGGCAGUGUUCAAGCCCCACCCCCACCCCUCCACCAACCCCCCUCCCUCUCCCCCUCCUCCCUCUCCCCCAUCUCCUCCCCGCCUCCAAUCCGGCCGCUCACCGCAGUGCCGCGAUGUUGGCUGCGUCACGGCGGCUCUGCCUCAUGGCGCGACUGGUGAAUGCCCACAUGAACACCGGGUAGGAGGCAGCGGCCAGGAACACGGAGCCGGUCAGGAUGGAGCGGAAGGCGCCGGGGGCCUCCUGGGGGGGGGGGGGCGGCGGGGGUUGAGGUUGGGGCGUGUGUGAGUUUGUGGGCGGGGGUUGAGGCUGGAGUGGGGUGGGGUGACAUGGGAGGAGCAGGCAUGCGUGAGAGCAUGAAACGACCCUUGGUGAAUCCGGAUCCUCUGACCCGCUCCCGCCCCCGCCCCCUUCUCCCUUUUCCCCGCCCCCGCCCCUGGCCCUGCCCCCGCCCCGGCCCCCGCCCCCGGCUCCCUUCCUCUCCCCCUCCCCUUCAUCUCCCCCUCCGCCUCACCUCCCAGCCGGUCUGCACGUUCAUUCCGAAGAAUGACGAGGGCAUGGUUGCCAUCUGCAUGUGCAGGUUGUAAGACAGUGUUUGGGUGUGGGUGAACAAAGACAAGUAUGUGAAUGUGUGUAUGCGCAUUGAUGCGUGGAAUGGGGUGAGCAGGAGGCCGCCCCCCCCCCCCCCGCGCCCCUAUCCCCCCUCAUCCUCCCAUCCCCUCCCCCCAUUCGGGGAUGGGGACUAUUGUCGCGUGUCUCCGUUGUCAAGCAUCGGCCACGCUCUCCUCCUCGCUCUAUUGCAUUGGAUUGUGUUUAGUUUGGGCUGGUAUCUACACCCCCCACCCAAAGUCCGCCCCCCCCCGCCCACCAUCAUGGACAGGCUUGCCACGCUGAUCCACAGGUUGACCAGUAUGAUGUGGUUGCGGCUCGAGUCCAGCUGCAUGCGGUACGUCUCGCUGGCGGGGAAGGGGGGAGAGGGGGAGGAGGGCAGGGGGUUACAUUCAUGAUCAUUCAAGAAGUGAAGGCGUGGGGGGAGGAGGGAGAGGAGGGGGAGAGAUUGAAGGACAAGAAGCUGAUCUGGGGAUUCAUUACUGAUUACCCCCCCCCCCCCAUACUUUCCACCCCUCCCCUCCCCCCCUUGUCCCCUCCCCCCCCCCCCCUGCCCCCCCCCCCCCCCGGCCCCCCACCGUGUGCUCUCCAGGUAGUCCUCCGUCUCCAGCAGGGCUCCCACGAUGGACUCCACCUCGCGCAGGUAAGCCUCAAGGAUGCGGCCCGCGUUCUCAAGAGCCUGAGCAGGAGGCAGGGGGUGGAGAGGUUGUGGGUGAGAUGGGAGUGGGUGAUGGGAAUGGGUGAGGAGAGGUAGGGGUGUUGGAGCGGCGUCAAAUUACAUGUAUGGGGUGGUGCAAAUCCCGCCCCCAACCCCUUAGUCCAGUUAAGUUUGGGCUGGUAUCUACAAUCCCUCCCGUGCCGGACGCACCUCCUUACGCGCCGCCUCCCUCCUCGCCACAGGGUCCUGGCUGCCAAUGGGCGGCACCGUAACGCCCACGACCCGCCGUACGCCGCCGCCACCAGCCGCCGCCGCCGCCGCGGCGCCGCCGCCGCCACCGACCAUGGAGGGGGGGAAGGACGCGGCCGCGGCGGUUGUCGACGAUGUAGACGCAGGCGACGACGAAGCGGGCGAGUAGGAAAAGGGGUAGGAGACAGAAGCGGCCGCGCCGGCUGCGGGCGUGGCCACCGUCUGCUGCUGCGCCUUGCCCACACCCGCCCCACUCCCGCCACUGCCACUCCCGCUGCUACUGCCGCCGCUACUGCUACUGCCGCCGCUACUGCUACUGCCACCGCCGCUACUACUGCCGGGCACGCGGUACUGGUCUGACGUGGCGAAGUCGCAGGUGCCCAGUGUGAACUCCUGGGGCUGACCAGUGGGGCACAGCAGCGGCGUGUAAUACCCGCCGCCGCCCCCCGGACCGCCGCCGCCGUACAGCCCCCCCGGGCCGCCGCCGUACAGGGGCGCGGGGAGGGACAGCAGCAGCGAGCCCAGGGCCUCCGAGUCGUCCUCCAGGAACUGUGCGUGUGUGUGUAGGGGGGUUGCGCGCGCGUGUGUGUGUGUGUGUGUGUGUGUGUUGGGGGCUUGUGUUUGUGUGUGAGCGCGCGUGUGUGUGUGUGUGUGUGUGUGUGUGUGUGUGUGUGCGUGUGUGUGUGAGCGUGUGUUGUGUUGUGUGUGUGGGUGUGUGUCGGGGAGGGGGGCUAGACAGGCAAGUACCGGUAAGGCAGGCACACAGGCAGACGCGUGUAAGCUCUGUGGGGGAGCCACUGCCCAGCUCGCGCGCACCUUUUUGAGCGCGUCGCACGUCUCCCGCGCGUCAUUGAGCACAGACGUCAGCACCUGCGUGUCAUGGGGUGUGUGGGUGGGGGUGUGUGUGAGGGGGGGGUACAGCCGCCGCGUGUGGGACCCCGUGGAGCCAGGUACACACGUGCCCAUGUGACGCCGGCCUUUGGUUGCCGGCCCCACAUCCCCGGAAUGAUGUCCCUACUAUCCAACUACCCCACUGCCCUAGUGCGGUAUUGCCGCCUCCCUGAACACACACGCACCCUAAACACACACACACACACACACACACACACACACACACAAAACGCACACACACACAAAACGCACACGCGCAAAGACACGGCUUCCACCACACAAACAAAUGUUCACACUCGCCUUCUCCAGCGGCGCGAACUGCUGCACGGUGGACUCGCCAAUGCCGCCGAAUGGGUCGCCCGCACCCAGCGUGCCCUGCGCCCGAGCCUGCCACCACCCCAGCAGCCGCCGCAAACCCCCCGGCCGAAUCAGGUUGCCCACGCUGCCAACCGCCGCGCCCAACGGCCCGUAACCGUAACCAUAGCCGUUUCCGUUGCCGCCGCCGUCGCUGCUGCUGCCCGGCCCGUCGUCACCGCCGCCGCCGGGGCCGCCGCCGCCGCCGGCGCCGUCGUCUGCGCCGCCGUGCGCCGCCACCUCCCAGGCCGGAGAGGCCCGCGAGCCGCCCACAAUGCGCUCCACCAUCCACUGUUGCAGUGCCGCACACACAUGUUUUCCUUGUGCUCUUUAACACACACACACGCAUUGGAGGGGUGGAUGUACACGAUAGUCAACGAGGGUGGGAGUCAUGGGAAUCCGUGCCACCGGUGUACACGUUGCCGCUGCCGCCGUCGGCAUACGGGGGAGCCAACGGCUUAUGGGGAAGCCACUCACACAGCCGCGUAUGUCCCCCUGUUGACACACACACGCACACACGCAGACACGCACACGCAGACACGCACACGCACACACAUACACACACGCAACCUCCCUACACACGCACACACACGCCCUUCACUCAAGCGCACAAAUGCACACACACACACACACACACACACACACACACACGCACAUACACCACACACACGCACACCUCGAUGUGGGCCCGGCGGCGCUCGAAGUACAGCAGUGUCACGUGCAGCAGCACCUGUCGGCGUGAAAGGGUGAAGGUGUGUGCGUGUGUGUAUUUCGCAGGCACAUGCGAAGGCGUGUGAGGCAGCUCUGCACAUAUCCCACCCACCCCUCGUGCCCACCCCUCCAACAAUCCUCUCCCUCGCCCUCUCCCCCACCUCCCUCCCUCCCUCCCUCCCCCCCCCACCUCCCCGCUGCCCCACCUCCAGCACGGACUGCUCGAAGGGCACGUGCGGCUGCGCCUCAAUGACCAGCGUCAUGGGCUUGAUGAUGUCGUGGAAGUCACGGUCACGCCUGGGGGGGGGAGGAGAUGGGGGAGGAGAUGGGGGAGGAGGGGGGGGGGGAUUGCGGCGGGGUUAUGUGGUUUGUGUGUUGAUGGGUGCAACAUCGGGCCGUGACAAGGCCUGGACCGCACUGCGCCCAUUGCCCGUCUCCCACCACCUCGCACCCACCACCCCGCUCCCACCACCCCGCCGGCCCGCCCCGCCCCGCCUUGACUGCCCUCCACCCUCCACUUGCCCCCUCGCGUCUCUGGCUUCUCGGAAAGUUACCCCCCCCCCCCUUCCCCCCACACACCUGUUCUCUGGGAACGGUGUCAAACACCCCCCACACGCACACACAUACACACCUGUUCUUUAUGAGUGUGACGCGGUCCCUCUCGAUGACGGCCUUUAUGGCCUCGGUGCGGAACAGGAUGCGGUCGCCGCGGGCCUGUGUGGAGAGAGGGAGACAGAGAGAGUGUGUGGAUGAGGGCGUGUGUGUCUGUGGGUAUAUGUGUGUGUGUCUGUGGAUGAGGGCAUGUGUACGCGCGUGUGUGUGUGUGUGUGUGUAUGAGGGCGAGAGUGAGGUGUGUGUGUGUGCACAACCGCGUUGCGGCUGCAGCUUAGGGCGAGCCCCAUGAGGCAUGAGAGCCGAACUCACACUCAAACGCUGAAAACAACCUCCCCUCUGCCCCCUCUCCCCUCUGCCCCCCCUCUCCCCUCUGCACCACCUCUCCCCUCUCCCCGUUGCCCCCUACUGCAUUAGGUUCGGUUUCGUUUGGUAUCUACAAACCCUCCCCCUCCCUCCCCUCCCUCCUCCCCACCGCUAUGGUGGCUCUCUGCGGGCUGAGCCGGCUGUCCGCCGCGAACAGCGACAGGUCGCGGCUGUGCAGCUGCAGCUCGGCGGCAGUCACGCCGCCGUUGGGCUCCAGCGUGCGCCCGUCGGACAGGAUCACAAUCACCUGCAGGGGUGUGUGUGUGCGGGUGUGUGUGCGGGUGGCGUGGGAGGCGUGUGUGCGGGGGGGGAGUGCGGGUGGGGCGAUGUGCGGUUGUGGUGCAUGUGUGUGUGUGGGAGGUAACAAGGCUGCACACACACACACACACACACACACACACACACACACACACACACACACACACACACACACACACACACACACACACACACACACACACAAACCGUCGCUUUGCUGCAUCGCAUACACUGUCUUUGCGCAACGUUUUCCUUGUGCUCUUUAACACACACACACACACACACACGCACACACACACACAUGGACACACACGGACGUAAUGCCCCCACCACGCGCACCUCGAACACGGUGCUCAUGCGCGCCCGGCCCAGGAUCUCCUGCACACACAGGUGCUGCAGCUGCAGACCGCUGCCCGAGCGCGGCGAGCCCCGUGGCGGCACGUGCCGCUGGGCGCCGCCGCCGCCGCCGCCGCCGCCGCCGCCGCCGCCUCGGCCCCGCCAGCCGCCGCCGACAUGAUUGCUACCACCUCCUCCACCUCCCCCACCACCACUGCCACCACUACCGCUACCGAGACUGCUACUGCCGAGGCCGCUACUGCCGUGGCCGCUGCUGUGGCCGUUGUCUUGUGCUGAUGACGCGGCGGCGGCGGAGGUGGCGGCGGCGACCAUGGAAGCUGUGGGGGCGGCGGUGACGGUGGCGAAGUGGGCGAAGCCGGAGGGCGGGGAGUAACCCGGAGGCCUGCGGUCAUAGCUGCUACUGCUGCUGGGGGUGCUGGGGGUGCUAGUGGAGCUGGUGCUACUGCCGCCAGUGGAGCUGGUUCUACUGCCGCCGCGGUGAAGGUGGCGGUGGUGGUGUAGGUCGUGGAGGCUAGUCAGGUGCGGGUGGUGCGGGUGGUGCUGGCGGAAGAGGUGCGGGCUACUGCCACGCACGGCCGUGCCCCGCCGUCGCCCCUGCUCCCCCUGCUCCCCCUGGUCCUGCAGCUGCUGCCACCCACUGCCCACCCCUCCGCCCUCCGUGCCAGUGGCCCCGCCGCUGCGCCCCGGGCCAAACGGGUACGGCACACUGCCGCUGCUGCUGGCAUGGCUGCUGCCGCCAGCACCGGCCAGGCUCAGCAGCCGAAGCUCAACGCUAGCUGAGCUGAGAGAUUCAGGGCCGCAGCCAACAGUUCUGGGGACCUGAGCUCCGGUGGGGGCCGGGGUGCUGGUGACAGCAUCAGCGCUGGCGGAGGCCACGACGGCCUGGGCGCAGGCAUCAUCCCGCGCAAACGCUCGCCGAAAGGCCGAGAGGCCCGUCUGUUGUGAAAGUCGCCCAGGGGCUGAUGUUGACGCCCCUGCGCUGCACUCGCACGCCGCAAGCUGCAGCAGCGCCGUUCCGAGCGUCUGCGAGCGAGGCAUCGCUUGCGUAAGUCGACUGAGCAGGGGACGGGCGCGAUGUAGAUACUUAUAAAGACAGAGUCAUUCUCGUCCUAUUUAGCUCGGCUUGCAAGCAGUAUAGCUGUCCUACGCGACGUUGGGGUUCUGGUUCUUGGGCGCGAUUCCGCGCUCGUUUGAAGAAGAGGUUGCAAUCAGGCCACAGUGCCAGUAUUGGUGAGUGUAACUAUCUAUUGACAUCCGAGGCUUCAAGUUGGCAGCCAUACAUCAGCGGCGGGCACGAAACCCUGCGCCGUGCCCUGCGCGUUCGUGCCUCUCGCCUUGCCUCUCGCGGGCGCGUCCUGCGCCGCUGCGGGCAACACCGGUUCCAGCGCGUUAUCGCGAGCGAAUCCAGACCCUUACAAUGUCUCACAUACACACAGAGCCUCUGUAUGGUCAAGGCCACCACAGCGCCACCAUGGUCAAAAGGUGACAAGCCAUCGAGAGUUUUAGAGGCCUUCCGUUGCGCCCCUCUCGGCAUCCCGAAUCCUGUUCCGCAACCCUGGCCUCCUCUGCACUCCCCUAUGUUUGACGACAUAAUGGUAUCUGAAUCAGUCUGUGCACAGCUCACGGGGUCGCCACGCUUGCUUGCGGCGGGACCAAUCAAGGCUUGCUCCCGCCGCAGCCCAUCUUGUUGCAGCACUGAACACACGCCCAUCGCAGCCCUGAGCACGUAUUUUAAUUUCACACCCUGAAGGGCAGUCGGCCAUGGGCCCAUGGCCUUUGACUCCACGUGUUCUAUGACCGGCUGCCGCCCCAGCCCCCAGGUUCACCCGCCGCUACUCCGCCAUAUCCAUUUAGUUGGGAGCGAGGCUAGCUAGCUAGGCGGGCAGCAGCCCUGCCAGCCGCAGGCUGGGCAGCACGCCGGUCAGGCCGAUGGCGGCGUGGAAGCGGGUGCUGGGGUGCAGCUGGUCUGUGUGGGUGGGUAUGCAUUGGGGGGGGGGCGGUUGCGGGGGUGGGGUGGGCCGGUAGGUGACGGUGGGGACAGGUGGGGGAGGGCGGGUUUGCGGCGGCAAUGGGAUGCGGCAUGGAUAGAUGCGUGAGGAUGCCACCGGCAGCAGGCAGCGCAGUGCAGUGCAGUGCAGCGGUCACGCACGGGCGUAUGAGGCGUGCAUGCAGGUGGUCGUCACGCACCGUAGAAGGCGCGGGUGUUGGGGUCGGGGCAGGGCACAAUGCCGGGCACCACCUCCAGCGCCACCUUCGGCUGGAUGAAGCACGGAGCUGCAUGCGGGGUGGCGGUGUGGGUGAGAGUAGAGGGGCGUGUGAGAAGUGGUGCGGGGAGAACGGAGCCUCAAAAGCCACAGCAGCACUGCCAGCUGCACCUAGCUACCCGCAUCGCUGCCGCGCCCGCAUCGCUGUACCACCCACAGCAAUACACAUACACACACACACACACAUGCUGUCACACACACAUUGUUUUCCUUGUGCUCUUUAACACACACCAGGGGUCGUAUCUUGUUUGCGGGGGAAUGUCUUGACCCAGACAUUCCUGGCCUCUGGAGCGGAAAUUUUUGUCAAGGGGGUAGACAAACAGGCCCCCAAAUCCACGAUUUUUUUGUCUAGACAAAGUGCCUUUGUGGAAGCCAUGUAAAAUGUCUAGACAUCUUGACAUGUUGCAAUUUCGCUUUUUCGCAACUGUAAACGGCGGCUUUUGUAUCUGUUUCACGCAGUGCAACACUAAUGAACAAGUCCAAAUGCGAUCAUAUGCACAGGCAUGUCGCAGCGCGUUUCCCCAAGCAACUCUGAGCCUUCGCUUGCCUGCGCGGCGUACAUGCUAUACCUGCUAACUGCUUGCUGUCACCGAAGUGCCGGGGCCAAAGCCAUGACCAGUCACAGUUCUACCGCACAUACACACAGGCAGAGCGCCAUCGCGGCCUAACCGCUUCCAGUUUAGUCAUCUUCACACGUCGGCACACACCCUCGUGCAUCGAAUCCCCAAUACACUAUCGUCCCUUCUUUCAACGUUUCAAUCAUACACAAUCGUAUCGGGUAUGUAUUUGCUAGAUGGACCGCUUUCAAAGAAUUCAAACGUUCGUAUGCCAAAUUAUUAGCACGAGACAUCCACAUUCUGAACGGCCUCCUCCUCAGCCUCCUUCAGAAGUGCCUUGACAUCAAUCUCACACACACGAUGCUUCACACGGGACGGGCGGGCGUUGUGGCUGCUGCGCUGGGGCACGCGGCCAAGCUUUGCAGCGAACUUCUGAACUGCAGGCCCCAGCAGCGUUGCAUCAAACUCAGCAUACGGGGCAAGGGAGACACCAGCCACAGGCCGCUGCUGGUACGCAAUUGGUGGGCCCACAAGGCGCACACGCAUCAGUACGUCAAGGGUGCCAAGCUUCAUGCUUGCCCGGCCAGGCGUCUUGAUGUCAUUCAUCGCGCUGAAGCCACGCUCAACUUCUGCCGUAGAUGGCUGCAGCACAAGCAUAAUCUGCACCAGGACAGUGAGCUCACGGCCCAUGCCAGACAGCCACGACAAGAGCCUCUCAUAGAACGGCCUCGCCUUCAUAACAUCACCACUCUUCUUCUGCUCCUUUGCCACUGCAAUCAGGCGCGCCCGAGCCAUCACCCACUGGUCAACUGCCAACAGGCAAUCAUCACCCAAGACGGGCUUAAAGUGCUGUGCCAAAGCGGCCACCUCUUCCUCGCCAUACUUCGGCACACCGGAAUCAGCAGCCAAUGCACGGGGGCCCAGCACCCCAAACUUUGCAGCCACUGAGACAUCAGCGGGGAAUCGCAUUUUGAUGUUCUCAACCAGCUUCUUGACCAUACUGCUGAGAGCAAGCUUGCUGCGGAAUAGAGUCUGAGGGAAAGCCGCCCAGCUCGGUGCCGUAGGUGCCGUGUCAUCAUCGUCGCUGCCAGACUCCGCUGUCGUGUCAGUGUUGGUGUCAGAGCCGUCAUUGUCGCUGUCAGACUCCGCUGUCGUGGUGGCGGUGGUGGUGGUGGCAGGCGCGAUCGUCGUGGGAGGGGUUGUCAGCACCAUCUGGUGGCCGUGGAACACGCCAUCCUUCGCUGCAAGGUCCUUGAUCAGGGCCUGGAUACCACUGCCGCAUGCCUUGGACGCAUCGCAUUUUCGGCACGUAUGCGCCUUGCAGUCAUGCUUGCAGUCAGCGCAGUUCGCAGCCUGGAGUUUGACCAUCUUCACAUAGUGGGUCAGGGGCUGCGAGCAAGCAGGAAGGGUGCACGUUGUAACGUGUCAGCCGAUAAAGAUGCAGCCGAACGCCAUGCCUGUUGUACAUGCCGUAUGCAUACACUACAGCACACUACGCCCACUAGUACCGCUUACCAAAUGUGCCACAAACGUUGCUACACCACCACACACCAACACACCACAAACGUUGCUACACCACCACACACCAACACACCAAACGAACACACACCAGCACGCACGCGCGCCGCGCCCACAUGUGCGCCAUGCACAAUUGCCCACGCGCCGCGCUCACAAACGCACCAUGGCAUCCUUGCCGCAGGCGUAGGCCGAACGGAUUAGGCUGCACAGCGUUGGGUUGAGCUUGACCUUCUGCUUCUCGACAAUGUUGGACAUCUUCGUGUGGUUCUUAGCCGCGCCUAUAACGUCCAGAUGGUUCUUGGAGAGAAGGUGCUUGUUGAACAAAGUCAUGUUCAUGACCUGCAGCAGAACACAAGGGAUUUGCAAGCUUACGCAAGCAUGCGGGGAGGCGGCUGGGUAGCAGGUCCUGUCUUAGCUGUCAGGCUGCAGCUGUAAAUGGGUACCCCAGACGGUGCGCCGCAGUGCAUGCGCUUGCUUGCGUGCAGUAUGCGCACACCCCUAGUCUCUCCUAAUCCGGCUCACACGCUGCAUUGCCAGGCUACAUGGUUGCAAGCACACUCACUUUGUUGCCGCCCUUGGUCCAAACAGAGGCCUUCGCACCGGGGUGCUUCAUGCAGGCAAGGCACAAGAACGUGCACUCAGGAGUCCUGACGAAAUUGUGCCCGAUCCCAUUCCAACGGCUGGUGUUCUUGAUGUUGACGAACUUCGCAAUACGCACUGAUUCAUUAUUCCAAUCUGCAAGCAGGUGGAGUGUCUCGGUUAGUAGCAGGUGACCAGUAUGCCCUAUGCGUAAAAAAGAAGCCCGCACGCUCGUGCAUCGAAGCUUACCGAUGGCGCCAUGGCCGCAGGCAUUGCGGCCACGCUUCGUGCCCAUGUCUGCAACCUUGUCGUUUCCAUCGUCUUCGCUAGCCUCAACUGCAUAUCAAUGCGACAUGGUGUUCAGAAGCCAGUAAGGGCAUGCACGAAUACGUAGCACGUAGGAAGGCACGAAGAGCAGGCAAGAAGCAGGAAGGAGACAGGAACUGGCAGUAGGCCAUGAGGCUAACUCACCGUCAUCCAUGUCGCUUUCGUUGUCAACAUCAACAAUUGGCGGGGUAGCAGGAAUCGACGACCCAGGGCCACCGGCGGCGGCCGCGAGCGACUCCUUUACGGUGGCGGGCUUGGCAGGGGGUGUGGCGCUGGUCUCGGCAGCGGGCGCGGCGCUCUUGGCAGCAGGCGCGGGAGCGGGCGCGGCGCUCUUGGCAGCGGGCGCGGCGCUCUUGGCAGCGGGCGCGGCCGCGGGCACGGCGCUCUUGGCAGCGGGCGCGGCGGUCUUUGCGGCCUUGGCGGUGGGCGCCACAGUGCGAGUGCCAGCGCCUGAGAGGUGAGAGGGAGAAGGCAAGGGAGGCACAGGUUGAGACCAGGCCACCCAGAACGGACAGGGCCUUCCAGUUGAUGAUCACAUUAUUUCUGCACCCAGCCACCAGCUUACCGCGCGCGGCCGACAUCAGCAUGGCACUGAUGGUGCGCGCCUUUGCCACGGCCUUGGGAACCGGCGCCGUCUUCACGGGGCCCGCCUCAUCGUCACUGUUCGUCAGGUCCAUGACGAUCUGUGACUCAGCGGGCUGAGCAGCCUGCUCCGUGCGCUUUUGAGCCCCGUCCUUCAGGGGGGAUCCCGCAGUUGCGAAAGCCACAGUGCCGGUCACUGCAGUUUCAAUCCUAGCCUUCUUAGUGACCUUGGUAGAAGGUGAAGGCGACAGCGACGCCGCUAAGACAGCGGCGUAGGUGCGCGCCGUAGGCGCCAUGGCGGUCUUGCCCGGAGUGUUAGAGGUGGACAUGCUGUGUAGAGUUGCGUAAGAAAAGAUAAAUACUGUAUACAACUGUGAUAGUAACGAGAACAUGCAAAUAUAAUGGAAGUUUGGAUUCUUGAUUGCGAAGCCCGAUCAUGCAGCAUGAUACGCAAAUUAUCGGGCAGUAAAUGUGCUCAUUCCUUUCACGUACUUCACAAUGUGCUUUAAGCAGCUCCAUACUUGAGAUUUCUCAUACUGGACAUGGACAUGCCCAGGACAUGCAAGCGUGCGCGUAGUACACCUCGCAAUGAACACGAUGUGACUGAUCCAUUCGGCUACAUGGGGGCAGUGCAGCAAGGCGGACACGGGGCGGAGUUGGCAAGGCAACCGACCGCAUCGACACGGACGGAGCCAACUGCGCUUGUCAGCAACCCGGAUGAGAGCAGGAUUGGUGCAACGGCGUCACCCAUUAUGGCCCAUUGUGCUGUUGAAGAUGUCGGCCAGGUAAUGUCUGGCAACUGUACGAUACGCCAGGAUGCCUUAAAUGUAGUCUUGCGUGUAGUCUUGCGUGUAGUCCCCUCCCUUCACUCCGUCUGCGUCUGCGUGUAUAUCGUUUGCUGCGCGCAUUCAUGGACGCUUGCGUGUGCAACACAUGCUAUGCGUCACGUGUGUUCAAAUGUCAAGGUGUGGUGCGUGUCAUGCCUCCAACUUCCUGCCCCGCCAUUGCGCCUUGACUUGCCAUACACCUCGCGUACCGUGCGCAGGAAGAAUGGCGGCCAUACGACAACAAGUAUGAAUGCAGCAGGACUGGUAUUGUGCGGAGGAGACAAGACGGAGGGGCAAUUGCAGUGCGCAUGCUCAGGGGAAAGCCAUGGGUUUACAUAAAUAGAAAGUCCGUUCAGUUGAGCACUGUUAUGGAGGCCUGUUGGAAUGACGCAUAGGCCGCUCAGAGUUUCAGGACCUGCUUGUUGUAGGAACUUCAAGGAGUGAAAGGGGCUGCAAUAGCCUUUGCUGCUGGCUGCAACACGCAUGGUGUGAGCGUUAUGCAGCCUCUGCUGCUGGGAGGGGCACUGGGUGCGCAGGCGGUGUCAGGAGCCGUAAGCAGGGACCGGGCCGCGACGCGCCCAUCCGCACGGGGCCUGUAGGUUGAUGCGGUAUGCCUGGCGUGUAGAACGCGCGCGCAAACACAUGGUACCAUGUGAUUACAGCGCUGGAAGCUUGGGGAGUCGCUGGUGGGGGCCGUAUGCAGCCUCUGCUGCUGGCAGCCGUAAGCAGGGACCGGGCCGCGGCGCGCCCAUCCGCACGGGGCCUGUCGGUUGAUGCGGUAUGCCUGGCGUGUAGAACGCGUGCCCCAACACAUUGUACCAUGUGAUUACAGCGCUGAAAGCUUGGGGAGUCACUGGUGGGGGCGGAAUGCAGCCUCUGCCGCCGGCAGGGGCACUGGGUGCUCAGGCAAUGUCAGGAACCGUAAGCAGGGACAGGGCAGUGGCGCGCCCAUCCGCACGGGGCCUGUCGGUUGAUGCGGUAUGCCUGGCGUGUAGAACGCGUGCCCCAACACAUUGUACCAUGUGAUUACAGCACUGGAAGCUUCGGAGUCGCUGGUGGGGGCGGUAUGCAGCCUCUGCCGCCGGCAGGGGCACUGGGUGCUCAGGCGAUGUCAGGAACCGUAAACAGGGACAGGGCAGUGGCGCGCCCAUCCGCACGGGGCCUGUAGGUUGAUGCGGUAUGCCUGGCGUGUAGAACGCGCGCGCAAACACAUGGUACCAUGUGAUUACAGCGCUGGAAGCUUGGGGAGUCACUGGUGGGGGCGGUAUGCAGCCUCUGCCGCCGGCAGGGGCACUGGGUGCUCAGCCGAUGUCAGGAACCGUAAGCAGGGACAGGGCAGUGGCGCGCCCAUCCGCACGGGGCCUGUAGGUUGAUGCGGUAUGCCUGGCGUGUAGAACGCGUGCCCCAACACAUUGUACCAUGUGAUUACAGCACUGGAAGCUUCGGAGUCGCUGGUGGGGGCGGUAUGCAGCCUCUGCCGCCGGCAGGGGCACUGGGUGCUCAGGCGAUGUCAGGAACCGUAAACAGGGACAGGGCAGUGGCGCGCCCAUCCGCACGGGGCCUGUAGGUUGAUGCGGUAUGCCUGGCGUGUAGAACGCGCGCGCAAACGCAUGGUACCAUGUGAUUACAGCGCUGGAAGCUUGGGGAGUCGCUGGUGUGGGCCGUAUGCAGCCACUGCUGCUGGCAGCCGUAAGCAGGGACAGGGCAGCGGCGCGCCCAUCCGCACGGGGCCUGUCGGUUGAUGCGGUAUGCCUGGCGUGUAGAACGCGUGCCCCAACACAUUGUACCAUGUGAUUACAGCACUGGAAGCUUCGGAGUCGCUGGUGGGGGCGGAAUGCAGCCUCUGCCGCCGGCAGGGGCACUGGGUGCUCAGGCA